CGCUCUGUGGAUCUGGGUGAAGGUGAAUGAGGGAGGAUUGCGGCGGCGGUGAUGGGGAUGGAUGAGAGAGAGGGGGGGCGGUGAGGGCGUUUAUAGGUGGAAGAGAGGCGCGCGUGGCGCCAAGAAAGUUGAGCGCCCGAGCAGAGAGGGGGGGGAUUGGCGCCAAGAAAAUGGCGGUAAAAUGAACUUGGCGCGACGGUGGGGAAAUGGAAAUGGCGGGAGGCGGGAACCCCCUUAUGUCUAUGCGCAUGGGCCCCGCUUGGCAGGCCGUUCCCGUUCCCACACCUGUCUAUGCGCCUGGGCCCCGCUUGGAAAGCUUCCUCACCUAUGCGCGCCUCUCUCUCUGCAGGUGGGCCCACUGUCAUAUCUUUUUUUACCCAAGUCGUCUAUUUCAUUUGUGGUAGACAAAAUAAUAUUUACCUUCAUUUUCAAGUUAAAAACACCACGAUUAAUACAUAAACUUGUCCUAGUGGGAACAGAGUCAUAUACAAGAACUUAAAAACACAACUCAAGUGGCCCCUGAACUAUGGUAAAUGAUUCUAAUCAUCCGACCAAUAAGAGUGUGUGUCUCUGCCGGCUUUGUGGCUGUUGGAUCGUAUUUUAAUGAAAGCUCGGGAGCAACGUAUUACAUGGACUAGUUUUCGCAACCAAGUUGUUGUUGCAAUCCCCCAUUCCAACAAGCAAUGUGUUGAGAGAUCUGAAUCUAGAUACUCUCGGGUUCUCCCGAGCUUCCCGUCAACCUAAUACCUUCAUGCGCUCCUCCGACUGCCGCCACCGUUGCUCGUCGUCGACAGUACAUGGGCGAGGCCACAUAUAGCACGUGGACGAGGCCGCCGACAAGCACGCGAUGAGGCCACCUAUGUCUGUCUCCAUGUGUCUACUCGCGAUCAAUGGCCAUGGCCGCUCGAGCACGCAUGUCGGAGCUCUUCUCCGGCCGCCGUCGCCGAGCUAUGUCGCUCCGGCCUCAUGCUCCUUGAUGAUCCCACAAGUAUAAGAGAUCAAUUAUAGUCCUUUCGUUAAGUAAAAGUGUCGAACCCAAUGAGGAGCAACAUGAAAUGAUAAGCAGUUUCAGCAAGGUAUUCUGUGCAAAGGCCGUAAGUAACGUUGAUAGAUAGUUUUAUAGUAGGAUAAUACAUAACAAGUACUCCCUCCGUCCCAAAAUAACUGUCUCAAGCUUAGUAUAACUUUGUACUAGAGCUAGUACAAAGUUGAGACACUUAUUUUAGGACGGAAGGAGUAUCAAGUAACAAUAGUAGCAAGUAUGAAGCAAGAUAGUCUGAUACGUCUCCAAGGAUCUCUCUUAUGCAUGAUUUCAUAUCCUUGUAUUUCUCUUCGAGUUGUGGGUUUUGUCUGGCCAACUAGAUCUAUGAUUCUUGCAAUGGGAGAAGUGCUUGGUUUUGGGUUCAUACCGUGCGGUGACUGAUGACCCACAAGUAUAGGGGAUCAAUCAUAGUCCUUCCGAUAAGUAAGAGUGUCGAACCCAACGAGGAGCAGAAGGCUCUGAUAAACGGUUUUCACUAAGGUAAUAACUGCAAGCACUGAAAGUAGCGGUAACAAGUGAUGGUGUAGUGAGGUGAAACGUAGCGAGCGAAAAGUAACAAGUAACAAGUAGUAGCAAUGGUGCAGCAAGUGGCCCAAUCCCUUUUGUAGCAAGGGACAAGCCUGAACAAAGUCUUAUAGGAGGAAAAACGCUCCUGAGGACACACGGGAAUUUCUGUCAUGCUAGUUUCAUCGUGUUCAUAUGAUUCACGUCUGUUACUUUGAUAGUUUGAUAUGUGGGUGGACCGGCGCUUGGGUACUGCCUUACUUGGACAAGCAUCCCACUUAUGAUUAACCCCUCUCGCAAGCAUCCGCAACUACGAAAGAAGAAUUAAGACAAUGUCUAACCAUAGCAUUAAACUAGUGGAUCCAAAUCAGCCCCUUACGAAGCAACACAUAGACUGGGGUUUAAGCUUCUGUCACUCCAACAACCCGUCAUCUACUUACUACUCCCUAUGCCUUCCUCUAGGCCCAAAUAUGGUGAAGUUUUAUGUAGUCGACGUUCACAUAACACCACUAGAGGAAAAGACAACAUACGACAUAUCAAAAUACCGAACGAAUAUCAAAUUCACAUGACUAUUAUUAGCAUAACUUAUCCCAUGCCCUCAGGAACAAAAGUAACUACUCACAAAGCAUAAUCAUAAUCAUGAUCAGAGGUGUAAUGAAUAGCAUCAAGGAUCUGAACAUAAACUCUUCCACCAAGUAAUCCAACUAGCAUCAACUACAGAGAGUAAUCAACACUACUAGCAACCUUACAAGUACCAAACGGAGUCGCAAGACGAAGAUUGGUUACAAGAGAUGAACUAGGGAUUGGAGAGGAAAUGGUGCUGAUGAAGAUGUUGAUGAAGAUGCCUCCCCUCCGAUGAGAUUAGUGUUGGUGAUGACGAUGGCGACGAUUUCCCCCUCCAGGAGGGAACUUUCUCCGAGCAGGAUCGUCCUGCCGGAGCUCUAGAUUUGAUCUGUUCAAGUUCCACCUCGUGGCGGCGGCGAAACCACGAAAAAGCUCCCAAUUGUUUUUUUUCUGGAACGAAACCCUUCAUAUAGCAAAAGAGGGGGCCAGUGGGCCGUCACGGAGCCCACAAGCUUGCUAGCUGCCACCAGGGGGUGGCGGCUACCAGGCUUGUGGCGCCCUGGUAGCUCCCCUCUCGUACUUCUUCAACCCAGUAUUUUUUAUAUAAUCCCAAAAAAUUCCAUGUAAAUUUUCAGGGCAUUUGGAGAUGUGCAAAAUAGUGGACUAAGAUUUGCUCCUUUUCUAGUCCAGAAUUCCAACUGCCUGAAUUCUCCCUCUUCAAAUAAACCUUGCAAAAUAAGAGAGAAAAGACAUAAAUAUGUUACCACAAAGUAAUAUAACAACCCAUAAAGCAAUAAAUAUCAACAUGAAAGCAUGAUGCAAAACGGACGUAUCAACUGCCCCAAGCUUAGACCUCGCUUGUCCUCAAGCGAAAACCAAGUUCCAUAAACAUGUCCACAUGUUUAAGGACGAAGGUGUCGAUAAAACAUAAUACGGACAUGAGGGCAUCAUGAUCACACAUAGAACAGCAGUACAUCAUAAAGAUUCUUAUGGAAAAGUAACAAUUCCUUCACAAAGCAAAGUAUGAAGCAAAAACCUUACCGAGAAGUAACCAACAACAGUCCAAAGUCAUUGAAGCAAUUGCAAUUUAUCAUAACAUCAGAAAGAGUCAAAUAAGAGCUUGUAAGGCAAACCCACAUACUCAAUCAUCUCUUUUAUUUUCCACAAUUGUUACAACUCAUGUGGUAAUCAUGGUGUCAAAGUUUCAGCUGGACAUAGAGGAAGAUAGGGGCUUAUAGUUUUGCCUCCUAACUAUUUACCUCAAGGGUAAAGUCAACAAUAAUAAAGCAUAAGUACUCAACUCCAAGUUGAUAUAUGAAUAUAGAUCUUUCCCAAGCAUGUGACGGUAGCCGAGACAAAGGCAAAAAUAGGGAAUUGGUGAAGAUCACCAUGACUCUUACAAGGGCAAAAAGUAAAGGUACAAGAUAGGCCCUUCGCAGAGAGUAGCAGAGGUUGUCAUGCGCUUUUGAGGUUUGAAUGUGUGUCCUCUUAGUGCGGAGGAACAUCACUUUAUAUUGCCUCCUGUGAUAAAAAACUUUAUUAUGCAGUCUGUCGCUUUUAUGUCUUCCUCAUCACAGGUUCAUACAAAGCUUAUUUUCCACACACUAAUAGAUCAUACAUAUUAGAGAGCAAUUUUUAUUGCUUGCACCGAUGACAACUUACUUGAAGGAUCUUAUUCAAUCCAUAGGUAGGUAUGAUGGACUCUCAUGGCAAAACUGGGUUGAAGGUUUAUGGAUGCACAAGUAGUAUCUCUACUUGGUGCGGGAGUUUUGGCUAAAAUGAGGUGGAAGCGAUCGUCACAUGCUAAGGGAUCUCUACUCAUAUAACAUUGUUUGGAACCAAGAAAACACAAUUCAUUAUGUUGUCUUCCUUGUCCAACAUCUACUCCUAAGCAUGUAACAGUUUGGUGAGUGCUCACAAUUGUAAAAAAUGUCUAAGAUGAUAUAUUUAUUUGUGAACCUCCCUUUCCUUAUUACUUCUUAUUAAUUGCAACAAUGACUGAGGUCUAUGUUGAUUUAUUCUCAACAAGUUUCAAUCAUCAUACGUGUCAUAUGUGAAGCUAUCACUUUCCAUAAGAUCAUCUCAUGAUCUUUCAUGCUAUCGUUCUUUUCAUACUUUUGAUCACGACACAAAGCAAAGCCCUUGACUAAGAUACUCUUUAUUAUAUAGCUCGUAAGCUCGAAUACAAUGGGGGAAAGACAAAAGCAAAAGACUCAAACUAAACACUAAAGACUUAUUCCACUAAGAGAAAAAAUAAAAACUGUAAAGGAAAGAACUAAAACAAAGGUAAAAGCAAAAGAUAUAAAUGUGAUACGAUACCUGGGCAACUCCCCCAAGCUUGGCAGAAGCCAAGGGGAUUGCCCAUACCAAUGCUUAGUUGUCUUCCUUUGGCGGCGAUGGUGGUGGUGUUGUUGGAGUGGUCUGGUCCUUCGUCUUCCAAGGCAUAGGUGCUCCAUCAUGGCAGGAUGAGCGAGUCGCCGGAAUCCUCAAAUCUGCAGCCAACCUUAUUGAUUUAAAUCUAUACUCAUACUCACAGUUUUGGUUCUGCAGGUCAUAGAUCUAGCCCUAAAGUUGAUCAACCCUGUCAUAGAGCCUCGAGAGGUGUUUCCCAAUGUCAAUGACAUCCAUCUUGUGAUUGCUGGUGAACUCUGUGAUCAUCAUGUGGUUGGCGUUGAGUCCACGCUCCACCAUCCCUUGGCACUUGAAGACUUGUUGCUCCAUUGCUUCGAGCCUCGUCUCCACGCUUCCGGUCUUCUUAGGCCCCUCAACAUCACGGAUGUGCAACAUCCCCUUGCUCAUCUUCAUAGAUUGAGGGUGUUUCAGCACUUCCGUGAGGUAGGGAUUGAUGACCUUCUCGAAGAUCUUGUCCUUAGGAGCGUUUGGGGAAGUCAUGAUGAUCUAGAUCUGCCACAAAAACAGGCUCGAAACGAAAACAGAGCAAAUAUUGCGUGAUACGGAGAUCAAAACCUUCGGACGAAUAUAUAUUGAUUUUUUCUGGACCAGAAGGAGUGCUCCGCAAGAAAACGGAGUCCGGGAGGCACACGAGGUGCCCACAAGCCCCCUAGCCGCCACCAGGGGGUAGGGGGCGGCUACCAAGCUUGUGGCCGCCUCGUGCGCUCCCCUGACUGUUUUUUAUUUUUCUAAUUUUCCAAAAAUUCCAAAACGGAGGAAAUUUCCUAUUGGAAAAGUUUCGGAGUCCAAUUACUUACGGAAACAGAUACCUCUUCGUUUUCAGGGUCUGAAAUAGGCUGAUAAACAUCCCUUAGGUACUCCCCUGGAGUUAUGACAUUGAUAAUAUUGGUCUCAACAUUUAUGGGAGUACGAGAGAUGUAAUGCUUGAUUUUUUGCCCAUUUACCACUCUAGGAAAAUUGCCUUCCGUGUUAUUGAUUUUGAUGGCACCGGAACGAUAUACUUCCUCGACAACAUAGGGACCUUCCCAUUUAGAGAGAAGCUUGCGUGCGAAGAAUCUUAAGCGAGAAUUGUAUAGCAAGACAUAAUCACCUACAUUGAACUCUCGUUUCUGUAUUCGUUUAUUGUGCCAUCUCUUAACCUUUUCCUUGAACAGCUUGACAUUCUCAUAUGCCUGGGCCCUCCAUUCAUCUAAUGAGCUGAUAUCAAACAACCGCUUCUCACCGGCAAGUUUGAAAUCUAAGUUGAGCUCUUUGAUUGCCCAAUAAGCUUUGUGUUCCAGCUCAAGAGGUAAAUGACACGCCUUACCAUAAACCAUUUUAUACGGUGACAUGCCCAUGGGAUUCUUAUAAGCAGUCCUAUAAGCCCAUAGUGCAUCGUCAAGUUUGCUAGACCAAUUCUUUCGAGAUCUAUUGACGGUCUUUUGAAGGAUCAACUUGAUCUCCCUCUUACUCAACUCCACUUGACCACUAGACUGAGGAUGAUAAGGAGAUGCAACUCUAUGGUUGACAUCAUACUUAGCGAGCAUCUUACGGAAAACACCAUGAAUGAAGUGUGAACCGCCAUCGGUCAUCAGAUAUCUAGGGACUCCAAAUCUCGGGAAAAUGACUUCUUUAAGCAUCUUAAUAGAGGUGUGGUGAUCAACAUUUUUAGUGGGGAUAGCUUCUACCCACUUAGUGACGUAAUCCACAGCAACUAAGAUGUGAGUGUACCCAUUGGAACUCGGGAAGGGUCCCAUAUAAUCAAAGCCCCAGACAUCGAACGGUUCAAUGACCAGUGAAUAGUUCAUAGGCAUUUCCUAACGUUUACCGAUGUUCCCUAUUCUUUGGCAUUCGUCACAAGACAAGACAAACUUCCGGGAUCCUUGAAGCGAGUGGGCCAAUAGAAACCUGAUUGCAAUACCUUAUGGGCAGUUCUAUCUCCAACGUGGUGUCCUCCGUAGGCUUCGGAAUGACACUUCUGUAAGAUAUGUCCCUGUUCAUGUUCAGGCACACAACGUCUAAUAACACCAUCUACUCCUUCCUUAUAAAGGUGAGGAUCAUCCCAAAAGUAGUGUCUCAAAUCAAAGAAGAAUUUCUUCUUUUGCUCAUAGGUGAAACUGGGUGGUAUGUAUUUGGCCACGAUAUUAUUUGCAUAAUCGGCAUACCACGGUGCACUAUGUGAAGUGCGGAUGACAUUUAAUUGCUCAUCAGGAAAGUUGUCAUCAAUAGGUCGUGGGUCAUCAAGGACAUUCUCUAGCCUAGACAAGUUAUCUGCUAUAGGGUUAUCAGCACCCUUUUGGUCAACGACGUGCAAAUCAAAUUCCUGUAGUAGGAGAACCCAUCUGAUCAGCCUAGGCUUAGCGUCCUUCUUCUCCAUAAGGUACUUAAUAGCAGCAUGAUCAGAGUGAAUAGUGACUUUGGAGUCAACUAUGUAAGAUCUAAACUUUUCACAUGCAAACACGACUACUAAAAACUCCUUUUCCGUAGUGGCAUAGUUUCUUUGGGCACUGUCUAGAGUUUUACUAGCGUAGUGAAUAACAUUCAACUUCUUGUCAACUCUUUGUCCUAGAACAGCACCAACAACAUAAUCACUAGCGUCACACAUGAUCUCAAAGGACAAGUUCCAGUCAGGUGGUUGAACAAUAGGUGCGGUUAUCAAAGCCUUCUUAAGUAUUUCGAAGGCUUCCUCACAAUCCUCAUCAAAAACAAAAGGAACAUCCUUCUGCAAGAGGUUGGUAAGAGGCCUAGAAAUCUUAGAAAAGUCUUUAAUGAACCUUCUAUAGAAACCAGCAUGACCUAGGAAGCUUCGUAUACCUCUGAUAUCUGUGGGGCAAGGCAUUUUCUGAAUUGCAUCAACCUUAGCCUUAUCAACUUCAAUGCCUCUUUCGGAGAUUUGUGUCCUAAGACGAUGCCUCCAUUAACCAUAAAGUGGCACUUCUCCCAAUUCAAGACGAGGUUGGUAUCUUCGCAUCUCUGUAAGACUCGGUCAAGGUUUCUAAGGCAACCAUCAAAGGAAGACCCGUAAACGGAGAAGUCAUCCAUGAAAACAUCUACAAUCUUUUCACAAAAGUCAGAGAAUAUAGCCAUCAUACAUCUUUGAAAGGUGGCAGGUGCAUUGCAUAAGCCAAAAGGCAUACGUCUAUAAGCAAAGGUACCGAAGGGGCAGGUGAAAGUAGUUUUCUCCUGAUCAGAUUGUGCAACAGGUAUUUGCGAGAAACCUGAAUAACCAUCUAGAAAGCAGAAGUGUGUGUGUUUGGAUAGCAUUUCUAGCAUUUGGUCGAUAAACGGCAAAGGAUAAUGAUCUUUCCUGGUUGCCUUGUUUAGUUUCCGGAAGUCUAUCACCAUCCUAUAGCCAGUAAUAAUCCUUUGUGGGAUUAGUUCAUCCUUAUCAUUAGGAACGACGGUGAUACCUCCCUUCUUAGGUACGCAAUGUACUAGACUUACCCAAUCACUAUGAGCAACAGGAUAAAUGAUUCCUGCUUCCAGAAGCUUUAAUAUUUCUUUUUUAACGACCUCUUUCAUAUUAAGAUUCAAUCUCCUUUGAUGAUCAGCAACUGGUUUGAAGUCAGGAUCAGUUUUAAUCUUGUGCUGACUUAGAGUGGGACUAAUCCCCUUAAGAUCACCAAGAGUAUAUCCAAUAGCAGCACGAUGCUUCUUCAGAGUUUUUAGUAACUUCUUUUCUUCAUGCUCUGAGAGGAGAGCACUAGUAAUAAUGGGAUAUAUCUCCUUCUCAUCAAGAUAGGCAUACUUAAGAGUAUGAGGCAACUGUUUAAGCUCGAACACAGGAUCACCCUUCGGUGGGGGAGGAUCCCCAAGCAGUUCAACAUGCAGAUUGUUCUUGAGAAUAGGAUAUUGUUCUAAGACAAUUUUAUCUAUCUCAUCUCUUUACUCCAUAUGCAUAUCAUUUUCAUGAUCAAGAAGAUAUUGCUCUAAAGGAUCCGUAGGAGGUAUGGCAAUAGAGGCAAGAGCAAUGAUUUCAUCCCUACGAGACGACUCUUUUUCAUGGGGUUGUCUUCCAAACUUGGAGAAGUUAAAUUCAUGAGACACACCCUCGAAACUAAUAGUGACAGUCUGCUUAAUGCAAUCAAUGUGAGCAUUGACAGUGUUGAGAAAGGGUCUACCGAAUAUGAUGGGACAAAAGCUAUCUUGUGCAGUACCAAGGAUGAGGAAAUCUGUAGGAUACUUCAUCUUACCACACAGGACUUCUACGUCUCUCACAAUUCCUAGAGGGCAGAUAGUGUCUUGAUGACCCACAAGUAUAGGGGAUCAAUCGUAGUCAUUUCGAUAAGUAAGAGUGUCGAACCCAACGAGGAGCAGAAGGCUCUGAUAAACGGAUUUCAGCAAGGUAAUAACUGCAAGCACUGAAAGUAGCGGUAACAAGUGAUUGCGUAGCGAGGUGAAACGUAGCAAGCAAAGAGUAACAAGUAACAAGUAGUAGCAACGGUGCAGCAAGUGGCCCAAUCCCUUUUGCAGCAAGGGACAAGCCUGAACAAAGUCUUAUAGGAGGAAAAAUGCUCCCGAGGACACAGGGAAUUUCUAUCAUGCUAAUUUCAUCAUGUUCAUAUGAUUCGCGUUCGUUACUUUGAUAGUUUGAUACGUGGGUGGACCGGCGCUNNNNNNNNNNNNNNNNNNNNNNNNNNNNNNNNNNNNNNNNNNNNNNNNNNNNNNNNNNNNNNNNNNNNNNNNNNNNNNNNNNNNNNNNNNNNNNNNNNNNGGGGGGGGGGGCGUAAGGCUCUAUCUUGAGGGCAAAUAUGGUCGUGAGCUCACGCUUUCUUCAGCCCAUACUUCUUCCCUUUGCUUCGACAUGCCACUGCUGCCAGGGUUACUGAGGACUGCACACCCUGCUUGACGANNNNNNNNNNNNNNNNNNNNNNNNNNNNNNNNNNNNNNNNNNNNNNNNNNNNNNNNNNNNNNNNNNNNNNNNNNNNNNNNNNNNNNNNNNNNNNNNNNNNNNNNNNNNNNNNNNNNNNNNNNNNCACACCCUGCUUGACGACCACAGAGGCCACUACUAGGAAAAGGCCUGCUAGUGGCGUACCUGUUUUGGCUACUAAUGGCGCACUACAGGUGCGCCACUAGCAUCACGCCAUUAGAAUUUUUUACUAAUGGCUGGUAUACUAAUGGCGCACCAGGCAGUGCGCCAUUAGUAUAGCCCAUGGUGCGUCAUUAGUAUGCCUCCCAGGGAGCCAUAUUUACCCAUGUGCUCUGGCUUACUAAUGUGCUUUUUGCAGUGCGCCACUAAAGUGCUGAGUGGUGCGCCACUAGUAUGAAAUCUUUGCUGAGAGCCCUAUGACAUCAAAGAUUCUGGCAUAUAUAUGUUUUGUUUCAAAACCGCAAAUUCAACAGCACAUAACAUAUAUAUCAAAUAUAUAAUACAUAAUAUGUGUCCAAUAGUUUUACUGAUCCACAACACAUAACAUAUAUGCAAAGUUGCAUAACAAAUUUCAUGAUCCAUAUAUCAAAAUUCCAUAGCAUCCAUACAUCCAAAAUUCCAUAGCAUCCAUAUAUACAUAUAGUUCCAUAGCAUCCAUACAUACAUAGCUCCAAAGCAAAUAUAAUACACAACGAUACUUUGCGGGCAUUAGUAAGUAAUAUUUGGCACUAAAACAAAUGCCUUCAUGUCCAUAUCGUAGUCCAAAGAGCAUCCGCGUGGCAACCUACAAGAUGAAAUCAACCUUCCUUUUUUGUGUCUCCUGCAGGCUCUUGUUUAGCCUAAAAAAAUGUGUGAUAUUGCCUGAUUCUAUAUAGGACAUGUUCUGCAGAUUUUUUUUGCCUGAUUCCCUACCUAUAGGCAUGUAAAAAUGUUGUGAAGAAAUGAAGAAAACCAACAAAAAGGUGUGGUCAGUACCUCUCCAUUGUUUUAAUCUAGGAAGUCCUCCAUCUUAAAAACUGCCAUGCCAGGGAUGGCGGGGAAGAUGUCCUUGCCUAGUUUUCACUGUUUCGGUUGUAUGCAGAGUAGCAAAGAGUAGCAAAAGAGAAUGGAUUACUUCAUGACUUCUACACUGGGGGGGGGGGGAGGGGGGGCAUAUAACAAAAGCACAUGCAAAAAAUACAUAAGUAAUCGACAUGUAUAAAGAGAUGCACUCUGCUAUCUGCUAAAAAAUGGAACACUAAUUUUGGCAUCAUAGACUAUGCAGUGCUUGCUAUCUGCUCAAGCACUGUGUGGAAAAAAUGCUAAAAUUUUAGAUAGCAGUAAAAUGAGACUCGGAAGAAAAUACUAGUACGUUGAGAGCAAAAAUAAGAACUCAAAAAAUCCUGCAUGUAGAUACCCCCAAAAAACAGCAAAACCUGCAUUUGCGAAAGAAAAUUCAGUUCCGGAAAAGAAUCCACUAAACAUGUAUGUACAUUUUUUCCGGGGAGACCAAAGUUAAUAUCUGUGUGCCCAGCUUGCCACAACCUACUUAACACCGACCGCGACAUAGAAACUAGUUAAUUGACAUCAACCUCUUUUAAUGGCUUACUUAACAUCAACCUCUUUUCUUGGCCUAUAUAUAGAGGGCAGCCCUACCUGGCCACCCCUUACUCAACACGAAUACGGCCGAAUAGAUCCACCAUUGGGCCACAUAUUAGCUAGUGUGUGCAGAACAAUUCACAGAAGAGGUAAUUAGAUGCAUGAUGGGAGUGAUUAACUAGGACUAAUUAGCAUACAUAUUACAUCGAGCAAAAAAAACAAGCAGGAAUGNNNNNNNNNNNNNNNNNNNNNNNNNNNNNNNNNNNNNNNNNNNNNNNNNNNNNNNNNNNNNNNNNNNNNNNNNNNNNNNNNNNNNNNNNNNNNNNNNNNNNNNNNNNNNNNNNNNNNNNNNNNNNNNNNGCAGGAAUGUGUGCUACUACGAGUAGAUCGAUAUUGAUCACUUAAUUAUAGCUAGAUCAUACGAGCUGAGGUAAUUAAAUUGUGUACCAUGAUAGAAAGCCCUAGCUAGAUAUGGCAUGAUAAUAGUCGAUUGAUAGGAGCUAGUCAAGGAGGCAGUAGCAAUGGCAUGCAAAAAUCAACCGCAAACCUAAUGAUAGCACUGUAAACUUGCCCCACAACCNNNNNNNNNNNNNNNNNNNNNNNNNNNNNNNNNNNNNNNNNNNNNNNNNNNNNNNNNNNNNNNNNNNNNNNNNNNNNNNNNNNNNNNNNNNNNNNNNNNNNNNNNNNNNNNNNNNNNNNNNNNNNNNAAACUUGCCCCACAACCUACUGAACAUCAACUGCAAACAUAGAAACUUGCCCCACAACCUACUAAACAUCAACUGAAAAAACAGAGCCACAUUGCCCCGGUUUGUCACUGAAUUGUCCACUGUAAGUAGUAGCAUUGCCUACUUUUCAUGAACCGCGGGUGAGAACCUUGCCUACUUCUGCAGGAAACCAAAAGCUACAAAAGUGUUCACUGUAAGUGGUAACAUUUCCUACUCAAUGAGGUUGGGAUCAUCAUGCAGGGAUAGGAAACCCUGAAAAAACACUACAGAUUAGCCUGUGAAAUAGUGAAGUGAGAACAUUGCCUAUAAAACAAAACUUGCUUGUGAAUGAAUAGGUACAGAUUUGCACGCAAAAUCUGCAAAAAAUGCCCACUGUAACCUGAAAUUUGCUUACCUAUGGAAAACAAACCUACAUCAUAUAAAACACCUGUCAUGGGAUCGAUUCCUUGCUUGCGAUUCACUACAGAAAAAAUGGCGCAAGAAAAAUACUUCUAUGCUUGAUAUCAAAAUCGAAAAUCAGUUUAGGUUGGUAUUUUGCGCACAGGCUUGGCCGGGGCAUCGAUUCCCGUCUCCUUACUCCUCUGCCGUCAUCCUCGCUGUCCCCGUCCUUGCCGUCCCCCCGCUCAUCCAUGUAGAUGACGCCGCCGUGUCGGCCGAACACCUCCCCUGCCUCCCCCCUAGUUAGCGAAAAUUGGGUGAAAAUGGUGAAGGAGUAGGGCGUGUGACUUACCUACUCUCUCCUGACGGGACGAAGCAGCCCGCCGCGCCCCCCGUCGUCUUCGCGUCGCUGAUUUGGUCCGUCUAUACCUUCUCCCUUCCCUUCACUCACCGCGCAGCCCCCCUUGCUGGCCUCCUCUCGCUCGAACUGGUGGUGCUCCGUCUCCGCGUGGAGCGGUGUCUUCGAGCUCGCGGUCCCUCCUUGAUUCGUCGCCGCCGUUCGUGCUCUUGCCGGUCACGGUCACCGACGAUCUAGGGAUUUCUCUCCCCCUGCAGCUGAGGGCGGAGUGCGCGGGGCGAGGGGGCGGCGUGCGUGCCCGGCGGGGAAGCAGCGCGGGGCUGAGGUGGGGCUGCGGUCGCCGGGGGGUUCGUCGGAGGGGCCGUGGAGCUCGCCGGACUGAGGGGGGAGGUGAGAAGAAGGGGUGGCCUCACUUCCGUUGCUGAGCAAGGUGGUCCGCGGGGGAGAGGGUGAGGAAAUUGGCGGCGCGGUGGGAAACCUAGCUUCUCUGCGGGAGCGAGAGGAGGGAAAGUGCGGUGGCGCACUGGGUGAGUGGUUAGUACUUUUGAAAAAAUAAUAAUAAUAAAAGUUUGUUAGUAGUGACGCACCGUGUGUGUGGUGCGUCAUUAGUGUCCAUCACACUAAUGACGCACCUGCACAUGAUGCGCCACUGCUAUAUAGUAGUGGCGCAGCACUUGUCUGGUGCGCCAUUAGUGUCUAUAUUAUCUAUAGCCCUUUUCCUAAUAGUGAGGCAUCGGCGCUCUUCUUGACACCAACAUUGGCAUCGGUGCCCUGCUUGAUUGUGGCUGGCAGCUUGGCCUCCUCCAACCUCGUGUCGAUCGCUGCCUCCCUCUCCUUCUGUAAUAACCCCAACAGAUCAUAUCGAACGACGCCGCGCGAAUAUAUUUCUAAAGAACCCUAAGCCGAGCCCUUUCCUUUGCCUGAUAGACUCGAACGGUGUCGCCCCAUACUCGACUCCCAAACGAAUUCUAACCUUUUCAUAAAAAAAGUCAAAUUAUAAAUUCCAAGUAAAUCGUUUUCCAACUUUUAGUUUAUCUCCACGCAUUAACAUCUGCAUGGCCUUUUCCUAGUUGUUUUUUAACAUUGCCUUUUUCUAGUUGACGUACAAGAAAAUGAACAAAUUCAGGAAAAGUUUGAACUAAUUUUAAAAAUAUGGAAAAUAAAAAAUUAAAUUAAUAUUCGGAGGCAGACUUGCCGUUCACACCGGUCUUAAAGCCUAUAAAUUUCGGUCAACAUUAGAUGAUAUUUUGCUACUACGGUUGAUGAAUUAUUAUGAAUUGAUCUAUGAAACACAAAAAACGCAACUGCAGGUCAGAGGCCUGCUUUCAUGUUUGUUUGUUUCGAGUGACAACAAAAAUGGGUUCAAUAUUGAUCACACGUAUGGCAUAAUAGACAUCUGGCCACAUGACUCGUCCGGUCGAGGAGCCAACCCAGACGAGCCAUGUGUGGGCGAACAUUAACACUGCCCACACGUUCAAGCAUAACUACGAUGGCCCGCACGCCGAACCAACAACAACUACUCACCCCAUCCCGUGAGCACGAACUCGUGUAUAAUUAAAUUUAGUUGUUAUGUGCAAUUAACUAUAGUUAUCAUGUCUAAUUAACUGUGGUUGCCAAUUUGCCAUGUGUGAUUAACAUUAGUUGCUAUGUAUCAAUAAAUAUAGUUGCCAUGUGAAACUAAUUGAAGCUACCACGUGUAGUCAAACCAUAGUUGAUAUGUAUGCUCUACCGUAGUUAUUAUGUGUGAUUAACUAGUUAUCUUGUGUGGUUAAAUUGUAGUUGUCAUGUAUGAUCAACCAUAGUUGCCAUAUGUGAUUAAAUAGUUAUCACAUGCACGACUGUAGUUGUCACAUAUGCACGCCAUCUAACACCGUGCGAGCCUCGUGCAUGCGAAGAGCAUUUCAUCUCAUGGUGAUGCGAGCAACCGUGCGCGAGGACCACCCACACAUGCGGCACUUAAUGAUAACACCCACUGCAUGUUGGGUGCUUACGUGGUUCUCGACCCAGAUGACAACUGCUGCAAUAUUCGUGCAAAAUGAAUCAAACGGCAUCGACUGCGUUUGGGCCAUGUUGAUAAGUGUCACACAUGUGGGUGUUAUCAUUUAAGAUAAAAAUCAUUUCCAUGACAACAGCGAUUGCUUUGAUCUAGUUAAAAUUUGUUGUAUAGAUGUGAAGAAAUAAUGCUUCCAUGGCAGCUGAGGAUUGCUUCCAUCUAUUUAGAGUUUCGUAGUUUUGUUGAGCCAUAGAUAUUGCUUUCAUGGCAGCUGUAGACUGCUUCAAUCUUGUUGAGAUUUGUGACAACAAUAUCUCCUUUACACCAUAGAAAAUGAUUUUCAAGCCAUCGGAGAGUUGCUUCGCGUUUAAUGUUAAAGCACUUCCAACAAAUUAAACCUUUGUUGCCAUAAAACAUUGCUUAAAAUAUAACAAGGUUAUGCCCAAAACAUAUAAUUUCCCUCCAAAGUACAGUAGUUUCUUGCAGCAAAAAAAUGGAUCAUGAGUUAGCUUCUAUGCACCUAGGUACGAUGAAUAGGCCACCAGUGGUGGCCACACGCCUGCCACCACGUGCUCCACCUUGAUGAUGAAGGCACAAGUGUGGACCAUCGAAGUAUGUGGUUCACCUAGCAAGUGAUAUGGAGGGCGCACCAUGACACACUAGCAACCCAAUGGAAGCACCAACUGAAACACGGGCACAACAGUGAGACUAAUUGCUUUCAUUUAACAGAUUUGGAUGACACAAAAGGAAUAAAAAAAGUAAGAUGAAUUAGAACCUACGUUGGAUAAGGAAGUUAUGGGGUUAAUUCGUGCAGCCAGCUACACAUACUGUCGUUGGCUCCCAACAGAUCAUGAUGCGAAUGAGUCAAGGGAAGCAACAAUAACCUUGUGGAGCUUGGUAUGGCAGCCCUCCAUAUGGGUAAUGGGUACCCUGGCCAUCUAAUGUUGUAAUGCGGGGUCGGUGCUCAAUCACAAACUGCUGAUGCAUUGGCACGGAGGUUCUUCAGACAUGACGCGUCGUCAAGAUUGAGGUGCCGCACGGGAGAAGAGCGAGGUGGAUAGGGAGCAGCGGAGAUGAAUGUGUCACUCACUUUGAUUAAUUGGGGAGAAGCAUGUAACAAGCAAAGGGUUUAGUGGAGACGUGGGUCCAUGUAGAAGGGGUAGUUGAAAAGAGAUUUGCCGAAAAUUGUAAGCCAUGGGAUAAAACAGGAACUGAGACAGUGUUGGUUCAACUUUUUCAUUGUAUUAGUGGUGUGAUAAUUAGGAAUAACUAAUCAUGGAGUAUCCCCUAGCUGGGAUGCCGGGUGCGCGCUUGGAACCUAUAGUGUUUGGAGCAAGGGGUGAGCUAGUAGCUCACAGGACUGAGGAGCCAAGGGUGUGGUUUUCUCCCUGUUUUUUUCUUAUGAUUAUUUUUGGGUUUUCCUAGAUCUUCCAUACCCAGAUUUCCCAUUUUCCCAAUACAAUUCGGUUCUAAUAACUAGACGUUGCUGUGAGUAGUACAGGUUGAAACGAGUGGGAAGUACAAGUUACAACUGCAGCUCAUUUGUGGUGGGUGUCCGUAGCACUCGAAGCACAAGUGUGCUUUGCCAUGAAGCCCAUAUGAGGUAAGCGGUGCAUCCUAGAUUGCCCUGAUCAGAGAGCACAACUUGCGCAGCGUGGAGUAUAAACUAUCUCGUGUGAAAAAAAAACUGGAGCAACACCUCGGCAAUUUGGCAUAACACCCAUGUAUCCGUCGAGGGCUUCCUCGUGCCAAUGUUGCAGCUGGUGCGGUAGCAUUUGAUCGGGAUUCUUGCACCUACUCGAGUCUGACGCUGCCGUUUGUAAACGUCGGGGCAGGCUGAUGAGCUAGAGAAGGCCCGCAUCCAUCUACCUCAGCCUCGCCUUUGAAUUGACAUGUUGCAAUCAGCACAUACAUAUGCAUGCAUACGCGUACAAUAAAGACGAUGAUGGUAAGUAACAAUGGCUCAUUAACAAAAAAAGAAGUAACAAAGGCUCUUGGAAAGGACAUUGCAACUUGAAUUUGCAACUUCCUGCCCAGUAUUUCCCUCAAGUCCCGACUAGAUGCAAAUACCAAACCUGUACGAGGUGAGUUCACCAGUUUUGAGUGCAAACCACAAACAAAGCUACCACGAAGAAAACUAUUUUGAAGACAAUGCAACGACAAUAAAUGUCAGCAACAUAUAUUGUACAUUCCAAUCAUCCAUAUGCAUCACUUAUAAAUCUCUAUCCAUGGCAAUGUUUCAUCCAUAUAAGGUCUAAGCUGCAAAGGAGAUGAUGAUCUGAUAUGAUCUGCCUAUCUACCCUCUCGCCUUCAGAUCAAGUACGACCACACUGAUGUCAUCUGGGCUUUUACCAUGGAUCGCCAUGUUCAUCAGGAGGCUUGCGGCAUGGACGCAGCCAACCUCUUCCUCUUGGCCUAUUGGUGCACCGCCUCCAGGAGCGCCUUGGUGUUCUAUUGCUAGGCAGUUGCUGACGACAUUGCAGGCCUUCUGAUUCUCGAUGACAUCCCACAAGCCGUCGCUCGCGAGGAUCAUGCAGUCGUCAUCCUCUGAUCUAGUGGUCAUGGUUAUAUCUGGCUCACAUAUCACUGCAGGCUUAAGGAGCCUAUGCCCUGCAAGCACAGUUCAUUGUCUGAGAUUGAAUACGUGAAGCAUCAGAGAAAAAUUUACUAAACAAAAUGUAAUCAUGUUGUACAAAUGGAUGAACUUGUGAAAAAUAAACAAAGCUGGAAUUUACAUUAUUUCUCUUUAGGAAAUAUUCACCGAAACAACUCUCAUAUUAAUAAAAACAAGAAGGUAACCUGAUCAUGAAAGAUUUGUAAGCAAACAACAAUGUCCUAUGCACAUCGAUGAACAUUCAUUUGAGUUCUAAUAGGAAUAUGAAUGCAACAAUGCAGGCACCAGUAAAAAAACAGUGCAUGGUAACAUCCUUGCUGAAGGUAACCGUAUACAAAUUCAUGAUUGUCCAAAUGAAANNNNNNNNNNNNNNNNNNNNNNNNNNNNNNNNNNNNNNNNNNNNNNNNNNNNNNNNNNNNNNNNNNNNNNNNNNNNNNNNNNNNNNNNNNNNNNNNNNNNNNNNNNNNNUGAUUGUCCAAAUGAAACAUUAUUUUACAAAUAAUAUCUUCAGUGAUACUAAUUAACUUCAUGACACACAACAGGUGAAAACUGAUUUCAUCUAUAUAUGCCAGCAUUCAAAUAAUUAUCAAAGUUUUAAAAGUGUAAUGAGCAACACAAAUCAUUGUGUUAUCUUCAUGCAAAUAAAUUUCUAUAUAGGUAAGCUACUCUUGUAAGCUAGUUACACAGAAAACUUGUAAUAUGUAGAGUUCUCGUUCAAUCAUGGCGACAUUGGUCCACCCGAACUAUCCAAUCGGUGCAUAGCAGUUUGGUGCCAGAUGGUCAACCUAGCUCACUUUCUGGGUCUAGAGGCCUGGUAAAAACUAAUGAUACAAUGAAUCCCGCCCAAAAAGGUUUUUUGUCGAUUUAUUUUUUAUUUGUAAUAGCACUUGAAAUAUAAAAAUAAAANNNNNNNNNNNNNNNNNNNNNNNNNNNNNNNNNNNNNNNNNNNNNNNNNNNNNNNNNNNNNNNNNNNNNNNNNNNNNNNNNNNNNNNNNNNNNNNNNNNNNNNNNNNNNNNNNNNNNNNNNNNNNGAAAUAUAAAAAUAAAACUGGUUUUUGGAGAAACUAUAGAGCAAUCCAUACACCACUGUAAAAUUACCAAAAUUCUUUGGGGUAUUUUUCCAGUAUUCUUCGGAAUCAUCUAGAAACUAAAAAAACACAGAAAUGUUGAUUGGGAAAUUUGGGCACCCUUCUAAAUUAUAUUUUCUCCCUAUUCGACAACCCUUAUUUUAUCCAUCACUCUCCAUGAAAUCUACGAAAACUUGGGAAGACUUAGAAAAAUAGCGAAGCUUAUCCCAAAAAUUAAAACACGCAUCUAAGUCCUAACAACUCAUGCCUCUCCAUUUUUAAGUAUGUUUGACCUAGACCUUCCCCACCUCGAGAAAAUAGCCUCUCCCUCCCUCCCUCCCUCUCUCUCUCUCUCNNNNNNNNNNNNNNNNNNNNNNNNNNNNNNNNNNNNNNNNNNNNNNNNNNNNNNNNNNNNNNNNNNNNNNNNNNNNNNNNNNNNNNNNNNNNNNNNNNNNNNNNNNNNNNNNNNNNNNNNNNNNNNNNNNNNNNNNNNNNNNNNNNNNNNNNNNNNNNNNNNNNNNNNNNNNNNNNNNNNNNNNNNNNNNNNNNNNNNNNNNNNNNNNNNNNNNNNUCUCUCUCUCUCUCUGCAUCCCUCCCUCACUCCAUCCCUCCCUCACACUCUCUCUCUCCAUGGGCGAAACAUGUGGAUGAACUCUCUGGGAGCAGGAAUUUCUCCACGAAGGACAAUGUAGAAAAAAAUCCCUAGAAGUCAUGGGGAUUUACGAAUCCCAAGGUUUAGUUCUCCCCUUCUCCAACCUUCCCUUUGAUCUUGUUCCCACCAAAAAGUGAUGUACAAUUUUUCCGACAUCAUUAACCUCAAGCCAGAUAUUUGAAGACCUCAGAUGAGGCCAUGAAUUCAAGAGAAUAGCACAUUUAAACAAGGCAACAAUCUAAGGAGACGAAUAAGGUAGCUAAGAAUCAACUAAUGACCUGAUGACACAAUGAUGAGUUUUGAAACAUCAUCUCUAGGGGACUCUGUUGAAGGGAAUAAUAACUAAACUAUACUAAGGCUGACAACUAAUCAUGCAUGGCAUCCUCAUGGAUGCUAAAUAUAUGUCCAAGACAAUGAAAAAAGUUCAAGAAAACAGCCAUGGUCAACAUAAGGCAAAGACAGUCAAUGAAAGUCUUUGGAAACCAGUAUGGUAAGCAACUAAAAGAAAGAGAGGGGAAGAUAAAAUGUAAAGUCAAAUACGAACACAAGAAGUGAAGAAGCCCAAGCCAACUUAAGGGCCAACUAGCCAAGCCCCAUUCAUGAAUGGAUGAUGAGUAGCUCGGCUUAUUUAGUGAUGGACACCCCCACUUCUAGCUAGUCUUCAUAAACACAUGUUCCAUUUUUGGCCCAUUUACCCUUUGACCUACCACCCUCAAGUGUAGGCUAGGUCAUUUAUCAAGGAGCCCUACCAUGUAAAUAAUCCCGAUGAACAUGUACUAUCAUUCAAUCCAACUUUAUUAAACCCAAGAGGAGAGGCAGUCCUCCUUCCAUGGAAUCAAUGUUCUACGGAGGUCGGGUUUCAUGAUUCAAGGGACAUCAUGAGGUUGUGAUAAUGGGGAAUUGGAGAACUUUAAAAGCGGCCACAUACUGAAUAUUCCAUGACCAAGAGUUUCUCUCUACGCCUCUCCUCACAUAGGACGUGGGUCGUGCUCCACCAAGGCAAAUAGAUCUAUCGAAAAAACAUCAAUGUAUCAAUCAUGUCAGUGUACAUCGACCUUCGAUAUAAGGCCGACAUACACAUUUCACUUACAUUUCUUUAAACACAUAAUUAAGGAUGCCCCCUAGUGAAAAGUGUUUUUGAUAGGAGCAACACAAUAUAUUGAAAUCAUACUGGAAAAUAUCACCUUUAUGUGAUCAAAAAGUAAAAACAUUUGGGUUUGGAGUGAAAAUCAACAAUUCCUCUUUGAUGAUUUUCCAAUUAUGUGAUGAAUUCAAAAUUUCCUAAAAUCCCUAGAACCAUGUGGAUAUUUUAAUUGCUACCCUCAUUACACCAUGUGAUAAUUCCGCGUUGCCAUCCAUGGGGUACAUGUUGCUUAAGUGGGCUUGAGACCCUGCUAUAGUCAGUCGUGAACAUAACUUGUUAACCUUGUCUCCUUGCAAGAGUUAAUUUUAGUGUGAGGAGGACCGGUAUUGAAGGAAUAGACAACUCGAGCAUUUGCUCUCAUGGGCUUUGCUCCAAGACGCUAGCUUGGCCCAUUUAUUUCUUUAGUUUCUCAAGUCCAACUAGUUGCAUUUGAAGCAUAACUUCCAUUAGCUAGAAUCAUUAACAUACAUAUUACUAUAUGAUUAAAUGAUUCAAUUAAGAUUCAAUGCUUGUGGAAAGUUUAUUGUCAUCGUAGUGGAAUGUAUACCCCUACAAUAUUCAAUUGAAGGAGGAGUUGAAGUAUAUAUAUAUUGGAUUACCCUUUUUCAUCAACUCAAACUUUUAGGAAAACUCGUUAGGUCAAUAUUAUUCGUAUUGAAAAAACAAGACCCGAGGCCAAUACAUAUCCAACAUAAUAAUAAUAAUAAUACUUGUGAACUAAACUACAUCAAUUGUAUGUCUUGGCAAAUCUAAGAUCUCGAAGAGAGCUAGAAUGAGCUUGAUUUGAGGGGACACUAGUGAAAAAAUGGGCUAUAGUCCCGGUUGGGAAAGGCCUUUAGUCCUGGUUCACUAAGUGGGACUAAUAAAUAGAGACUAAAUCCCUCCCUUCUUUAGUCCCGUUGACACGAACCGGGACUAAAAGUCCCACCAUCGCGCGCCGUGGUAAAAAAAUAUAAUGCCUCCCACCAAUGCAACUCGAGGCAUUCGAACUCAAGACCUCAUGUGUAUUGCCCUAUGCAGCUUACCACCCCACCUACAGAGAACAUGUGACUUAGGAUGGGAUGCUUUCCUUUUGAACUAGCCUAUGAUGGACCUUUAGUCCGGGUUGGUGUUAUGAACCGGGACUAAAUGGUACUUUAGUCUGGGUUGGUAAUACCAACCGGGACUAAAGGUAGACCUUUAGUCCGGGUUAGUGUUAUCAACCGGGACUAAAGGUAGACCCUUUAGUCCGGGUUAGUGUUAUCAAUCAGGACUAAUGUGUCAAGGCCUUUAGUCCCGAUUGGUAACACAAUCCGUGACUAAAAGUCCCACACCAACCGGGACUAAAGAUGGCAGUGCCACCCGUCCGCUCCUAGCCGUUCGAAGCAUUAGUCCCGGUUCGUAAAGUGACCGGGAGUAUUGCUCAAUCGGGGUUAGGACGAAAGCCCUAUUUUCUACUAGUCGGAGUGUUCGAAAUAUGUUAUCCACCUUUCUUCAUAAGCUUACUAUGUGAACUUGUUUUGACCAUGUAUUCCUCAAAUUUAUAUAUAUGAAUGAUCCAACUCAAGAGAUUGUACUUGUGUCUCUUAGAUUAGUACUUAUGGUUCAACACACAUAACUUGCUUUCUCGUAAACUUGUAAAAUUAAUCAUGAGUGUCAAAAUUUUAAUAGUCCAAUUCAAAAAUAAAUUUCUGAUUUGGAAAGAUAUACGUGGAAAUGAUUGUGUUAGGAUGUCUAAAUCCAUAAGGAAUUUAGGUUUUCAAACUUGUAGAAUAAAUGUGAUGCAUGUGAGAGUGGCUUUGCUUUCCAUCAGCGAGGCCAAGGUUCAAGGCACUACCUUCAUAGUAUUUUGUUCACAAACACUUAGCAACACACCUUCGAUAUAUUAAAGUCACAAUAUGGGGUGCAUAAAUUUUUUUGAUGCUAAAGGGCAUGGGGAUAGCCUAGUGGUGGAAGUGCGAUGGCGUUUCUUCAACAACUAGGCUAGACUCUAUAUAGGGGGCUUAAUUUAGUAAGUUGAUUAUUUGGUGCAAUAGUAUCUAAUGACACAAAAUGUCAUGUUUCUCCUAACUAUUGGUACAUGUGAAUAUCAAAGUUGCUAUAUGGGGGCCAAUAUAUUAUUUAAUACUUAUGUAUUGGAGAUAGUCCAUUAGUCGAAUUGUAGUGGUGCCGUCAUCUACUUAGAUUUCACUCUCAUCAAAGAAAGUUAAUUUUAUGAUGUCCAUUAUUGGAUUCUUCUAAAAAAUGCACAUCACUCCUCCCCAUUGGUACAUGUGAUUAGGUAAUGGAUGUCGGUUUUAGAGUCGGAAAUACACAAUAUGUGACUAAGGACGACAUGUCGGGCAAAUCAAGCCCGGCCUAGGUUUUGAUAAAGGUGGGUAACAUUCAACGUAAAUGAUCACCUCUUUAUCACUUUGGGUUGUUUAGAUACUUUAAUAGCUUCAUUCACUUCGAUACGCUUCAUAAAACAAAUCCACUCCUUCUCCUUUAAGAAUGGUACAGUUUAUAUAAUUAACUAACUCGUGUCCACUAAUAGGCAUACACAAAGUGUUGAAAUAAGAUUACAUGGUAUCAUUCUGAAUAAAUCUCAGCUACUACAUAAUCUAUUUGCACUCGUUGUUGAGACAUAAAUUACAUGACAAUCGACUCCAACCACCAUCCACCGACAACCAUUCACUUCGUGUCCUUCACCUUUGCACCAUAUAAUACUUAGCCUGCCCAUGAAGCAGUAAUCCCGAUUAAUAACAUUGCCUGUGUAGGGUGUCGAUUAGAAUCACAUGGAAGGUAGCCGACUCAUGUUCACUCCAAACCCAACAAACCAUCUUCUUGGCAUCCCCUUUCCUACCAAGCUUUGCCGCAAUAUGGUACCUCUGCCUUUGCCAUAUAUCUUUAUCCCACAUAUGCAUCUUGUAACCCUUGAAUUAGUCAAGGUAGAUACAUCAAUAUUUUCAAUCAUAGACAUACCCAUUCAAUGUUUGAUGAGAUGGAUGGCAUGAUAGGCUCACCGAACAUGGUUGGUGAUAAUAAAAAUGGCAAAAAUGUGUGGCAGGGAUAGUAUGUUAUGUACACUUGUAUUCAUUUAGCUUUUCGGUAUGAGGCCCCUUCCAUUGUCAUCUUGUAUGGGAGACUAUAUCCAAAAGGUAUGCUCACCCUUUUACCAUCGGCUCCAAUAAGAAGUAGAGAAACAUGUUGAGUGUUGACAUUUGUUUUCUUAUCUGGCCUCUCUUCCUCCAUCUUGUCCCAGUAGACAAAUAGACAAACCAUCAUGGGAAACUAUCCCCAUAUGGUUACGAUUACCCUUCCACUACAAUGUGUGCCAAAAAUAACAAGUGAUGUAAAGUGUUGGGUGUUUGAUAAAAUGGUAGGUUACUACAUAUACAUAGUACCCCUUUUUGUCUGUGCCCAACUAUUAAUUUAAUGGUCCUUGGUACAAUACAUAUCCAUCCAUUAGUCUCAUAUCUUUUCUCAGACCUCUUAGUCAAAUCAUGUCUCUCUCCAUCAUUAGUCUUGCAGGUCUAGUAGUUGUGAUCCUUUUGUAUUUGUACAUGUAUGAGCACUAUAACUCAUAUUAACAUGCUUCUUUCCAUUAUCCUGAUGAUAACCGCAUUAGGUAUGUCUGUUGCCUUAACCUAUUGCCUUAUUGAUCUAUUGCCUUCUUUGCCUACCUAAGAUGUUGCUCAAAUCCUAACUGGAUGAAUAAACACCAGUUUAAACAAGUGACUAGUCAAAAAACAUAAUAAAAAAAAUAAGUAGUAAAGUGAUUUCUAGUAGCCAUGGUGUAAGAAAGCAAUAAGACAACUCUCUCGCUUAACCUGUUAGAUAGAUUCGUGAUAACCACGCUGAGAUAACCGCAGUGAUGCUUUGGGAACCUAUAGUGUGGGGGCAAAAAUUGUAAACAACAUAUUACAUAUCUUUGACAUAUGGUAUUUGUGGCAAACUGAGUUCUCUCCAACAUCGGUUAGCUCAACCCGAUGAAACUGAUGGACAAACUGAUAACGUACUUGAUGGGAACGUGCAUGAAAACAAGAUGUGAGAGGAAAAUGGCUAUGUGACAAUAUAUAUAUCUCUGUGCAAAUGAGGGAGGGAGAGAGAGACGGAGGGAACGAGCGAGGGAGGGAGAGGGAGAGAGAGAGAGAAGACACUUCGAGAAAGCAGGGGAAAUAAGUAUCCGAACAUCAUUUACUUAUCACAGGCCACACACCGUCACUGGGGUCGCAUCUAUGCGAUAGAGAUAAGGCGAUAGGACCAAACUAUAAAGUGAAGCCAUCGUGCGAAGGAACAUUGCAAACCAUAAGGUCAUCGGCCAGAGCAAUUUGCAAGAAAACAAGCCAACAAGAUAUUGAUGUCGCCGCAAGCAAAAGUGUCAAGAACUCGAGAUAGGGAGACUUGAGGAGACUUUAUUUUAUUGUACUACACAGUCGCCAUUUUGGGAAGCACCAAAGCUAUGGAAAAAGAAAUCAACCUAAAAUCCCCAAAAUGGGGAAAGAUAUAUCUCCAUUUGGUAUAUGAGGGCCUCCACCAUACCUCAACACUCCCGCAACAUCAAAGAUUAUGGUGGAGGAUCAGAGGUUGGCGACACAAUGUGCCAAGGCAUCACGUCUCUUAGGGUUUGGGGAGGAACGUUUCAGGAAAACAACUAUUCCUAUUUUCCUUACCAUGAAUCAAAAUUAAUAGGACCUAGCUGACAUCUACAGAAACUUAAUUAAUUAUUGGGCAUGCUUAUCAUCAUUUAUUUUAAAGCUUAAUAUGAUCAUCCUUUCUUCCUAUCUAUACUUGUUUUCUUGUUUUGAUAUAACUCAACAUUUAUUUGCUACCUAUGCCUUUUUAUUAGUAGUCUUUGUGUUGGUGUUCAUAAGACCCUCAUGUAUUUUAAGAAAAUAUAUUUACCAUUGAUUUAAUCAGCCAAAUAUGUAACAUAUGCCACAAAAGCAAUUUCAUUAUUUUCUUUGGAUGUAAUGUUAAUAGUAUAUGUAAGAAAAUAAAUUUACCAUUGACUUAAUCAGCCAAAUAUGUAACAUAUGCCACAAAAGCAAUAUCAUUAUUUUCUUUGGGUGUAAUCUAAAUAGUUUAUGUAUGAACACAUAUGCAAUUAUGUUAAUGAUAUGUGGGUUGGGCUUUAUAAACCCAAAUAGAGUGAGUUCUUAAGUGAGAGCGAGAUCAUAUUAAGAUGCAACGCACCAUUUAAAAAUCCACUAGAAGGCACAUGUUGAUGAAUAGAGAAUGUUCUUCAUUUCUGGUAUCCAAGUACUUCUCUUUCCUUGUACUCGCCCUCAUUAAUGCAUGCGAACAAAACUUGUAUGUAUAAGUUUUUUUUUGCGAAUACGCAAGAUCUUUUGUAUCUUUUUAUUGAUAUAAGAAGUUCGAGAAUUUUACAAAGAAUAAGGGAUGAGCAAUGGACAACAAGUGCACACUAGGGAUCAAUCCAGUGUCCCAAAUAGAAGAGGGGUGCUCAGCCCAAGGAUCUUGUGUUCUCUUGCCGUAGCCGUUGGGGACAAGGUAAAAUACUAGCGAAAAUAGCACGGUGAUGGUGCAACAAUCAAGCCAUUUGUCCGUCCAAAAGAGGCAUGAAUUGCCAUUGCACAACAUCCAUCGAGUGGAGGCGCUGAAGAUCUCCAUAGGCAUAGCAUCAUGUGGAAGGUGUAGGCAACUCUAUGGCCGGUUGGAAUCCUUGCAUUGAGCCAUAGCCAUCGGGUGCACGACACAAUGUCCUCUUGCUGCAGGUCUAUGAUCCCAAGGCCACCAAGGAGUGUGAGGCACAAGACACUAGCCGAGUUCACCUUAUAGUGGCCUCCCUUGGUGUCUUUGCAGCCAACCCAAAUGUAAACGCGGAUGAUGUGGUUGACCUUGUCGAGGAUGGUAUUAUCGAGGAAUAGGGCGAUGAUGAACUACUUUGACAUGGCGCAGAGCAAAUGGCGUGCAAGUGCGAGGCGAUCGCCGAUGUAUAGCAUAGAUGCCUUCCUUGCAGGGUACUUUCUUCUCUAGCUACAGGACGAUUGCCAUGAGUUGGAGUUUGAAGCUUAACGGAUGGAGAGGGCGGGGCCAUGUAUUUCAUUGGCAAAGGUGCUAUUUGGCUUGCCAUUGAUGUCACAGUCUUGUUGAUGUGAUCGUGAGAACAGUAGAUUGGCUGCGCGAAAUAUUUGGAGAAAGUUGGUGCGUAGUCUCGCCACGAUGCCAAACAACUAGAGGGAACUUUGACCGCUAAAAUGGUAUGGUCAUUAGGAUGGGAAAACACUACAAUGUUGUCGACAUAAAGUGACACACUCAAGGCGGCAUGCAUAUCCGUGAGGCGGUGUAAUACUCCUAGUUGGAUCAUCCGUUAAAUUAAGGAGUUUCAGACGUCGAUGAUGAGCCUGAUGAUGAAUAGGGAUAGUGGGUCACAUUGUUCUAUAGCGCGAUCAUGGUUGAUCCAUGCACGUGGGAUCCAAUUGAUCAUCAAACGGGUUGAGGCGGAGGAGGGGAGUAAGGAGAUCCACUCUCCCUAAUGAAGGGAAAAGAUCAUGUGUUGGACAGUCUCUAGGAGGAAUGGCCAUGCUACUGAGUCAAAUGCAUGUGCAAUAUCGAUCUUGAGCAGCAUUCGAGUGACUUUGAGGUUGUUCAGACNNNNNNNNNNNNNNNNNNNNNNNNNNNNNNNNNNNNNNNNNNNNNNNNNNNNNNNNNNNNNNNNNNNNNNNNNNNNNNNNNNNNNNNNNNNNNNNNNNNNNNNNNNNNNNNNNNNNNNNNNNNNNNCAGCAGGCACGUCAUCUGCUCGAGGAGCAAGAAGGUGUCAUGGAUGUCGCGGCCGACUAUGGAUGCGCUUUGGUUGGUGGAAACAAUGGAUCGAAGUCAGGGAGUGAUCCGAGGUGAGAUAGCCUUGGCAAAAUCCUUGGUGAUGGUAGGGCGAUUCUGAUUGGCCAAUAAUGAGAUGAGGACUCCACACCGGCUCGACUCCGCACCCGGCUCUUCGGGAGGAGGCCGAGCAACACCUCACUGAGCUUACAUAAUCUUUGCCGAUUCAUUUCGUGAAUCUUGCCGAGGACACUGCAUAGGUCAUGCUUAAUGAUCUCCCAUCCACUGCAAAGAAAUUUAGUGCUAAACCCAUCUAGACAGGGCGCCUUUUCCAAGAUCAAGCUUUUGAUGGCUUUUCCAAGGUCAAGCUUUUCAUGGCUAGCCAUAUGUUAUCCUCUAGUAAGGGGCAUGGAUGUAAAAGGGUCGAACAUGCACCAUGCUGAGGUCCAUGGUAUACGGUCGUUCCUCGAAGUUUCCCAAGGCGGUAGUGUAGUGGUGAAAGGCGGCCUCCGCCAUGAUUACAGGAUCGGGGACCGAGACAUCACACUCCUUGAACUUGACCAUCCCAUUUUUUUUUCUUGUGUUGGCUUCAUGGCUAUCAAAAAAGUCUGGCCUCACAUCUCCAUCCUGAAGGCAGGAGAAGGGUGCACCCUUAAUAUGGCAAAGAAGCAAGGCCUCGAGCCAGGAGAGAGGGUGGAAAUUCGGUGCCUGAUUGAGGCGCGUGAUGAGCUUGUUGGCGGCCUGGAUUGGGCGCCAGAUAUGGCGAAUGGACCAUGGGCUCCAACUUUGUAGUUGUUGCGUCAUUCUCUUAAGAUGAGUCAUGAUCGGCUAGAAGGGUUCAGGGUCACAUAUGUGCAUAAUUCCUGAAUGACAUAUAUGUUGUCGUCAAUACGUGGCCAAAGGUGCUUAAAGUGGAAUCUUCGAGGCCUAGGAGUAUGUGUCGUGCAUUGAAACCAGAUGGGACUGUAGUAGUCAAACGUUGCUAUGGGGAGGCAUCAGUGCUGGCAAUAUGGGUGUGUAAGGGACCAACCCAAGGUACAUAACACUGGUCAAUGUGUGUGUGCAUCCGAGAGUCGCACUCGCUGGACCAAGUGUAGCAGCGACCAUGAGAGUAUAGAGCACAUAGCUCCUCAUCAUUAAAGGAUCAGAAGGAAUGGGACAUCAUCCAACAAUUAAAGUCUACAUUGUUUUUGUUUGACACUGAUGUGAUCAUGUUAAAAUUGCCUCGAAGAAGCCAUGGGACUGUACAAGAGGCAGGGAAGUCCUGAAUAUUAGCGAGAAAUACAGUCUUGUCCUAGUCCUACCGAGGACGGUAGACCCUGUUGAUCGACCAAUGUUGGCCUCCAGAGGGUGGGGAAACCGCAACCUUGAUAUCGCGUGCUCCCCCACAUAAGCAUUCUCGAUUCUAGAGGGUCACAAUAUCAUCGCGCCACACCAGAAUAAUGUCGCUUCGAAUGUAGUUGGCAGGAAGAAAAAAGAACUCUUUGAAAGAGGGGGCCGAGAAAGUCGCGCACUAUGAGAGGAGAGCGAUGGUUUCUUGCAAACAUAAAAUACAAGGGGCGGUAGGAGGUAAAAAGUUGUGACCGUCCAUGAGCUUCGUCGAGGAGUCAAGACCACGCACCUUCCAAAUGAUUAUUUGGAGGUCUCUAUCCAUUGGAAAAUGAUGUUCCACGGGAAAGGGAUGGGAGAGCCCAAGCCAAAUCGACCAUGCGAUGUUGUGGAUGGGCGGGGACAACAAGGACAUCCGCAAAGUCUGGUAUCUGCAAGCUAAAGAGGCAUGUCAAGGCCUACAUGACGUCAUCUGCAAAUGCUCAUUCGAACAAGUGCAUGUAUUUCACCAAGAUUUCCUCUGAGAUGGGUACAUGAACAACAUGCUUACCUAGGAAAUCAACUUCACCUCACUGUCCAGAACACAAUCAUACUUGGCGAUUAGCUCACUCCCACAUGGAAAAAUUUAGGAGGCAACUUCUUCCGGCAUCUGUCUAGGGCUGUCAUGGGAAGAAUAAUUUAAAUAGUGUUUUAAAUGUUUGCCAGGAAUGGAUCAAUAGUAGCAGGAGUAGAGGAGUUAGUCGGCUCAUGUAGGACGUUUGGCCGUCCAUUAGAGGCUUGCGGUGCAUGGUGCGAGUAAUCCAAUUUAUCAAUGACGCGUGGUGGACACUCAGUGGCAAUCGUCGCGACCGAGCAAGCCACCUCGUGUGAGGCACAUGGUGGAUCCCCAGGUACCAGGGGAUCCAUGUGGAUGGCAUAUAGAAUAUCUGCUUGUGCGGGCCUAGGCACGACCAAUGACUCAAUGGUGGGUGUGCUUGUCAUUGAGGGAGCAGCUGGUGCUAGGAUCUAUACCUCACUGGGAGGGCAUGGGUGCACAUCCAAUCCCGGCUUAGCAACUUAGUCACAUGGGGGACUGACAGGUCAUUGACCCCGCCUCUGCCGGCCUGAAGGGCUCAAGGAGGGACGGGGUUCGGGUGAAAAAUGACAUGCAUGUCCUAAAGCACUCGAGCAGUGCUUGUCUUGUCCCCUAGAGAGUGGAAUCCUUCUGGGAGCUUUACCUGGUCUUCACUUUUUGAAUUUGAAUCAUGGGUGUGCAGGAUGGGGGGCGAGAUACUGAGGCAUUGGGAAACUAGGCGGCGUAGGCACAUCACGCGCCCCCAGCGGGAGAGCACACAGUGGACCCCGACUCCUUUUCAAUGUCAAAACGGUCGGUCCAGUAUCUGGGCACAAACAUGAAGAUAACAUUUCCAUGUCAUCUUCACAAGUGGGAUGGUUUCCAAGGAUCCCAUACCAACACUUCAGGGACAAAGGGCUAACAACACGUUCUCAUCAUGUCAGUGAGCCAUGAAGGUGGUCAUUAUGACUGUGAGGAGAGCCUCCACCAUAGCCGAUAGGAGAGGGAUGUUCGUACUGCCUAGGUCACAGAGCUGGGUAUGGUGGGGAUGAAACAGAGCGGUCACCAUCCUCGUUGGGAUCAUCCUUCAAUGAGCAACCUACACUAGUGGGGACAUGGGUGGAUGGUGGUAGUCUUCGUAGAGAGAGACAUGAACAUGUAUAGGAUAACUCAACAUGUCCAGUGCCACCCGCUCAACAUAGUUGGGUUCACUAUCUGCAUUCAUUGCGUUUGGGAUGACGAGGAAGAGCAUCAUAGCACGGGGGUAUUGGGGUUCACCAUCGAGGUCGUGAUGCAAAACUUGUCCAUGCACGACUUGAGCCUCUUCUCUGAUGUGAGGUCCAUGAUCGUGGAAUGGUUGGAGAGAAGAGUCGGUACGGUGGAGAAAUGCCAAGCGUUGUUUAUAAUGUUGGUCGUCUUGAUGUGGACGUGGAACACGGUGCACACAUGUUCCAGACUAGUCCUGACUUUGACAAAGUGGAUGAGGAAUUCCAACGGUAGGUGACAUGGAGAAGCUAUCGACAAGAGGGUUCAAGGGUCAUGGUUGGCGUUGGUGACCUCCACGCACAAGACCCAAAUCGGCUUCCCGCAAUCAUAGCCAGUUGGGUGAGUCGCAAUUGACAUCGAUCCUCUUCUAUCUGGGAUGAUCAUUGGAGGUAGCAGUCACACUUUGUCGGCUUGAGCAUGGGGUGGCCCGACAAGGCAACUAAGGGUGAGGUGGACCGAGGCGGCGAAGGUGGGAGUAGCGCAGCGGCCGCGGUGCUCCUUGAGAGCAUGUGCUGCCGUAGUCCAGCCACCAAUGAAGUCGAAUAAAGGUAGAAGGACCAUGCAAAUGCUUGGUCGAUGGUGACCUCCCCAGAGACGGGGCACGGGGGUUUGUGCAGGGGAGCGUGAUCUACCUUAGUGGUCAUAGCGCCUAUAGUGGAUGUCACAUCUACACUCGACCCUCGGGCGUCCGGUGUAUUGGCAAUAGGGCAGACCUUUGACAUCGGGGAUGACGGACAUUGGAUGGAGGGAUUGGAUGGGUGCCAUAGGCCACUAGCGAUGUGGAUGAUGACGUUAGUGAUGACCAUCCCUCUCUGUCCUCUGUCGCCCAAUCGCCUCGUGCCUGAUAGAUCUCAAAGUAGAGUACAUGCCAAGAGGGCGACGGUGGUGCAACCGCGCCCAACGAGGCCGCAACACCGAAGAUGGGGAGUUGUCCACUCAGGGCUUCAUGGUAGGAGCACGGCAAGGACUCCUUCAAGGACAAGAUGGACUCGAGCCACGUGUCCGCCCGGGCGCGACCAUGCACAGUCGAGGGACGAGAGGCCAUGAGAGGGUAAGGGUGCUAGGUGUUAGGGUAAAGAUGUUAGGUGGAGGGAAGUGGUGGACACUGAGGCCGAGCAGCCGUCGGCGAGGGAUGCUAGGAGAGGGAUAUACGACAUGUCACGUACCAUAGGUGACGUGCAAAAGGAGUUACCAUUCACGGCUUCUGGGAUAAGGAUUUUUUUUUUGUAAACCAAAUACUAGCCGUGUUCAAUUCCUACACCCUGAACUGAGACACUCCUUCACGUAUGUGUAUAUAAGCUUGCUCUUGAGGAGCAGUUGCACAUUUCAGUCGGUGUACCAUCAUUCAAGUCUGGGCGUGAAGACUUGGUAUUUGUCAGAGUUGACGAUGACUUUCUCGGUCUUUGUGAUGGCUUCACAUCCUUUCGAGGGGCGCAAUUCCCUUCAAGUGCUUUGGUAUUCAAGCUAUAGUCUACUUUUUCUUUGUCCGUAGCGUUUUGGUUUUCUUUAAGCUCCUUGCAUCGGCUCUUGUGAUUUUGUAUCCACGUUUUCUUUUCUUUCCUAAUUGUACGGUUUGACUUCCUCCUGAUCGGUUGAUGGCUUUGUAAAUUCGAAGUCGAAUUAUGUUCGAGCCUUAUCUCAUGCUUUCAUUAUGCAUUAUAUAUAUAUAAAAUAAUUAUAACAAGAAUCUCUUUCAUCCCAUUCUAUUGUACACAAUGAAAUAUGGUGUGGGGGCUGCCUUGGUUUCCAUCCCCUAACAAUCUGGCGAAAUCCAUGCCGCCACCGUCAUCGGCCUUCAUGUCGGCCGCGUGUGGCAAGUCCUUCGCUCUCACUCUCACGCGGGACAUCGGAGUUGUUGCAGCCUCGUCCGUCGAUCGGUAUGCAGGGGUCAUUUUGGCCCGUGUCCCUGUCGUAGGGGAGGGGGACUCCAGGUGCCCUAACCCCUCACGCAAGAAGUUCCCUCGCCGGAUUACAAAAACCCAUCUAGGUUUCGGGUGAGGUAGCCGAGAGGACAUAUCAAUUCGCCUGAGAGAGUCUACGCCCCCAAUCUGAUCUCUUGCCGACAAGCAUGUCAGCGGCCUCGCAGAACUCGGGCAAGUCGCUAGUGGCUUCCAAUGUGAAAUUGGAGGUGGGUUGGGGCGCAUAUGGGGCUCCCUCUGUGGAUGCUGCUCCCCCGAAGCCUCCCUUCGGGGAUCUAAAGUGGCCACACGAGUAAAUCCAAGGCUGCAAAGCUAGUGGUCUGGGAUCAACUCGAAACAAAAGAGUCGAUAGGCUCGUCGCCGACAGAGCACGAAAGCGGAGACCAGAAUGGAGAAGGACAGGAGGAAACCUCCUUCAGGGAGGACCCUGAGGACAACGCAGGGCUGGUGGAGGUGGAGCUUGAGGAAGAAGGUAUCCUACAACAUCCUGAACACCCGUGAGCUGUGAUCAUGCUUGUGUACUCCCUGGAGCAGACGUUCCCUUUUACUCUGUCUGAGAACAUUGUGGGAGGAUGAGGUUCAAGGAGGUUUUUGACUAUGCUUAUGAGGGAGACCACAAGUACUUGGUACACUUUGGCGGUAAGGCAAACAUUGCUCGUGUCCUCCAAGGAGGGCCAUGGCAGUAGGAGCAUGAUCUGCUGCUCAUCGAGGCAUACGAUGGUAUGAGGAAUGUUUCUAACUACACCCUGAACACGAUGAUAAUAUGGGUGCUAUCCUGAAUGUGCCCAUGAGCUGGAGGACCGAGGCCAUGGUUCGUGCGUUGUGUGUCAUCCUGGGUACCAUCCUGCAAACUGAGCUGGAUGGGGAUACGGGCAACUAUGUUCGUGUUAGAGUGGCGAUCCUAGUCAACCGUAUGUUGGAGACUACAAUCGCCAUGUUUGCCACGCUGAAGGAGCACAGGACAAAAAUUGAGUUCUAGAUCUAGUGUGAAAAGCUGUCGAAUAUUUGUUACUCAUGCGGCUCGGGCACGAGGAGAAAUCCUCUGGCAGAAGGGGUAGUGGAGGAGCUCCUUCUCGCAAAUUCAGUGGCAAGCUCCGUUGCACACUGCCACGACGAUUCGGUAGACAGACCGGAAUUGUAAAAGCCAAGGCUAACACAACGACCUUUAGGGGACGUGAUUUCUCCUUGGAGAGGAUAGGUUCUACACGUCAUGGAAGAGGUGGAAUGGGGUGCGCAGGUCAGACGGUAGCUCGGUGCGGCGCCCAAAGGACAAACCUGACCACAACACCGGAAACCGAGUCGUUGAUGAGAUGCUUGCCGCAAAGAUGCUGGUGAUGCCUCGGACCAGCACAGAUACUGCAAAUACAGGUGCUGGCGACAAUGCUCCCAGGAUCCAGAUUUCAACACAACUUCAAGCGGGCGUGGAUAUGGCUGAGGAGUCACUCCCACAAACUUCAGAUAUGAUCCGUCCCAUACAUAACUUAUCCCAUGAUCUGAGCAUAGAUGAUGUAGUCAUAUCACACGAGGUGUCAACCCUCGCAAAGCAUGCAACGACAGGGUCCAGAUUGCUAGCACAGGUGGAGAUGGUGGUUGGCAAGCACUGGUGGUUUACCGCAACACAACAAACUCUAAUGAUUGUGUGAUUUCAGGCACUCCAAAGAAAUGCAGGACUACUGUAUCGCUGGAUGGGUAGCACACUCAUGUUGGAGAUGGGAUGACAGACCAGGACAUGGUGGACAGGUCUUACACACAGGAGGAAGUCGGCCUAGGCGCCGCUGACGAACUGAUAGGGCCGGCGGCGCCCCGUUAGGAGCAAUGAAUAUCCUAAACUCGAACUGUCGAGGGGGAGGGAACCCUCGGACAGUUCGUAAUCUUGUGAGCUUAGUCCAAGCUCAUUCCCCUAGUAUCGUUUUUUGUGAAACUAGGCAGCCAAAAAGUAAAAUUAAGCGAUCGUGUGCUCGUUUACCUUUGAGAGGAUUUGAUGCUUUUGAUUGUAAAGGUCUUAGUGGUGGUCUUGCCCUAUACUGGGAUGAGUCAUUCAAUCUUGAUGUAAAAGUAACAAAUGAACGAUAUAUUCAUGCGUACGUGACUAGAGUGGAGGGUGAGCCCCCCUGGAGGCUUACUUGUGUCUAUGGUGAACCUUGGCUGGAGGAUUGUCAUCACAUGUGGGCACUGCUACGGAAUCUCCAUCAACAUGCAUGUAUGCCGUGGGUAGUGAUGGGUGACUUCAACGAAGCGAUGUAGAGUUUUGAGCACUUCUCCAACACCCGCGCUCUGUAGGUCAGAUGAUUGAUAUUCGAGAUGUUCUUGAAGUCUGUGGUUUAGACGAUCUUAGUUUUGCAGUCCUUCCCUAUACAGUUGACAACCAUCGUGGAGGCCGCACAAAUGACAAGGUUCGCCUCGACCGGGUUGUGGCUAAAAACGCUUGGAGGGACGUGUUCGGCCAUGCUAGGGUGGAGCACUUGGUGGCCCCGAGCUUCGACCACCUGGCCAUCAUUCUCAAGUGCGCGCCGGAGGAACCACACCAUCAAGAAGGAAGACGGUGUCGUCAAUACGAGGUCAUGUGGGAAUGGGACCCCUCCCUCCCUAGGUAAUAAUGAAUGAAUAGAUUGAACUGGGUGCAUUGCUGCACUUAGGUGAUGUUGCAAGUGUUCUUGGGAAUGUGUUGAAGAAGUUGCAAGCAUGGAGUCCCAAAAUUUUUGGUAAUGUUAUUAAGGAUAUUAACAAAUCAUGCGCUUGCCUCAAGGAGCUUAUGUCUACAGAAAGGAAAGAGAUACGGAAAGACACCGACAGAAUGAACGAACUGCUUUAUAGAGAGGAGAUGUUGUGGAUGCAGCGAUCACAUAUCGCUUUGCUGUGGGAAGGCGACCGCAAUACCAAGUUUUUCCAUUGGAAGGCUGUGUGGAGAGCACGAAAAAACACAUAAAAGUCCUCAUUGAUGAUGACUGCGCUGCACAUCAGGAGCAUGAUUCCACUGUGGGCAUGGCUACAACAUACUUUGCCAAACUCUUUGCUGCUGACCCUUCCCUCGAUGCGGAUCCAGUAAUUAAUCUUAUUAACCGUCGAGUGUCUAACCACAUGAAUGAUGGAUUGUGUGCAGAUUUCUCUCAUAAGGAAAUUGCCGAUGCUCCGUUUCAGAUUGGACCACUGAAGGCGUCGGGCCCUGAUGGCUUUCCUGCCCGCUUUUUCCAGCGUAAUUGGAUGUGAUGGAAGUCCAGGUAACAAACGGGUUUAAAAAAUUCUUUUGGCCAGGAAUUAUGCCCGAGGGGUUGAACAACAACUCUAUUGUUCUGAUCCCAAAGGUGGAUAAUCCCGAGAGACUCGCGGAGUUUUGCCCUAUCAGCCUAUGUAAUGUCAUAUACAAGGUGGUGGCUAAAUGUCUGGUAAACCGUCUGAGGCCUAUACUGGAUGAUAUCAUUUCACCGGAGCAGAGCGCCUUUGUUCCUGGUUGUAUGAUCACUAAUAAUGUGUUGACUACUUUUGAGUUCUUCCAUUCUAUUCAAAAGGAGAAGGACCCAAGCAAGAGUUUCUUUGCGUACACGCUGGACUUCUCCAAAGCAUAUGAUAGGGUGGUCUAGAUCUUCUUGGAGCGAAUGAUGCCAAAGAUGGAUUUCGCUCGCCGAUGGGUGGACUGGAUUAUGGCUUGCGUCACCUCGGUAAGAUAUAAAGUGAAAUUUAAUGGAAGCCUUCUGGAAUCGUUUGCACCAUCGCGAGGGCUGCAGCAAGGUGAUCCUCUGUCCUCAUUCUUAUUUCUGUUUGUGGUUGACGGGCUAUCUGCUCUACUAAAAGAAAGUGAGGAAAAAGGUGAUCUCACACUGCUAAAAGUGUGCCACAGAGCCCCAGGUGUGUCUCAUUUACUGUUUGCCGAUGAUACAUUACUAUUUUUUAAGGCUGAUCAGGAAGAAUCCCUCAUUGUCAAGGAUGUGCUAAAUACAUACUCGAAGGCCAUGGGACAAUUCAUCAACCCCGCCAAAUGCAGUGCUAUGUUUGGUUCGACAUGUGACUUGGGAAAACAAGAUGAUGUGCGAACAAGUCUGAACAUUGGCACUGUUACAUUUGAGGAGAAAUAUCUUAGGCUCCCAACGCCCGAAGGAGGCAUGCCGAGAGGUAAAUUCCAGAAUCUGCAAUCUCAUUUACUGAAGAGGAUCAUAGCUUGGGGGGACACCCUAUCUUUGGCUGGCAAGGAAACCAUGAUCAAAGCAGUUGCUCAAGCUAGUCCCACAUAUAUCAUGGGCAUAUUUAAGCUCCGUAUGUCAUUGUGUGAUGACCUGAAUAGGAUGGUUUGCAACUUCUACUAAGGUGCCUCCGAGGGGAAAAGGAAGACGCACUGGCUGGCUUGGCUGAAGAUCGAGGCUCAGAAAUGCAAGGUGGGCUUGGGGUUUAGAGACUUUCUCCUUUUGAACCAGGCCCUCCUGGCGAGGGCCUGCUUACUAAACCUACCAAUUUAUGUGCGCAGGUUUUAAAGGCUCGCUACUACCAUGAUGGUUGCCUUGAGGACACGGUGUUCUCGGGGAACGCUUCCCCGGCCUGGUAGGCUAUCCAGCACGGCCCCGAGCUCCUAAAAAGGGCAUCGUCUAGCGAGUCGGCAACCACAAGGACAUCCGCGUGUGGCGAGAUCAUUGGCUGCCGUGAGAACCCUCCUACCGCCCCAUCACUCUGCAGGUGACCUGCCGUAUACGAGGGGUGGCUGAGCUCCUCGACGCUAAUGGUUCCUGGCCUACUGUCGUACUCCAGCGACACUUCUUGCCGGCGGACUUGGUCGUCAUCACCUCCACCAGGACUUCACCAUGCAUCAUAGAGGAUAUCAUUGCCUAGGCACCGGAGAAGAACGGUAUCUUCACCGUUCGAUCCGUGUACCGCCUAGCAAUGGACGAGCGCGAGCGUCCAUUGGCCACCGCCACGAGCAGGGCACCUGAUGGUCGUCGCGCCAUUUGGAAGAUCAUAUGAGGGUGCCCUGCUCCCCUAAAGGUACGCAUUUUUGCAUGGAGGGUCCUCACGAAUUCUCUUGCCACUUGGACCAAUAAAGCUUCAUGACAUCUUGAGGUGACUGAUGUUUGUCCCCUAUGUGGUGUUGAACGCGAGGAAGGCUUCCACGCGCUCUGCAGGUGCCCACUAGCGAAGGAUCUAUGAAGGCUCAUGGCGCUGGACUGGAACAAUACCCAAGGUGGAGGCCAUUUGUGACACAAGUCCGGAGUGUCUCUUCACACUGCUGGAACCCCUGGACGAGACGUCAAGGCUGGUGGUUCUCAUGACCAUGUGGAGGGUGUGGCAUGUGCGGAAUAAGGUUUCCCAUGACAAGCCCCCACCACCGGCUGAGUCUUGUCGCCGGUUCCUGCAGAGCUACAUCAAGUCCUUGCUAUGUAUCUAGUAGUAUCCGACGGCCAAUAUGGAGAAGGGGAAGAUGGUGGUCUGCACUAACCCAUCGAGGAAGAAGUCCUGCAGGGUGCCUCCGGAGCGGCCCUGUUGGACUCCCCCUGCUACGGGCUUGGCCAGACUCAACAUGGACGACAACUUUGUUGCAGCUACAGUAGCGGCGGGAAGCGGCAUGGUCCUCCGUGAUGAUCGAGGGAAUAUCAUCUUUAGCGCUUGUAGGCAAAUCCGUACAUGUGAUAGUGCGCUAGCUAGAAGCGGAGCUCUUAGCCUAUAGAGAAAGCAUCGACCUUGCACUACAUAGGACCAUGAUGCCUAUCAUCGUGGAGACGGACCGUGCAGAGGCGGUGGCGAUGCUCAAAGCACUCGCAACGAACAGAUCGCCUCUCCGAUCUCUAAUUGAAGAGAUCAAAAGCCUAGCUGAACGCCAUGUUCGAGAGUUUGUCUUUUUAAAAUGUAGUCAUGCGUAGAACAUCACGAGUCAUGACCGCAGUACCACCAGUACGGCCGGCAGUCAGAUUUGCUGGAGGGCCGGAUUUUUUUGUAAGCAUGAUCACGGCUGAAAGGACACCGUAACAAAUGAGAAUAUUUUUUUCCCCGAAAAAUAACAAUCUUUUUCAACCGCUGGGUAAACCAAAUCCUAGCGGGGUGCAAUUCCUAGAAACUGAACUGAGACACUUUUCAACUUAUGUGUAUGUAUAUAAGACCAAAAGUUUUGAAAACGAAUCACUUGAUGAAUUAUAAGCAUCGACAUAGUAGUAUUUACUUUUGAAACGAAACGUGUGCAUAAUAAGAAGCAAAGAAACGACAUAGUAACGCACCUAAAGCGCGCGACAUGGCAAGCCCCCCAACGCGCAGCUGCUCGUCGCUGGAGCGCCACACUUUGCCUCCGGCCGCCUUGACGCGCGCCCUCUCGUCCGCCCGCUCCAGCUGCAUCAACGGAUCGUCGGUCAAGCUCAAAAUCUGUCCGCCAUCACCGGAGCGGACCACCAGAGGAGAUUAAUCUCACCUUGUGGUCCUCGGACAGCGGGAUUGCAUGACCGGCGCGGCAGAGCACGGCGCGGGAGUCGCCGCAGUUGGCCACGAGGAUGCUGCCGCCGACCACCAGCGCCACCACGGCAGUCGACCCCACGACGGGCCAUCCCGAUUCCGACAGCCCCAUCCCCAGUGCGUCCGCCCGCUCGAAGCUCCGCUUCAGCGCCGCCUCCCACGCGCGACGCUCCGCCUCUUCGUCCUUCUCCGGGUGCUCCUUCCGGUAUGCCGUCGCCGCCACCGCCAGCUCCUCCGCCAGGAUGGCGUGCAUCUGGUCCCUGCACAGGGCCGACACCUGCACCGCCACGGACGAAGCAAAUCAAAUCACACGGUGUCGUAGGGUAGGGCGUAGAGAUGUGUCGAGCACUCCGCGUGGGGAUGGCCAAGGAGAGCGGAGGUUACCCUACCCUGGGUCCGCCGUGGCCAUCGAAGACGGCGAAGAAGUGCAUGGGAGAGCCGUCGACCCAGGCGCAGAAGAAGGGGCGCAGCGACACGGUGUCCUCCAUCAUCUUCCCGUCAUCGUCCUGCCCCUUCUGCGAUGCCGACCCGAACGCCAGCGGCCACACCGCCGCCGCUGCAGGUGCAGGUGGCUGUGGGAGCGCCGGCACCGCGCGGGAGCUCUCCCCUUCCUCGGCACCCGUCAGGUACCCGUCUGAACCCUCCGAGGACGCGUAGUACCCUGACGAUGGCGGUGGGGACUGCAGCUCGCCUCCCUCGGAGGCCACGGCAGCGUCGGCUCCCUGCUCGCCGGCGGCAGGCACGUUGUUCAGCCCUCCGUUGCCCAUCACCACAGAUCUAUCACGGCAAGGGGAGGAGCAGAUUGUGCAGAAUGCGCGUUGGUCCGGAAGAGACUGCGGGUAGCGAAGCAGUUUUGUGUAACGUUAAAUUGCAGGCGGCGGACACAUGCCGACGCCGUUUCUUAUCUCUUGAUUAAUGUUUGAUGAUUUUCUCCUUAUCUCUUUUGUCGAUCUCAGGUCGGUGCCGCGGUCAGAGCAUUCGCCGUUCGUAGUCUAUCUUUAGGAUUUGGAGAUAUAUCGCUGCAUCUAUUCUCACUCCCCGUGUAAAUUAAUGACAUGCAUUUAAUAUCGUUGGCAUAUUUUGAAUGAUUGAUAUCUUCUGAACUAAGUAUUUUCUUUUUUUAAGUUUUUAAUACACUUGAAUUCGGAACAAGAAGAAUUCCAGAGCCAGACCAAUAUUGGAUAUAUUUGAACUGUAUUUUUAUUUUAUUUGUUUCGACUAUCUUUGAAAUUAGUUUCAUAAAGCAUUGCAUUCUUCCACUAUUUGAAAAAGAAGUGACAUCGACUAUUUCACUACUUGAAGAAAAUUGAUUUCUACUAUGUGAAAACAUCCAUUUCAAUUUUUAUUUCUAAGAAGCCGCGUUUCAAUUAUUUCACUAAACCCAUUUCAUCUAUUACAUUAAAAUAACGAUUUUAUUUCUUUUAUAAGACCAAUUUGCAUGGAACUGGGGCUACGUCGCUGGUGGGGGACACGCGUCGAGGCCGUUUCUUCUGCAUUUAUUGCUCUUUAUUAAUGUUUCAUGGUUUUCUCCAUAUCUCUUUUGGAGAUCUCAGGUUGGUGCCACGGUCCGAGCAUUCGCCGUUCGUUGUCUAUCUUUACGAUUAGAUAUAUCAGUGCAUCUAUUCUCUCCCCUCGUAUAAAUAGCAUGCAUUUAAUAUCAUUGUCAUAUUUUGAAUGAUGGAUAUCUUCUAAAGUGAAUAUUUGUUUUUUAAGUUUUUUAUAUACUUAAUCCAUAAUGAGAAGAAUUUUAAAGCUAGAUCAAUAUUGGAUAUAUUUGAANNNNNNNNNNNNNNNNNNNNNNNNNNNNNNNNNNNNNNNNNNNNNNNNNNNNNNNNNNNNNNNNNNNNNNNNNNNNNNNNNNNNNNNNNNNNNNNNNNNNNNNNNNNNNNNNNNNNNNNNNNNNUAUUGGAUAUAUUUGAAAUGUCUUUCUAUUUUACUACCAAAAAUAUCCAAGGGUUCGCCCGCAUGGGCUAGCCCAAUAAAUAUGCUCCUCGUUUGACUGGUUCCCUAGCUUCCGCCCUAUUUUCCUGGUUGAUGUCCCUGGCUCCAGGGUUGGGGCCACCUCAAUUCAAGGGUAUUCAUUUGAAUAUCUAUUAUUUUUGUCAAAAAACUAGGUGUAUAUAGUGUAUAUUCUGUGUUGUAUAAGAAAAAAUGAAACUGGUACACAAGAACAUGCUAGUUAAGCAUUUCAGCCCAAAUACAAAGGCAGCCCAUAGUGUCUAUUUCUCCCUCACCACCACGACAGGGUGCAUAUGGCCCAGAUUGGUAGAAAAAAUAAUCCAUCAAACCCAUUGAUCGAUUUGAGGGCACCGAACCGGUGGCGCCGCCCUGCCUUCCACUCUUCUUUCGUUUGCAUCGCACGCGAUUCGUGCCGCCAACCGCCUGAUCGGCACCCAUGAAGGGUAGGCCCCAGAUCGGCGAUCGAUCGCCAACGAAUCCAUCUCUGUCCCUUGAUCCCUUGCCCCCCUUUUGGUUCUUAAGUUUCUAACCGUUGCACACUAAUGUAGCCGACGGGUUAGCAACAUGAUUGCAGGAAUUAAUUCAGUUCGUAGCCACGACCCGAAUUCAGCUAUUGCAGGUAUAAUUGCUAAUUACAUGUACUAAUCAUCUGACCACGAAUUAAACUAUACAAAGUGUUCUAACUGAAUUUAUUUAUCAUUCUCGAAUUGAAUUCAGUAAGCACGAUACAAAAGUCUUCUAACUGAAUUUAUCUGUCAUUGUCGUGUCGAACUGAACUCAGUCAGCACUAUACAAAGUGUUAUAACUGAAUUUUUCUAUCACUAUAGAACUGAAUCCAGGCCACAUGGGAUCGAUUUUGUUCUCACAUUGUUCAGCAGNNNNNNNNNNNNNNNNNNNNNNNNNNNNNNNNNNNNNNNNNNNNNNNNNNNNNNNNNNNNNNNNNNNNNNNNNNNNNNNNNNNNNNNNNNNNNNNNNNNNNNNNNNNNNNNNNNNNNNNNNNNNNNNNNCCAGCAGGCUGCAGUACAUAAGUGCAAGACUGAAUAAGUUAGUUUGACCACUGACUAGUUGUUUUUGGGUGUCAUUGAUAGGCCACUUCACAAUCUCAAUAACAGUUUUGAUGAGGUAAACACAGAGCUGCUUAGAUGCGUGUCAUCAUUCAGUCCAGCCAAGUCAUUUUCUAAUUUUAAUAUUGAUGACUUGGUUAAGCUUGUUGGGUUGUAUCCUCAUGAUUUUUCCUUGGAAUAAAUUCACCAAUUUCCUUUUCAACCGGCUCUCUAUAUUAGUGAUGUGAGGAAUGAUGAAAACUUCACAAACUUGAGAAGUCUAGUAAAGUUGUCUAUGAUGCUUGUUAUAACAGGGAGCUAUCUUCGGUAUGGGAUUGUUUACAAACUUCUCAAAUUGGUGCUAGUUCUUCCUGUUGUAACAUCUGGUGUUGAGAGAGUCUUCUUAUCAAUGAACUAUAUAAAAAACAAGCUAAGCAGCAAGAUGGGGCAAAAGUACUUGAAUGAUUGCUUGGUGACAUUCAUUGAAAGGGUUUUUUCUUGGAAGUUAAGGCUGAGGAAAGCAUCAAGGACCGUAAAUUUAUCCUCUAGUUUUUAAGGUUUCUUAUCAUUUGCUAUCUAUAUCCUCUAUAUACCCUAGAUUUUGCCACGGUGUGUUCAACAAUUUUUAGUUCUAUAUGUUGAACAAAACCAAAUUUGCCGCAAUGUGUUGAACAAAUUUUAGUUCUGUAUGUUGAACAAAACAAAAUUAUGAUCAAUUUUUAUGAAUAUAAUACAUUCUACGAUGUCUUUUAUAUAGUUUAGAAUUGGUAUAAUAUGCUGCUAUAAUUAGUUAUAUGUGCCAAAAUUAAGGUUGUAGGCUUCAAAAAAAGAUUUUCAAAUUUGAAUACACAAUGUUCAAUUCCUGGGCCGGCCCCUGCCUGGCUCGCUAUACUUUCUAAUUGUCGCCUCGCUAAGCUUCGUUUGGCUCUUUCCUUUGUACCGCUCGCUUAUGAAAAUUGCUUAUAGUUUUAUUUUGGUUUUGAAUACUUUGGUGAGAUAGAAUAGAUUCCUACAACAAAAUGUUUAUGAUUCCAAAAAAGUUGGCUAAUUCGAAAAUUAAACCUGUGUAUUCGAAUAUAUAUCACAAAAUUGAAAAUAUAUCCAUGAAUUCAAAUAAUGUUACAGAUUCAUAAAAGUUAAUUGAUAUGAAAAAGCUCAUGGAUCGGAAAAGUUCUCUAACUUGAAGAAAAUCGUGAAUUUGGAACAAUGAUUGCAAAUUUAAAAAAUUCAAAAAUUUGCCAAAUUUUGAUGUUUCAAAAAUCAUUCAUGGAUCAGAAAUGCAAAAAAUUGAAAACAAAUCAGGAAUACGAAAUAUGUUUGUGAAAUUUAAAAAUCUUCACGAACAUUCAAGACAAUCACAAAAGAAAAUAAAAUAAAAUUUUAAGGUGUCAUGUAUUUUAUAUUUCACAAAUUAUAAAAUAAAAUAUUUAAAAAUAUUAAAUUUAUAAGGAAUCAAAAAAGGAAAAGUAGACUCAAGUAAAUAACAGUAAAUAAAUAAACCGAAGCAACCCAAAACUGAUUGAAGCUUUUUUGUUUAUAGAAAGUGGAUUGGUAUGCAGGCAUGCGUUGUGUUUGGUAACUCAUGGAUCAGAAAUGUAAUACUUCCUCCGUCCAGAAAUACUUGUCCUAAAGAUGAAUGUAUCUAGACUUAUUUUAGUUAUAGAUACAUCCAUUAUAUCCAAUUCUAGGACAAGUAUUUUCGGACGGAGGGAGUAGUCAAAAAACCGGAAUACAAAAUAUGUUUGAGAAAUUGAAAAAUGUUUAUGGAUAGAAAAAAACGAUUCAAAAUGAAAAUAAGUUAAUUAAAUUAAAAGUAUGAUGAAUUUUAUAUUUUUAGAAUUAAAAUAUCUGAUAUUUCAAGUGUUAUUUUUAAAAGGAACCAUAAAAAGGGAGAGUCAAGUAAAUAACUAAAAACAAAACCGGCGGGAAGCAUCCCAAAAUUGAUGGAAGCUUUUCAGUUCUAAGAAACUGGAUGGGGAUGCAUGCAUGCGUUGCGUUUGUCUGCGAUUUUCAAUUAUGGCGUCAUGCUUAGGUCCGCCUCUGGUCAUAUGUCAUGUGUCCUCAAAUCGGGAUCAAAGACACUACUCGGCAAACAGGAAAUGCCCGCUCAGUCGGGGGUAUUCUUCGUUCAGUUGGUUGAUAGUCGACUGGUCAACUGUUGACCAUAGAAAAAAAUACCAGAAAAUUUCAUAAAAAUGAAAAGAAAAUGAAAUUUUGAAAAACAAUCAAAGAUUAUGAAAAUUUUGAUAAAUUUACAGAAAAUCACAAUUUUUCUCAAAUUUUCAAAAAAGUUAAUAGAUUUUGAAAGAAAAUCUUUGCGAAUUUUAAAUUGGUCAUGCAAUUGAAAAUAUUAUCGAAUUAGCAAAAUUCAUGACUUUUGAAUAAGGUUCACAGAUUGUAAAAAUGUUUAUAAUUUCUGAAAAUGUCAUAAAUUUCCAAAAAAUACGAACUUUAGAAAAUAUUGUUGAAAAAAAUAAAAUUGGGAAUAGUUCACAAAAUUUGAAAAACUUCACAAACUUUAAAAGAAUUAAUAUUUUUUGAAAAAUAUCAUUAAUUCGUAAAAUAGUCAUAAAAAGGGAUAAUGGACUGCACAUAAAAAUACAAAAAGGGGAAAUGGAAAAAAAAAAUCAAAGAAACGAAAAAGGAAUAAACAUAACAAAAAAUUCAAAAGGGAAGCAUUCAGAGUCUUUGGGACCUUCCUAAAACUGAUGUAAACGGAAGUCUAGAUGACCCGGCCUAUCUAACAGGAUACUAGUAACAAGCGCACCAAGCAUUGUAUAGAAAAUGCCUUUCAGUUGCUCCUUCUAAAUUCAUUUUUCACCACCAAGUUUGAUAAAAUAGUCCAAAUGAUCUAUAUAUAGAAAUCAUCGUAUAAUUUCUUUUACGUAUUAAUUGAAUUGAUGUAAAAGCUAGAAAUAUUAUCAGUUCAUUUUUCACCUGUUGAAAUACGAAGAUAAGGUACUUUGCAUAUUACCUUGCAGGAAAAUUAUAAAUAUUCUAAAAUUUUCUAUAUGGGGAGCACUAAUUAUAUUGUUCGAUGAUUUUUUUUCAAAAUUAAGAAUUAUAAAAUUUAAUAUCUAAAAUGAUGAAGGUUCAAUAAUUAUAAAAUUUACCGGUGGAGAUCAUCCACGUGGAUUUUAUACAGGCUAGAAAGAGGCAAUGUAUGGGAUUUACCAUAUCAUCGUUCGAUUUUGAGUAUAGAAAUACCCUUUCGGUUUCCUACAUGCAAGAUAUUUGUAGAUAGAGAGCACUAACGCUGAUUCAAUUGAGAUUUAUCUUCCAUCAGAUUUGUAUAUAUCUUAUCCCAAUUCAGCCGGUGCAGUUUUCUGUACUAGUAUUCGUUUUUGUCCGGCAUGUUGGUUAGUCAACCCGUUUAAUAAUACCUGCAGUUUAAAUAUUUCCUAGAAAUAUGCUUAAUGGAUUAAAUACGGCAGAUGAACAUGUGAUGGUCUAUGUUGAGUGUAAAUUAAGUUUCAAGGUCAACACAUGAAGCAGCGGCCGCAUGGCCUCGAAACCUUAGUCGUUUCUUCUCUAAUCCAUUAUCGUUACAUUCUCAAAUUCUUACCAAAGCCUCCAUGGAUCAUGUAACUACACCAUGCCAAGUUUCAUGUGUUUAAUUUUUUUCCAUUUUUUUAAAUAAAAUACCAAUAAGCUCCAUGUUCAGACUCAAGUUUUGGCAUCUGAGAUUUGAGUUCAUUUCCAUUUCAUGAAGGACUAAAAAUAGGCUCAAGAACACAAUUGGAUUAUUCAACCCAUUUUUAAACUUCCCAUGCACUUGGAGCUUAAAUUUUGAUCAUAUCUAAAAAUGCCAAGAAAAGUAUUAACUGCCGUAAAAAAAGGACACCAAACAAUGUUAAUUUUUGGAAUAGAACAUUUACUCAUGUAUAUUAAGUGUACAAUUUUUUUUAAGGCCAACGCAUGAAGCAGCGAUUGUUCACCUUUAUUUCUAACUCGUUCCUUCUCGAAACCAUGAUUCCUCCUCGAAGAUGGUCUGGUUCCUAAUGAGUGAAUGCCAAAACUUUUCCAAAAUCUUUUGAAAUUACCACAGUAUAUGUAUGCCAUAUAAGGGCACUAUCACAAGUUUCAUGUUUCCAAAUUAUUUUGCUUUUUCUAGAAUUAAGAAAUCAAUAACGUCCAUAUUCUAGGUCGAGUUUUGUCACAUGCUUGGAAUUCCUUUUAUUUUCUAGGAUACAGACCAAACAUAGACUCAGGGAUACAUAUAGUAUUUUGUAAUCUAAUUUUACCAAAUUUUCAUGCAGUUGUAGUUCAAACUUUCAUUAUAUGCCUAGGAAAACACUAAAUGACUUUAAUCAAGCAAAGAAACCCACAAAAUGCCAAAUUUUGACACGAAAUAUGUGACGGUGCAUGUUUAUAAAAGAAAUCAACGUCAACAGAAGAACUAGCAGUCGCUUCGGUGUCAUACCUGACCAGUUCCAGGUCAAAAGCUAGAUUCUUUGUCGGAGAUGGUCUGGUGUCUAAGGAACUUUUGUUACUAAUUUUGCGGCACCAUCAUACUCUGACCACACCUCUAGGUAUUAUAUAAUGACACCGUGCCAGGUAAACCAAUGACCUGGUGUUUGAGGUUGUGUCUUGGCACCCACAAUUUUGUAAUUUCUUUCAUGUUCUUGGAUAAAGCCUAAAAACAGGCUCAAGANNNNNNNNNNNNNNNNNNNNNNNNNNNNNNNNNNNNNNNNNNNNNNNNNNNNNNNNNNNNNNNNNNNNNNNNNNNNNNNNNNNNNNNNNNNNNNNNNNNNNNNNNNNNNNNNNNNNNNNNNNNNNNNNNUAAAAACAGGCUCAAGAGCAUCAAUAGCUAGGUUUUGGAUCCAGAUUCUACGAACUACUUCAUGCAUUUGCAGUUCAAAUUUUAACUCUUUUCACUAAAUGCCCCGAAAUACACUAAGGGUGUGUUUGGUUGGAGGGAUAUCCUCCCAGGGACAGGGAUAACCACUUUUUUCUGUGGUUGCCAUGCGUUUGGAUCUGGGGCGAGGAGGGACAGAGUCAACCAGAUGCUGGGAAUAUUCCCAGAAAAAAGGGAUGUGGCCAACCGCCAAAAACGGGCGGGCGGUGGCAACCACCCUGGGGCAGCCGGCGCGGGAGGGCGGGAGGCGGCCUGCGCGGCCGACGCGGGAGGGCGGCCGACGCAGGAGGCGGCCGGCGCGGCCGUCGCGGGAGGCGGCCNGGAGCUGGCCGGCGCGGGCGCGGCCGCCGCGGGAGCUCCCCAGGCACCUGGUUAUCCAUCCUCCCAACCACCCUAGCCAAACAAAAAAAAGAUAACCCUACCCUCCCACCAAACAAAAAAAAGGCUAUCCCCAGCCACCUGGUUGGGGAUACCCACAACCACCCUAGCCUAUCCCUCCAACCAAACNNNNNNNNNNNNNNNNNNNNNNNNNNNNNNNNNNNNNNNNNNNNNNNNNNNNNNNNNNNNNNNNNNNNNNNNNNNNNNNNNNNNNNNNNNNNNNNNNNNNNNNNNNNNNNNNNNNNNNNNNNNNNNNNNNNNNNNNNNNNNNNNNNNNNNNNNNNNNNNNNNNNNNNNNNNNNNNNNNNNNNNNNNNNNNNNNNNNNNNNNNNNNNNNNNNUAUAAAAAAUAUCCACGCCAACGGAUUAAGUAGCGGUCACUUCGCCUUCAAAUCUUAAAAUCUACAUUCUUUCUUGAAUAUCGUUUGGUUUCUUUGAAGUGUACAUCACAACUUUUCUGAAAUCUUCCUUGGAUAUGGUCUAGUUCCUGAAAUUCGGUUUGGUUGCUGACGUGGAAAUCGAUAGGGUGUUCCACACUGUUAUUACCCCUGACUCCCUGAAACUGGUCACUAGUGCACACAAUCCACUUUUAGCAGUUUUAUUUUGUCAACUAUCAUGUUAGAUGAUAAUAUUUAGAAGCAACAAAAAAGUCAUGGACACCAUCUAUAGUAAUUUAUUGCCAUCUUUAUUAUAUUUACAUCAUUAAAAACACCAAAAUAGAAGUAAUAAAAAAUUUCUGCACCAUGCUAUACAUUUUAAAUUUCAAUAGACUCACAUGUGCCUUUUCUAGAAGCUCUUAGUGGAAAGUAAAAAUAACCAAACACACACACUAUCAAACAAAGAAACAUAGGUACCCACAUAAUGGCUACAGUAGAGAUACCUCGGUGUCAACUGGAAAGUCACCUUCCACAUAAAAAUGAUAAUCACCCCAAGUCAGAGACAUCCAUAGACUAGCGAGUAGCCACCUAACCAAAUGAUUUAUGUCAAAAUUGGAGUUUCAUCUUUGGUGGGGUGCGAGUACAACCGCACCACUGGCCGCCUAAGAAAACUAUUUCAUUCGAGACUCAAACAUGUUUGUUUUACCAUUUCAAAAUGGUCUAAUUCCAUCUUAAUCAACUUAGAAAGUGAUAGUUCUCACUUGAGAAUCAUAUUUGCCAGUUACAAUCUUCUGAGUCCUAUUUCCUAUUUCUACUUGCACGAAUCAUAGUCUUCGUGCAAAUGUUUUGUGUAAUCCCUACAAUAUUUGUUCCUCACACUUGCACAAAAUUUGAAAUCGUUCCAGCAUAUACAUAGCAAACACUUCCGUAACUAAGAAAACCAAAGUAUAGAAUUAAAUCCUAACUUUUACAACUCCCUAAAGUUAUUGUGUAAGGAUUUAGAGUAUACUAACUUUUUAAUGGACAUAAUGGGUGGGGUGCGAUUGAAUCCUGUGGCCCUUUACAAAAAUAGGUUCAAGUGAAUCUUUUGUUUUUCAAGGGUGGCCAUUUUAUCAGUUUCAUGAUUUUGAUGUGGCGAUUUUCAAUUUUUUCCCUAUGGCAUAGUGAAGUUGCUUCGAAGUCACAUCUGAAAACUGCAGCUUUCACUGAGCGAGAGGUGUCACAUAUGGAAUUGCUUUUUUUUGUUACAGGAAGAACCAGGGUUGGUGUGGGAGUUGUAUGUAAGUGGAUCACAUCUGAAUGCUUCAUAUAAAUCUGUUCCGCAUACAGAUAUGUCGACAUACAAAUGAAUACUUACUACUUAUAAUUAGCACUCUUGCCUACUGUUGGCUGGAGAAAUGCCACUCAUGGUGCCAACGAACCAGGGAAAAGAACACCUAACUCCGGUCUCAUUGUGGUUAGGCACUUGUAGAAAGAAAGACUGCAUGGUUUUCGAGGGCAAAGUUAGGGACCAUGUUUCACUUUUAGAAACUAGUCAGAGAUAAUAUUAGCAUCUUAGCAUGUUAGAGAGACCUGGAGAUCUUAUAGUUCUGGAGGCAAUCAAAGCUUGCCUCUUUUAUUUUGUCUUCAUUUUGGUUAAAUUUGGCCUACACCUAUAUGUAUGGCAGAUUUUACAUCAUUCCCCUUCAAUAAUGCAAAAGUAGAUCUCCGACUUUGUCCUGCUCAUGUUUUUAAAUAUAUAUGCACUUAUAGAUAGAUAAGUAGUUAUAUAACCAUGCGUCAUGCGUGACAUGUCAACUCAUAUAAUAUAGCACACCUCCUCCCACUAUAUAAAAGUGCGAGUAAUAUGCAGUAAAAACGAGCCUACCUAUCUUGUACAGUAGCCUAGAAAAGAAGAAAAGAACCAAACCAAAUGUGUAUGUAAGUGUGGUGAACGUCAACUGUUAGGUCCUUGUGAGUAUUCGUACAGGUUUUAUAUCACUCCAAACCAUCUUUAGCAUGAUCUUCCACUUUGAUAUAUUUAUAUAUCCAUGCAUCACACACGCUUCCCUUAAAAAAUGUAGCACAUCUCCUCCCACUUGAGAAAGUGCUAAAUAGUACAUCACACUAAACAAAACGGACCCUACUUUUAGCUUAGAAAGAGGGAACCAAAUCAAAGAUGGAUGUAGGUGUGAGUACCAUAGACUUGAUACAUUAAUGCUGUCAAUCAUUUGGUGUGGUCUUCCCAAUUAUUUUGUACAAAAACCUGGUAUAACAUAUAUGCGGAAACACACAUCACAUACUGAGGACAAAACGAUGCAUUAAGAGCAUCUCCAACGGCAGCGCAAAAAAUCCGCGCCCAAUAAUUUUUUUAGCGCGUCACUGUAGCAGUUUUGAAGCGCGGGGACCGGAGCAUCUCCAACAGACGCGCGCUAGUGCGGCGCCCAAUCCAGUCCGAUCCAGCGGUCCCAUCUGCAGCCGCUCAGAGUUUGGUGCGCGCGCAAGCCGGCGCACCAAAUAUGUUGCGCGCGAUAGCGUAUUUAAGCGGGCGCCCAGAAGUUUUUAGCGCGCGCAGCAUUUUGCAGCUUCUGCUGGAGCAGUCCGGCGCCCAAAAAACGAAUUUUUUAGCGCGCGGAGCAGUUUUUGGACGCCUGUUGGAGAUGCUCUAAUGAGAUACUAAUUGAUUUGAACAUACUGGGUACCACGAAGUAGCAAUAACAAGAUGAUAUGACCUAUUGUGCCGCUAAUGUGAUCAUCCAUCUAUAAAUAUUCCUAUAUAUUGUCUUACCAGAAGAUAUGACCCAGCUUCUCCAAGAAAUAAAGAUAACAGCAGGCAGUCAGACAUCAGGCAAAGUGACCCAUGAGUAGUAGUAAUGUACUACAUAACAUGAUUGUCUAUAUAAAGAUGAACGCAAACAUCUAAGGACCCGGCUCCUCUGCCGUACUGCAGGGUGCAGUUGGGUCAUUGAGGGGCGGAGUCCCACAUCUAAACCAAUAGGGAAGAGUAUCAAAAGUAGAGAUCCUUCUUCUUCUUGCCCUUGCUAUCCUGAGCAAUCCAACAUCACUUGAUUGUGUGCAUUUGGAGCUCAUGGACAUACAACUGUGCUUAAUGAAUUUCUUCUCCUACUAUUUGACUCCCAAAACUAGAAGUAAACAUUGCAUAUAAUUUGACUUUUCAUUAUUAACACUAAAUUUGGUACGAUGAACACAUAUUUUCUAAUUGGCAAAAGUUGAAAGUACCAAAUUUGUUAGUUUACGAUACAAUCGUGAAGAAUAUAAUUGUAACAAUCUAGGUUUUAAAGUUUUAGCUUUUUAAUGUAUGGAAGAGUAGAAGUCGAAUUGGGGAAUAUUGUUCUAAAUUUUCGGAUUAUGAAUUUGAUAAGUACAUAUACUAAAAUAAGAUUAAGAAGUUAAAUUUGAUAGCUAUGGAUCAUUAGAUUUCAAAUUGUUUGUUCCUCAUUUUGAUAUUUUUUCAAGAACAUCAAUUUGAUUCUAGAAAUGCAAAGGUGUGGAACUAUUUUCGGAUUUCCAUACAUAAAUAUGAUACAUAAGAGGUACACUAUCAAAUUAUUACGGCUAGAAAACAACCUUGGUGAGUCACUUAAAAUUAGCCCGUAAAUGUGGUGGAGGAUUGCUUUAAUCGUCUGCGCUAAUUGGUUUCAAUGAACUUAUAGGGAACAUGUAUUAUCAUAUGCACCUCAAAGAAUCUAAACUUAUAAUUAAUGCCGCAAAGCAAAAAAGGCACAUGAUUUGGAUCCUUAUGUUCUCAGGAAGUGUACUAGGAAAGUGUAGCAGCUGCGGCUGCUUCUUCUUGGGCAAUAAGUUGUGACCUUCUUACUUGAUGUCGUUACCAUACGUAUGAGGCAGGCGCAAGCAAUGGAGUUCACCUAGUGCCGCCAUAUGAACCUGCAUAGCGCCAUCGCCCACACAAAAUCUUGCUGUGAGUCUUACACUACUGGAAUCGCAAAGUUUGCCUAGUUCCCACAAAACUCAGUGAUGUCUAAAACCAACAUAGCAAACACUUUGUCGAGUUCAGAACUCGGCAAAGAGGACUCAGCUGGACAAGGCUCAGCAAUGUUAUCUUUGCCGUGUUUGUUUUCACGGGAACUCAGCAAAUACCGAGGAAAUCGUUGCAGUGCAAAAAAAUGGAAGUCGGCAAAAUAAUUACGCAAACGGAAUGGCUCGAACAUCAUCCAUGCCACCUGUUGUCGAACUUUUGCCAUGUUUUUGAACUCGGCAAAGAGUAAGGCUUUGCCUAGUUUUAAACUCCGCAAACAUAUUUAUAGCUGAAUGAAACAAGUACAUCCAGGUAUUUGUGUUUGUAUAUGUGCCGCUCUUGUAGGUAAUGUGUAUAUUUACUUUUUUAGUACAUAUGUGUAUCGAGUAUUUAUUUUUGUGUACAUCUCGACGACAGAGGAACACUAGUAUUGUGAUUCAAUCAUGCUUCGAUGAAAAGAAAAUGGGAAAGAAAAAUCUUAGACAAGCUGUACGUACAUACUACUAUUACAUAUCUACUGAAUCGAUUUUUGGCUAGCUUUGUACAGCCGGUCGGAAGAGGCCACCUCGAGCACGUUGCUGCUGUUGUUGAGCUGCCCGUGCUGCCCCACUGCUAGAUGCUUCAGCCGCCGCUGCCAUCCGUCAUAGCCACUGCUGGCUACCGCUGGUUGCUACAUCAGUUGCUUGUUGCCGCGGCGACCGACGACAUGGAGAUAAGAGAGAAAGAAGACAGUGUUGGUAGCCAUGGAAAAGAGAACGAGUGGAUGAAAAAGAGAGAGGCAGGAAGCAAUGGUAGCCCACAUGCGAAGACAUACAGAGGAAGUAGAGAAGUCAUCAGCUGUUUGAUCUUGAAGCGAUGAAUGGUGCAGAUUGAUGCCAUCUCAUCAUUCCGCGCCACUUCCUCUUAACCUAUAGAAGUGUAUGCUUUCUUUCCCAUAAAAAUGUAUUUUUUACAUAUGUAAAUAUUUUGUAAAAUCUUUUAUAAUUGUUACCACGUGAUCUUGGUGUGAUGUAAUAACGGCAUGUCAACUUUCAUAUUUUUAAGAGUUUAUUUGUAUGUUUUGGAAUUAAAAAAAUGAACUUCACGUUUUCGAUCAAGUCUUGACAUCCUUAUGUUUGAACUUUUAUCAAGGAACCCUGAAAAGCAUGAAACUUGGUAUUGUAUCCCUGUAGUGCAUGGUAAGAAAUUGAAAAGGUUUCGCAAAAGUUACGGCAUAAGUUGUUUGGAAAUCGAACCAUCUAUUUUUUUCAAUCAACCUUUCAAUUUUUUCAUCCACUUGCAGUUCAAUUUUGAAUUAUAUACGUUAAAGAUAUAGAAAUGCACUUAAUGGCUUAAAUAUAGCAAACGAACUCUGAAAAAUUUCAAAAUUUUACAAUGGUGUAUCUUGAGUGUAGAAAACAUUUCAAGGCUAACAGAUGAAGGAACGACCGCCUAGCCUUCAUACCCCAUCCGUUCCUUCUCAAAAUCAUGUUUUCAUCCAUGCAAAUGGUCUAGUUUCUAAGCGAUGUACAUCACAACUUUUGUGAAACCUUCUCAAUUUUUUUCCACAACAGUUAGGUGGCAUUAAGGGACACCAUGCCAAUUUUCAUGCUUUUUGGAGAUUGUUUGCAUUUCUUGGAAUUUAUAGACCGAAAAACUACGUGUUCGGGAUCCAGUUUUCGUACCCUUGUGUUUGGAGUUCCUUUAUUUUUCUUGCAUAUGUGAUAAACAUAAACUCAAGAGCACAACUAUGAUUUUUAAACUAACUUUGUCAACUUUUGACUCACUUGCAGUUCAAUUUUGAAUUAUAUACGUUAGAGAUAUAGAAAUGCACUAAAUGUCUUAAAUAUAGCAAAGAGACUCCGAAACAUUCCGAAUUUUUACAUGGAUCAAGUAAUGGCGUAUCAUUAAUGCAGAAAAGAUUUCAAGGCUAACGGAUUAAGGAACGGUCACGUCGCCUUCAUACCUCAGCCGUUCCUUCUCGAAAACACGUAUUUAUACACGGGAUGGUCUAGUUUCUAUGCGAUGUACAUAAAAACUUUUGCGGAACCUUCUCGAUUUUUAACCACAACAUGUAGGUGUCAUAAAAGGAUACCCGGCCAAUUUUCAUGCAUUCCGGAGUUUGUUACAUUUUUUGGUAUUUAUAAACCGGAAAAAAAUAUGUUGGCGGUCGAGUCUUGGCUCCCUCAUGUUUGGAGUUCCUUUCUUUCUCUUGUAUAAGGCCAAAACAUAGACUCAAGAAUACAAUUAUUAAACUCGGCAAACAAAUCUUUGCCGAGUUCCCCGAUAAAUUGCACUCGGCAAACAUGAGAAACUGGGAGAAAUCUAAGAUUCUAGUAGUGUUGGACGGUGGUGGAUGAGGACGACUAUCGGAAAAUUGAUCCAUAGUUGUGGCACCUGCCAGAUGAUGGUCACCGGAAGGGCUUCGGCCUUCCAGUCCGACGGCAAGGGUGAUGUUUGGCAGUCAUCAGACCGGUCUAGUUUUUUCCUGCUCGAUAUGAUUUGCUACCACUCGCGAGGAUUGCAGGGCCAGUGGUGGUGCAUGGUUAGUCUAAUGCAUAUCUACCAUUGUCUACCACUUGUGAGGAUGGUGCGACGCUCCCGGAGGGUCCCAAACUCAGGAUUUUUGAAAUGUCGAUGUUCUUCCUCGUUGUCAAAGACUUCAUCGUGAAGUGGAGAGUGGCUCUUGCGCAUAUGCAGCUGCACACAACAAAUGAUUUUGAUUCAGUGGUGCCUCUCUCAGUAACCGGUCUCAAGAUCCGGGAUGAAAAUCAACCGAAGAAGUAGUAGUCGCCUCGGUGCCAUACCUUACAAGUUCCAAUUCGAGACCUAAAUUAUUUGUCGGCCAUGAUCUGGUUUCUAAGCAACUUUUGUUACCAAUUUUGUGGAAACAUCUUACUCUUACCACACCUCAAGGUAUCAUAUAUGACACCGUGGCAGGUAAACCAAUAACCUCGUGUUUGAGGUCGCGUCAUGGCACCCGUUCUUUUUUGGAAUUUCUUUCCUUUUUCUUGGAUAAAGCCUAAAAACAGGCUCAAGAACAACAACAGGAUUCUGGAACCAAAUUCUACCAACUUUUCUUGCAUUCCCUAAUCAAAUUUAACUAUUUUCACUAAAAGCCUAGAAAUACAUUAUGGAAUUUAUAGGCAACGAGCCCAAAAAAUAUCAAAUUUCGACAUGGAACAUGUAAGGGCGUAUAAAAAAUAUCCACGCCAACAGAUUAAAGAGCGAUCAAUUCGCUUUCAAACCUGACUGAUACACUCUCGGAAUCUCGAUUGUUUCUCGAAGAUGGUUUGGUUUCUAAGAAGUGUACAUCAGAACUUUUCUGAAACCUUUCUUCAAGAUGGUCUACUUCCUAUAAUUCGCUUUGGUUGCCGACGUGGAAAUCGAUAGGGUGUUCCACAGUGUUACUAUCGUGAGUCCGUGAAACUAGUUGUUAGUGCACAUAAUCAAAUUUUAGCAGUUUUAUUUUGUUAACUAUCAUGUUAGCUGAUAAUAUUUAGAUGCAACGAAAAGGCAGGAACACCAUAUAUAGUAAUUUAUUGUAAUCUUUAUUAUAGUUACAUAAUUAAGAACACCGAAAUUAAAGUAAUCAAAAUUUUCUGUACCGCGGUAUACAUUUUAAAUUUCAAUAGACUCACAUUUGCCUUCUCUAGAAACUCCUAGCAGCCGAUGAGUAUAGAUUAUGAUAUGCUACGAUAUGUGUCAAUUCAAAACACGCUUUAUAAAAAACAAAUGUAGAUAUAUAUAAUUAUAUGCAGAUGCAUCGUCCGUACCCUACAAAAUAUGUAGCACAUCUGCUCCCACUUGAUAAAGUCCAAAUAAUGAAGCAAGCAUGCUGCACACAAUUGACCGAAGUUUUAGUUUAAAACAGAAGGAAAGAACGAAACCAAAAGACUAACGCAAGUGCGAGUGUACAUCCAUGCCAUUGUUAUGUCACUCUCAAUCACUUUUAGCUAGCAUUAUGGAGGAUCUUUCAAGAUAUCAAUCACUUUUAGCUAGCAUUAUGGAGGAACGAUCAAGUUAUUAAUUUGGACAUACUGGGUAUGUCUAUCAAUGCCACUAAGUAUAUCAAUAACAACACACCAUUUUCAGUGAGAUUUCAAUGAAAUUCAUUGAAUUUUACUAAUUUCAGUAGACACCGAAAUAUUACGUUUCGGUCAAAAUAUUUCUGCAAUUUCAGUAGUAUACUGGAAAUAAAAUAUUUUUCAAAAUAUUUUUUGAAAAUUUGAAAUGUUCAAUUCAUUUCAAGUGAAUAUUUUGGCCCUUUGGCCGAAAUGCAAACUGAAAUUACUGAAUUUCACCGAAUUUGAGUGAUUUCAGUUGGUGCUGAGUUUUUUUCUAAACUGAAAUUGAAAACCAUACUAUCGCCACGGUAUAUGUGUCUAUCAAUGACCUAUAUGACCUGUAUCAAUAACAACCUACAAAUCUUGCUGUAUAGUAUGGUCCAUGGUUCCUCUUAACAGAAGAUAUGACCUACCUUCUAAAAAAUGAUAAUAAUGCCGUGUCGGACAUGUGGCAGAGAGACCUAUGAGUAGUAUCGAGCAGUGCUAUAUAAAGGCGUACCACACUCAGGUAGGAGUAUCUAACAAUGGAGUUCCUUGUGCUCAUUGCUCUUUUUCUCUUGGGCUUGACCAUACUGAUCAGGCGGCGUAGCUACACCUACACUACUAGUACCAGACGUGCCGGUGCUCCAGCUGCCGUGGUGAUCGAGAAGAUCGCCGACCACGCCGUCGCUCACCGCGCGCUCGUCGAGAACGCCGACGACUUCUCGGACCGCCCGGUGGCGCCCUUUCUGGUCUUUCUGGAGAAGAGACACGGGCAGUACGGCGACGGCCUCGCCUCCGCGCCGUACGGCCCACUCUGGCGUGCAUUCCGGUGCAACAUCACCUCCGAGACCCUCCACCCAUCGCGCCUCGGGCACGUCACGCCGCUGCAGAGGGAGGCCAUCCAUGGCCUCGUCGCCGCUUUGGAGAAGGAACUGCCGGUGGUCGCCGUUGUCCGCGACCACCUCUACCCUUCCGUCUUCUCGGUACUCGCGCGCCUGUGCUUCGGCGACGGCGUGGACGAGGGGCAUGUGCGCGCCAUGGGCUGCUUGAUACGGGAGUUCCAGCAGGUUGCUGUCGGAGAGGCUCGGGCCUCGCCUGGCACCAUGUUUGCCAAGCUCGCGGAAUGGAGACGGCUGCGCCGGCUCUUGGCCAUACACGGCCGGUUGGGCGAGUUGUACCUCCCUCUCGUCAACGCACGACGGGAGUGUCGACCGUCAUGCGACGGAGGCGGCCGUCGUCCAUACGUCGACUCGCUCAUCGACCUACGCGUCCCAGCUGACGGAGGCCGGCGCGCUGUUAGGGACGAUGAGUUCGUCAACCUGCUGUCGGAAUUUCUGGGAGCUGGCACGGGGACGGUGGUGGCAAGCCUGGAAUGGGCCCUCGCCCACCUGGUAAACGACCAGGAGGUCCAGAGAAAGCUUCGUGAUGAGGUCGACGGCGCCGGCAGCUCCAGCAGCAGGAGCGACCUCAUCCGUGGCAUGCCGUAUCUGAACGCGGUCGUGCUCGAGACCCUGCGCUUGCAUCCACAGGUGCCCUUCGUGCAGCGCCACGUCAAGGCCGACGCGGCCGAGGUGCUGGGAGUCGGAGGGAAAACCAGCGAUUUCAUUGCACAGUUCAGUGUUGGAGACAUGGGAAGGGACGGCAAGACGUGGACGGACCCCGACGAGUUCCGGCCGGAGCGGUUCCUGCCCGGCGGGGAGGCAGAGGACGUCGGCCCUUUGCCGGGGACCAAGGAGAUAAGGAUGAUGCCAUUCGGCGCGGGGCAUAGGUUCUGCCCGGGCGUGGGUCUGGCCAUGAUGAACAUCAAGUGCUUCCUGGCUGCGCUCGUGCGUGAGUUCGAGUGGGCGCCGCCGACGACGACGGAGGGAUGCGCUGGCGUCGACCUGACAGAGCUCAACACCUUCAUCAAGGCGAUGAAGAAGCCCCUUUCCGCGCGUCUCACGCAUCGCACUUGAUCCUCGGCGUCUGGCGUUUGGUCACGUUGGGAUGCAUGGCGGCAGCCGUGGCCUUCUUCUUCCCAGACGUCGGGUUUGAUCUGUAAAUUUCUUGUUUCCCCUAAUUCCAGUCUGGUGUGUGUGUGUGUGUGGCAUGGGCAACUCCGUGCAUGCCAUCAUACCGAAUGCAGAGCUUGUGAUGGCCAUCUGGCCUCUAUUGUAUCUGAACUCCUAUUGUAUACUUGUGCACGUCAUGCUAUUAUGAGAUCUGAUCAUUGUGUAUAUAUAAAUGUUGUUGGAACCAAGGAUCAACAAACGAUGAGACAAAAACACGAGGAGACGAGAACGACAAUGGAUGCCCUCCCGGCGACAAACACCGGGACUUAUACUCGCUUGUAUUCUCCUCGGCUCGACCAAAACACAACGAUUGCAUGGCAACUUUUUAGAUGACGGCACAUCAACGGGUUUGCAAACCCAGACAAUUACUGAGGAGGGAGAUGUAGAUAGGUUAGACCAAAAUAGGAAACACCAAGAAAGAUCUAAGCCCCAUUUGUCGACUGCAAUUGCAGGUAAUGUUUUGAAUUCUAGUCUAGCUAUUUCGGCAGACACAGACCCUCUUGCUUUAGAGAUUCGAAGAAAGCAAGAACUACGUCACAAGGGAAGGAGGGAAGCAAGACUGCAGCAAAAUCUUCUUUGGCAAGCCCGGGGGACAGACACCGUCCUGGCCAAUGAGUACUUUAUGUUGGAAUUGCCACGGAGCGGGCAAACCCGCGGCAAUUCCAGAACUUCACGAAUUCGCGAGGAAGUUUGCCCCUACCGUGCUGUGUAUAAUUGAGACCCAAAUCAGUGGUGCAUGUGUACAAGAUCUAGCAAGUACUCUAGGUUAUGAAAAAUCAUAUGUUGUUAGUAGUCAAGGAAGAAGUGGAGGAAUUGGUAUAUUUUGGAAUAAUGUAAGCAAUAUCGAGAUUUUGGGUGAUUCAUGUUAUCACAUUGAUGCAAAGGUGCAGGAGAAUGGACAUGACCCAUGGAGACUCACUGUGAUAUAUGGAGAGGCCCAAGCGCCGCUGCGACACCAAACAUGGGACUUGAUUAAGGGAAUAGCAACUUUGAAUGCUCUCCCAUGGCUGUUUGUGGGAGAUUUUAAUGAAGUUCUAUGACUGGAUGAACAUCAAGGAGUUGCGAACCGGAGUAAUGCUUAGAUUCAUGCUUUUCGGGAUGUUGUGGAUGUUUGUAUGCUCAUGGAUUUGGGCUACCAAGGCCGUUUCUGGACCUUUGAGAAAAAGUCACUGGUGGAUCGUACACUCGGAUACAGCUGGAUCGCGCAUUGGCAUCACCCACCUGGUGCCCCAGGUUCCCGAUGGCAGCGCUAAAAUACCUCACGGCAGCGUCCUCUGACCAUGGGCCAAUCUCGCUCGAAUUUGCGAGCACACAAGGGAACAACACUCUGCCCAGAAGUUUUCGAUAUGAGUUGAUGUGGGAAUCAGAUGAGAACUAGCAGGAGGCUAUAUCCACUCUUUGGAACUCAGUUUUGCCUGACUAUGGGGUGGGAGAUUUCCGCGACAAACCUUUAAAGAUCUCCAAGGACCCGACGGGGUGGAGCAGGGAAUCAUUUGGUAGAGUCCGGAAGAAAAUUAAAGAUCUUACGCACCAACUUCAGCACCUAUGAGAUGACCCAGCCAGAACAUGACCUGUGCACAGAGAGAUCAAGAUCAGCGAGAGGCUUGUUGAAUUAUACCAUAGGGAAGGGAUCAUGUGGCGUCAUAGGUGAAGGCUACAAUGGCUCUCUGAAGGGGAUAAAAACAUAAUUUUUUUCCAUAUGCGGGCUAGCAUGAGGAGGAAGAAAAAUAUGAUCAAGGCGCUAUAGUCCUCUCUUGGUAUAUACACGGAGGACCCAACAGUUUUAAAAACACUGGUGCUUGAAUUUUACAAGUCACCGUAUACUUCCAAGGGCGUGACUGGUAUAGAGGAUGUACUAAUGCAUGUACCAUGCAAUGUAACGCCGGCCAUGAAUGAAUCUUUGUGUGCUGAAUAUAUGAAUGAAGAGGUGAAACAAGCUCUUUUCCAGAUGUUUCCGACCAAAGCGCCUGGCCCAGACGGAUUUCCGACGCAUUUCUAUCAAAGGCAAUGGGAUAUAUGUGGAGAUGAGGUCUCCGUCAUGGUGAUGCACAUCAUAAGAGGGGACAAGAGUCGCGAGAAUAUUAAUGACACUGUUCUUGUGUUGAUCCCGAAGGUAAUGAGCCCGACCCAGCUAACUCAGUUUAGACCUAUAAGUCUCUGCAAUGUGCUCUAUAAAUUAGCGUCCAAGGAGGUGGCUAACAGGCUCAAGGUAAUCCCACCUGACAUUAUAUCUGAAGAGCAGUCUGCCUUUGUGCCUGGAAGGCUCAUUACUGACAACAUCAUAUGUGCUUAUGAGUGCCUUCACUUCAUGAAAUGAAACAAAUCAAAAACUAAUAGCCUUUGUGCUUUGAAACUUGACAUGAUGAAAUCCCAUGAUAGGAUCGAGUGGGAUUAUUUGCAGUCUAUUAUGAGUAAAGUGGGAUUCACAGCCCUCUGGAUCCAGAUUGUAAUGACCAUGGUGAGAUCUGUAUCAUUCUUGGUCCUGAUCAAUGAUGAGAGGCUUGAGUAGUUUAAACCAUCCAGAGGGAUUCGGCAGGGAGAUCCUAUUUCCCCUUACCAAUUCUUACUUGCCGUAGAGGGCCUUUCGUGCCUUUUAAAAUCCAGUUCUUAGUCAUCAUCAACUGAACUCAAGGUAGUCCCCACAACGCCAGUUGUGAGCCAUCUUCUUUUUGCAGAUGUCACCAUGUUGCUUUUUAAGUCUAGUGUGGAGGGUGCAAAUCAUGUAUCAAACCUGCUCAAUAUUUUGCGCUGCUUCGGGACAAGGAGUGAACCAUGAGAAGUCCUUGAUUUAUUUCACUAAGGCUGCCCGAUUCUACCAAACUGGAAGUGAAGAAUGUAUAAAUGUGCAGAAUGAGUCGCUAAAUGAGAAAUACUUUGGCCUACCGACAGAGGUAGGAUAGUCCAAGAAUGGUUCUUUUAAGUAUUUGUGUGAUAGAGUUUGGGCAAAAGUGAAAUGGUGGAUGGAAAGACUACUUUCCACAUGAGGGAAGGAGGUACUAAUCAAAUCAGUCGCAUAAUCUAUCCCUGUUUUUUCUCUGUCUUGCUUCAGACUCCCGAGAGGACUCUGUGAAGGAAUAACAUCUAUCAUUCGCCAGUUUUGGUGGGGGAGCAAGCAAGGGAAUAGAAGGCCUUCUUGGGUAUCGUGUGAUGUCAUCACGAGGCCAAAAAUCCUUGGUGGGCUUGGGUUUAGGGACAGGGAGAUCUUCAACCUCGCCUUGCUAUCAAGGCAAGCAUGGCGGACUAAGCACACGUAUUCUGAAAUCCCUCUACUACCCGAACACAUCUAUCUUAGAUGCAGAUCUUGGAUCCCACCCAUCCUAGAUUUGGUGUGCUAUGAUAGAUGGAAGGAACAUCUUUAACAUGGGUAUUAUUCGUCAAAUUGGGAAUGGUGCUUCCACAAAAAUAUGGGAACAUAACUGGAUCCCUAGAGAUGGUCUCUUCAAGCCAGUCACCUCCAUAAUCACUAAUCCUCCGCAGCUGGUGGAUGAACUGGUCGACCCGACAGGUGCUGAAUGGAGAGAUGAACUGGUUCGCCAGGCAUUUUUGCCGAUUGAUGCUGAAUCCAUCCUUAAAAUUCCCAUGUGUAUGCGUCAACUGGAGGAUUUUAGAAAUUUAGAAAUUUCAUACAACACUCCUAUGAUGACACCAUGGCAAGUUUCAUCACUUUUGGAGCUUGUUUACAUGGUAGUUGAAUGGAAUUGCAUUCUAUCCUUUUUAGUUGCCUAAAAGUUAGUUAAUGUUUCAAAAGUAGCAAACCAACUCAAAAAGUGUCCAAAUUUCAGAACGGGGAUUCUAGUGGUGUGUAUUAAUUAUGAACACUGUUUUAACUUGAAUUGCUUUUAAAAAAAACUGUAUUUUGUGAUGAAGGCGGUGCUUUCUGUUCAAAAGGGUGCUACUUCACCAAAAAGUGUUCAGUUUGUACACAAAUUGCAUCAAGUUUCUGCGGUAACGCUUUGAAUUUUUACCACACCCUACAACAAAAAUUUAGUUAAUGCUUUGAAAAUAUCAAACCAACUAUAAAAUGGCUAAAUUCGAGCAUGGGGCUUCUAAUGGUGUGUAUUAAUAAUGGAAAAUAUUGUUUUUUUUCUAUUUUUUUUUGGAAUGGAGGUAAAAAAUUUACUUCAUCGAUUAAUCAAGAAGAAGAGAAUUGCCCGGUUAGUUAACGGAAAACCAGGCAAAAACCGAGAAAAAAACCCGAGAAAUUUUUGAAUUUGAAAUGCUUUAAAAUGGAUUUGUGUGUGGAACGCCGUGGUUUCCGUUCGAAAGUUUGAUAUAUCGCGAGAGAAUGUUGACUUUGUACACUAAGUGCAUCAUGGUCCUAUGAAGACAUCAUGCGAAGUUUCAUUUUCUUUCAGAGCAUGAGGUGAUAUUACAUGUUCAGAACGAGUUAGACUCGGUUGUGUUUAGUCAAACGUGCCAUUCCUUUUGAAAAAGAGAGGUUAGUCAAACCCUCCUUCUCCGCUGUUCCACCCUCCCCCGCCGCAGCUCCUCAUCACUUGUGUUGACCCAAAUUGUAGUUUCCAAUUUUUGCAUCCAUGUACAUGAUCAUUAAAGGCCAUAACCCCCUUGUUCCCACUCUCCUCCGCUAACAGAAUGCCGCUUCUUUCUUUAUCUUUGCAUAUGUAGUUCUGCACACCACCUACACGAAUCUCCUCCAACACCAAAUGCUCUUUGAAAGUGUUGCUUUGUGGUUGCCCUUAAUUGCAACUUCGCAAUUUCCUGCCUUGCAUCCCAUGAAUUUUGAAUUGACGCAAACACGAAAUUUCCAAGAGCAACGGCACACAUCACGUGGCUUGCCCUAACAAUAGUUCCCAAUGCAACACAAGAAAAUUAAUGGGAACGGUAAGCAACAAAUAUAAAUGACAGCAUCAUAUUUUGUACAUUAUCAAUCAUACAUGUGUCAAUCUAUAGACCUCUUUUCGUUUCACGCACUCUCACAUUUUAUAUAUCCAUGGCAAUGUUUCAUCCACCCAUAUUAGUAUUUAUUCUGCAGAUCUUUUUUGUCAAACAUUCAACAAACCAACUUUUGAAGAACUAGCCUAGGGAGCUAAGAAUCUAAAGAACAAAGCGAAUAUCUAUACUCCUUUUCCAUUGCCAAAACUGCAGAGAGCUAAGCCACCUAAAAGGACUAAACGGCUAAAAAGAUGACGACCGGAUUUAAGCUGAUCCGCCAAGCUAACCCCUUACCUUCAGAUCAAGUACUACAACAUUGAUGUCAUCAAGGCUAUGCUCGUUGAUGGCAAGAUUUGUUAGGCGGAUAGCGGCACAGACACAUCGAACCUCUUGCUCCUUUCCUGCCGGCGCGUUCACAUUCUUGCUCUUGUUUUCCAGGCAUUUUGGAGCGACGCAACAUGCCUUCUGGUUUGAGAUCACAUCCCACAGCCCGUUGCUUGCGAGGAUGAGGCAGUCGUCGUCGUCCGACCUUGCGGUUAUGGUAAUACCUGGCUCACAUGUUAUUUCAAGAUUGAUGAGUGUGUGCCCUGUGAGUAUAUAGUUCAAAUUCAAAUGAGAUUCAAUAACUGAAGCGUCAGAACGACUAUGUACUAAGAAAAAUAAACUUAAAAUGAACGAACUUCUCAAAAAAGAGAAAACAUAAUUUUUGUUAUUUCUCUUUUGAAUUUACUCAGGAAAUCAACAUUCAUUUGAGUUCAGUAGGCAGUUUGAACUCGCAAUAUGGCAUCAAUGAUAAUAAUACAGUACAUAAUAACAUCCUUGAUGAAAUUAUCACUGUUAAAAAUUUACAAAUUCAUAGUUUACCAAAGGAAACAAUAUUUUCAUAUGUAUUGUUGCAUAACACUCGGGGCUUUAUAAAUACUACAUUUAGUUUAAUGACAGACAAAAAAUAAGAAUGUAUGUCAAAUAUUCAGCUAUUCAAAUAAUAGGCUUCGCUAUAGGUGUUUAGAUCAACAUCAGUCACUUUUCUAGGUUCAUACAAAUAAACUAUUCCUACAAGCUUGCUUUAUUUAUUAAGUUAUAGACUCAUUUUGACUUGGUACAUGUGUGAUGUGAGUAACUAGCUAAGUUACUCAAUUAAUUUAUCUUUCUCCGCAUUAACUCAUUGUUACAUAGGCAAAUUUGCUGAGUUGGAUCCUAUGUUACUCAUAAAGUUACUACCACUAGUGCUAGAACAUAAUAGAAAAGGUAAAUCCAGCACUGAUGAUGCAUGGGAACAAAACAACAUAUUUUAUUUAUAUAAACUAAACUACUUGAAAAAUUACCACUUUAUUUUACAUAACACUAGCCUUUUCUUUCUUUUUUCUUAAGAAGGUGGUGGCAAAUUUUUUUUAGAAGCACGGAUUAGUUAAUGGCCAAACGCCAACCGAGACAUCGACCAGCCAGUAGCUGACAACGCNUCCAAAAUUAUAUGGUAAAUAUAAGUUUUUGUAGAGAUUUCACUAGUGGACCACAUACAGAUGUAUAUAAACAUAUUUUAGAGCAUACAUUCAAUCAUUUUGCUCCGUAUGUAGACACAUAGUAAAAUUGCUUAAAAGACUUAUAUUUCAAAACGGAGGGAGUAGAUUUCUAGAAACAACCCUCCAUGUACUAAUCAUAAAUAUAAUAUUAAAAUAAAGCAUACAUAGUACUUCAUCCGUCUCAAAAUGAAUGUCUUAAACUUAGUAGUACAAUUUUUCUCCUAGCGUUAGUACAAAAUUAAGACGGUUAUUUUGAAACGGAAGAGUAUAAUAAACAUAAGGAGUAAAUUAAUGAUAGGAAUAACAUUUGUACUACAAAUUUGGGAGAAAAUAAUGUGCAAUCAGUGCAUUAUGAUAAGUUACUGUACCAAAUGACAAUUGUAAUAAAUGAUAUCAAGAUUGGGUUGCGCCAUGACUUAACUGGGAGCGGUUGCGCGCCAUGACCUAAUGGAGGCCGGCUGCGUGCCAUAACCUUUUUUCAGGGCCGGCUGCCAAAUAUCACAGACAUGCGCACACACACAAAAAGACUAUUUGCCAAUGGCCUCAAUCAUGCCCUCUUUUCUUCUCUUUCUCUAUGUUCUGAAAAACAUUCCCGAUGUACAAGUCAAACCAUAUAUAUCGCGUUGAAAAUAUCUCACCAUGUACAAGUACACAAUAGCUUCCAUCCGGCGCGCCGGCCGAAUCGUUCGGCCAGUAGCGCGCGGGCCGCUCGCCUCACUGGCAUGUUCAUGCAACAUUUUUUCGUCAAAUUUGCUGCAACCAUGUGUUAUUUUGAUACAAACGUUUUCCGUGUAGUUUUUUUUCUCAUCUAAAUUUGUUGCAACCAGCGUUCAUAUUUGCUACAAGCGUUUUUUAUUUACUACAUUUAUCCAGUAAAAAAACUGCACAUACGUUUGGUUGCAACUCGAGUUUGUUGGAUUUUUGCUACAACCGGCGUUUUAACAUUUGCUACAACCGUGUUAUUUUUUGCUACAACCGGCAACAUUUUUUGCUGCAACCGUUCACUAAAAAGUUACAUACACGUCACGUAGUACAACCGACGUUUGACUUUUGCUACCAUGUAUCAUCUUCUUUGUUUUUUUGCUACCAUUUAACUGUUGGAACACACUAGGUGCUUUUGAAAACUAGAUCCUGCAUGGACAAGUUUCAACGAAAAAAAUUGUGCAAUUUAAUCCUCGUUUGGUGCAACUGACUAGCAGUCGAUGUGCAACUAUCUGAUGUCGAUGUGCAACAUUCCUCUUACAAAUAGACGUAUAAUUUUCACUGAUGGCACCUUCAUCCCUAUCUAUCCCUGACAGUGAGGUGUGCAACUUUGUUUGUUGGUCCGGCCAACUCCCUAUUAGUUGAUGUGCAGCUUUUUUCAUGUCUCUGGAUUUACAAUUUUCAUGUUUGCUGUCUCAGUCGACUGUUAACAAUGGAUGUGCAACUUCGGAUGCUAUCAUGGCCAACUACCUAAUGGUGACGUGCAACUUUCCCCCGUACCCUUCUUAAUGUGCAGUUUUCCCUGCUAGCACCUCGUCGGAACCACCCCUCCUAGAUGUGCAAUUUUAGCACCUUGUUUAUAUGCAACUUUUCACUAUCCUCAGAAUAUGCAGUUUUCAUCAUCCAACUACCACUUACAGUGAUAUAUGCAACUUCAUCUGCUACCACGGCCAACUUGUAGCAAACUACACAUUCACAUGUGGACGGGGGAAUCGCACAUUGAGUCAUAGGAAGUUGGCUAGAACAAAAGACUAAGUUGCACAUAUCGCUGAUAAGGUAGGUGUACAGGGAGUGCCCACGGUGAAAAACUACGUAUUCAUGAGUUGGGAGGAGAGUUGCAUAUAGACUACCAGGAAGUUGGCCGGGGAGUAAACUAAUUGCACAUCAGAAAAAGUCCGUUAUCAUGGGUUGUUAGAUUGCAACAUCAUAAAAACUAGAUCAUUGAGCUUCAAAAUUGGUUUUGAGAAAUGCUGCAACGUGCAAUAUUAAAGUUGCACCGUGUAGUAAUAUAGUUACAUUGUAUAUAACGAAAGUUGGCAUAAAAAAUGUUCGUCAAAAUAGACCCAUUCGAGAUCUAGUUUCAAAGCUAAGCUCUCGUCGUGAAAAUUCCCACGCUCAAAACGGAUCAGAAUUUCAAUGUGUGGUUUGAAAGAUUCAACUUUUCAAAUUAUAAAAACAGGAAAUAAAUGCAUGUUGAAUCUGUUAUUUUCAACAGGCAUGACCAGUGCAGACAUAUUUAAUGAAUACAAACACAUGCGUUAAUUAGGAGACAAAAGAAAACUAUACAUGCAUGUGUGUCGGAGGGCUGCUCGCUAUCGCCAAGUGCAGGCGCACUGGUGAGAAUUUAGUUUGAUUAAUAGCCAGUCCCGUGCGUAAGUAAGCACAUAUAUAUGUGCNNNNNNNNNNNNNNNNNNNNNNNNNNNNNNNNNNNNNNNNNNNNNNNNNNNNNNNNNNNNNNNNNNNNNNNNNNNNNNNNNNNNNNNNNNNNNNNNNNNNNNNNNNNNNNNNNNNNNNNNNNNNNNNNNNNNNNNNNNNNNNNNNNNNNNNNNNNUUGAGCACAUAUAUAUGAGCGAACGCUAGUAUUACUCGGAAACCUACAGCUAGGAACUCAACGUCUAACACUCCUGUUUAAACACGAACACUAGUAGAGGACACUGGACACGUCUAGGUAGAAGUCAUGAACCCGACACUCAUUUAGGCCAACUCCAACAUGUACUAUACGUGAAACUUCUAUCUAGUACUAACAUAAUCCGGAUUUAGUUCGUUUCCCACCUGGUGUGCUCUCGUUCUAGGCGGAUCGGCACAAUCUAUACUAGAAGACUAGCAUGCAUAAAUACAGGACGGAAGGCUUGUUCUUGAUUGAGUUGGGUCGUCAGACAGAUAGAUAUGUCGUCGUGGUCUUGCCCGGAAGGCUUGUUCUACUUCGUCGCGACAUCGGCCGUUGCCAGUGCUGCUUUCACCUGGGCAACGUGGGCGUUGCUCGAGGACCACCACGAUAGACUCGCCUACAACCAACUCCGCGCGGGCAUCAACCCCUUGGACGCCACCGGCAGCCUCAGAACCCUGGUCGCCGCCGCGGCUGAUCCCGGCAUCGGCCGUGACGAUGAGAUCGACCGCGUCGUCUGCAUCCUCUGCCGGCGCACCAAGAACUGCGCCGCCCUCGUCGGCCCCGCGGGGGUCGGCAAGACGGCCAUCGUCGAGGGCCUCGCGCAGCGAAUCGCUGCCGGUAACGUCCCCGACACGCUCAUCGGCGCCCGCAUCGUGGAGAUUGACAUGGGGUCCAUGGUUGCCGGGACGCACUGGCGCGGCAUGUUCGAGCAGCGCUUCAAAGACGCCAUCAAGCAGGCCGAGGAGGCGCAAGGCAAGGUGAUCCUUUUCAUCGACGAGAUGCACAUGGUUGUAGGCGCCGGCGGCGUGGACGCCGCCAACAUACUCAAGCCGGCGUUGGCCCGUGGUCGCAUCCGCUGCGUAGGCUCCACGACCUCGGAAGAGUAUCAAAAGUACAUCCAGAAGGAUGCUGCGCUCGAGCGGCGGUUCCAGAAGGUUGACGUCGAGGAGCCGAGCUGCAUGCGACCAUUGCCAUCUUGCAGGGUCUGAAGCACAGGUACCAAGAUCACCAUGGAGUGAAAAUCGACGACGAUGCUCUUGUAGCCGCUGCACACCUCGCUGCCCGCUAUAUUACCGGUACGUGUACGUACAUCAAGAAUUCAGUUUAUUCUUCUAUACGUAUGACUUAAUUAUAGUAUGUGAUUGUGUAUGUUGAAAGAUAGUUGAUGUAUUUGCCCUUUGAUCAUUGCCAGGCCGCAAAUUCCCUGAUAAAGCAAUUGAUCUUAUGGAUGAGGCAUGCGCUACAACAAAAAUGCACGCCGACAAACAUAUGACAGCCAAAAAUGAACAAACGAGCUAUACAAGUACACUGAAUAAUGAGGAACAGAAGGCAGUGGAAAUUAUUAUUGGACCAGGGCAUGUAGCACGGGUAAGCCUGAACAAUUAAUUCUCACAUGUUAUUUGUUCUAGGGAAAUUCCUGUAUGAUUUUAAUGUGAUGUGUUUGUGACAUCGAAAUUUUAUUUGUAGGUUGUCAGCCGAUGGACUAAAAUUCCUCUCGCUACUCUUGACCAAGAGGAGAAGGAGAAGUUGACCCACCUAGCCAAAAAAUUGCAUGAGCGUGUUGUUGGGCAGGAUGAAGCUGUUAAUUUCGUUGCGCAAGCAGUCCUACGUUCCAGGGUCGGCUUUGGUCAAUCUGGACAACCGAUAAGUGCAUUCCUCUUUCUGGGCCCGCUUGGUGUCGGAAAAACAGAACUUGCUAAAGCUCUCGCCGAAAAGAUAUUUGACAAUGAGAAGGCGUUGAUUCGCUUUGAUAUGUCGGAACAUGCUCAGAGUGGGUCCGUGUCACGUCUCAUUGGAGGACCUCGAAGGUUUUAUUCUUAUACUUUGUUAUGCACACUUCUUGUUUCUCGACACACUCAUGUCUUACAAUAUUUUGUUUAUUUUUGAAAGCUACGAAGAAGAUGGACAACUCACCGAGAAAGUCAAGAGGUGCCCAUACAGUGUUAUCCUUUUUGAACAAGUGGAUAAAGCAAAUGAUUUGGUAUUCAAGGUGUUUCUUCAACUCCUUGACCAUGGUAUGUUGACUGACGGCAAAGGACAGGUCGUAGAUUUCAAGAACACUAUCAUCAUUAUGACGUCAAAUCUAGGAGCAGAGCACCUAACAUCGAGAUUGACCGGCAAAAAUACAAUCAAUGGUGAAAGAGAUCUCCUCAUGAAACAGGUUCCUGAAUCCCAACGAUCUAUUGUAACGCCCUCCGUGGGCAAGCCAAGGAUUGUCGUCUAACAUAUACUUGUUCAUGCAGGUUAAGAAUCGCUUCAAGCCUGAAUUUAUCAAUAGACUAAGUCAGGUUGUGAUAUUUGAGCCACUUUCGCACAGUGAAAUGAGGGAGAUUGUGAAAAUUCAGAUGAAGAAUGUUGUUGCGACCGUAGCUAACAAGGGUAUCUCUCUACUUACAACUGAUGCGGCCCUAGACUUCAUUUCGUCAGAAUCACAUGACCUGGUGAGUACAUAUAUAUAGCUUCAUAUUUAUAACCAUCACAGGAUGAAGAUCCAAUGUCCAGCUUUUAACCCUUCAAUGCUCAUAGGUGCAUGGUGCAAGGCACAUAAGAAGGUGGGUGCAGAAUCACGUGACCACGAUUCUCUCUGACAUGUUGGUCGACGGAGAAGCUUGUGCAGGCUCGACAAUCUCCAUCGAUGCUGCAGAUGAUAAGAGGGAGCUAACGUUCCAAGUGCUGAAGAAGCAGCAGGAGAGUUGGCAGAUCAAUGAGAUGAUUUUUGCUGUUGUCACUCCCAUGAUAGAUAAAGAAGAUGCAUGAUCAUACAUAAUGUAUCGGCAUGUAAAAUGUACAUAGAAGUCAUCAAGUGCACAUAUACAUUUAGUAAUAAAUGUUUAAUGAAUGUAAUGACAAGUGUGUCACACGCAUUUUUUUUACAAUGUAUACUGGUGUUUAUUGUUUCUUUGUUUGAUUGAUUUUUCUUCCUUCACUUGCAACCGUUAACAACUUACCAUGCUUCAAGAAAAUGGGUCAAUUGUGUUAUUAGUAAAGGAACUCAAGCUGAUUGCAUGCUUUCGGUCAACAACGCCUCAGGAAAUAGUUAGAUUUAGGCCACUAACUUGGCUGUUUGAUUUCAACAGGGGUCGAAACACGACGUCAAGGUCAAAGGCAUCAUUCACUAGCCAGCAGAGUGCAGAGCGGUCUAUUCAUCUGUGUGAUUACAUGAUAUAUAUUCUUAGGACACUGCUACACAACGUGCGGGCCAUGCAGGGCGGUUCCCUCGCAAGAACGACGGGUGGGUGUUAUCGUUUAGUGCCACAUGUACGUAGGCGGUCGCGCACGGUUGCUCGCGUCACCGUGUGGUAAAACUGCUUUUCGCACACACAAUGCUUGUACGGUGAUAAAUGAGAACUGCAGUUGUGCAUAUGUGAUAGCUACAGUUAUGCAUAUGUGACAAAUAGUUAAUCACACAUGUCAAAUAUGGUAACCAUACAUGACAACUAUAUUUUGAUCAUACGUGGCAACUACUUAAUCACACAUGGUAACUAUGAUAGAUCAUACACAACGACUAUGGUUUGAUCACACGUGGUAACUCCAGCAAUUAGUUUCACAUGGCAACUAUAUUUAAUGAUACAUAGCAACUAAUCUUAAUCAUACAUGUCAACUACAUUUAAUUAGACAUGGCAACUAUAGCUAAAUACACAUGACAACUAUAGUUAACGGUUUAGCUAAAACACAUCUAGAUGUGAGAUAAGUAUUGCAUAUCCAAGUUCUGUAUCAUUGGUCUUAUAUGGAGAUUCGCAUGGGGAUUACUUUUAAACUUUUUAUGCUUAAUUUAGUCAUUUGGAUAUGUAAUAAUUAUGUCACAUCUAGAUGUGUCCUAGACACACCCAUAAGUAAAUUACACACGCGUUCGUGCUCACGGGAUGGAGGUGAGAGUAAUUGUUAUUGGUUUGGCGUGAGGGCCCUCGCAGCUGUUCCUGAACAUGUGGGCAGUGUUGAUAUUCGCACACAUGGUGGUGUAGGUUGGCUCCUGGUACGACUGAAUGAAUCAUGUGGUCGCGUAUGCAUUAUGCCAUACAUGUGAUGAAUAUUGAAACCCAUUUUAUUGUCACUCGAAAAAAAAACAUGAAAGCAGGCCUGUCAUCUGGAGGUGCGUUUUUAACAUUAACUUUUUGUAUAAUUUAACACCUGUCACCCGCGUGGAGAUAAACUAAAAGUUGGGAAAGCAUCUACUUGGAAUUUAUAAUUUAACUUUUUUAUAUGGAAAAGGAUUAUCAUCCACCGGCGAUCGCGCGCGGCUGUCUGCCAGCUCCUUAGCCGUUUGAUUUGAUCAGACAGUCGUACAUCAUCCUGCGUGUGUCAAAGCCACUUUUGUUUCUUGCAACUAGCAUAUUCUUGAUACUGGAUAACAGUAGGGAUGUUUCGGGGGGUCGUCUGGCUCCACUCUAUUCUCGCUCGGUCAAUUUGCUUUCCUCCACCGCUUGGUUCUCUGCCCUUUUUUUUGCAACACGAUCUCUGCUGCGAAAAGAAUUUGUAACAUUAUCUGUGUUGUAAAAAUUUCUUUAUCAAGAUCUAUGUUACAAAAUGUUUCUGCAACAUGAUCUUUAUUGCAAAUAUAAAGGAUCACAGACGACCGCUAUAUUGCGAGAUCAGGACGGCGAUCCACUGGCUGUUUGUUUCAGGAGUUAUUUCUGCAACGCGGUCGUUGUUUCUGCAACAUGACUGUUCUUUCAGGAAUUGUUUCUACAACAUGGUCAUUAUUUCCGCGACGGAGAUGAUGUUUCAUAAAUUAACCCAGGCUUUUCGAUGCCAUCUGCUCGAAGACGGUAGUUUAGCUCCUGCACGUCGGCGGCGGACUGAUUUUACGGCGGGCUGACGACGGCUUCGGGCCGGGCGCAGCUCUGUAGGGGCCAAGGAAGAGUGUCUAGUUUCCGUAAUAAAUCGGUUGUUGCGGUUAAUAACGACUGACCAUGCGACGGGAUGCGGCGUUAGAUCAAACGGUUGUUAGCUCGGGCAUCCAACAGCUGGAUAGGUGACAGAUAAUUUUUAAAAAUCAUCCGACGGACGAGUAGUGUUUCCCCUUUUAUCUAUACCUAAUAAUAAAGAGGCUAUUGCUUCCGUCGGAAAACCCACCGCGGCAUUUUUAUGAAAAAAACCUAUAUUUUUUGUUAUUCAACCAGCGCUUCAUCAUUUAUCUACAACGCAAAAGGAAAAACAAUUCGCUGUAAAAAUUAUACCCAUACGCAUCGCCUCCUCCCGUCGACCCUGGGCCACCCUGGCCUGUGCCCAGGCCGCCGCCACACCACUCGCCGCCGUGGCCGACCUCAACCGCCACCGCUGCCGAUCUCAACCCACCCACCUCCGCGGCCGUACCUCUCCCCGCCCCUCGUUGCGGCGCUCGAGCACAUCGCGUCGACCCUGGUCCAUCCUGACAUGUGCCCAGGCCGCUGCCACACCACUCGCCGCCGCGGCCGACCUUAACCACCACUGUUGUCGAUCUCAACCUACUCGCCUCUGCGGCCGUACCUCUACCCGCUUGAUGCCCCCGUUUCGGCGCUCGAGCACAGCUUCUGGAUCAAAUCAACGCGACAACUAGAGUGACUGGGGAUGAUGCGUCUGCUGGAUGCAGAACGGCGGCGGCGCACGAAUAAGGCGCGGCGGAGUGAAGUACUUGCUGGUGGAGGCGGGCCUCCAUGGCUCACACGGGGAACUCCGAGGUUUUGGCGCGGCAACGGCGACUCCUUAUGGUCAGAUAGAGGCGCCUAACCCUUGCUCUCCUCAUCGUAUCCCCUCCUCCGGCAGGAACUCGUCAUCUGGUGAGAUCCCCUCCCCAUGCCUCCAACCGUGUGCCAAGCACCGACAAUUUUUUUUGUUUUGUGGGGAUUUGUUUGCUGAUGAAUGAAUGUAUUGAAUGUAAGAUUGUAUUGUUGUAGAGACAGAGAAUGGAACACCACCUUCAGUUUGUGAUCUGAUCCCACAUUCUCUCCCCAUGGGUGAAAUACGAUAACAGUCCAUUGAUCAAUUCACGUAGCCUCUUUGUUUUGCUUUGCUUGUCCCGCUCAAUUUCUUAUCAUGGUGGAAUUAACAAUGGACGGGUUGAUUUCUUAACAAAAUAGGAUAGGACUGACUACAUUAGUUAGUUAGCUUAUUAUUUUAAUAAAUCAAAAUGAUUAUAAAAAGAUUAAAAGUGUGUGGUAUUUUUUUCUCCCGUUGCAACGCAUGGGCCCUUUUGCUAGUUAUAUAUAAAAAGUUCUAAUUUGACUCGGAGUCGGAGCCGAUACAAACUGAGUUUAUCGGGCAAAGGAAAGGGCUCGGCUUAGGGUUCUUUAUCUCCCCUAAUAAUAAAGCGGGCAGUGUUUCUGUCGUCCGUCGUCAGUCAUUUUGCAAAAUAGCCCUCGCAGUUUCAGUUAAUUAACCCGCAGUCCAACUUUAAGUCAGAACGAACCGUUUCUGUCGUUUCGCAGAAAAGUCCUCACAGUUUUAGAUAAUCAACCCGCGGUCCAUCUUUUAGUCAGAGCCGAACCGUUUUUUGCAUUUUACAGAAAACACCCUGAUGUUUCAGGUAAUGAACCCGCUGUCCCUAUUUAAGUCAGCUGAAACGUUUUUUUGUUUUAAAAAAAACCUGACUUUUCACUUAAUCAAUCCGUAUUUUAUCUAAAACAAAAUUAUCCAUAUCUUUUAAACCGUAACUCCGAUUUUUACAUGUUAUAUAUGAAAUUUGAUUGCAAAAAUAUGUAGAAUCUAAAUAGUAUGUUAUUUUUAGCUGUUGAAUACUUCUUAAAUAUUAUUUUUGGUCAAACUUAAUCUGUAGUGCACGGUCUUUUUUUCUCUCUUCCUGACGACCAUAGGAAUUGCAAUAAAUAUCCAUUAAAUUAAAACCAAAUUGAGAGGAAAGAAAACAUCGUUAACCACACAUGCACACCUUUGGAAAAUCUCGUGGGGAGAAACAACAUAUUUCUCAUCUUAUUCCGAGUGAUUGUACAUUCAAACGCGUUUUCGUUGUGUGAGCACUGAGGCCAUCGUCGACAACACAAAUGUGAUGCCAUGUGAAAAUAUAUUACGUUCAAAGCGUGUGUUAUUUUCUCUUCCGUUGCAACACACUGGCUUUUUUGCUAGUAAAUAUAAUUCGCGUGUCAUCGUCUGAUCUCAUCUAUCGGGGUUACUGCAGAAGGAAGGGAGGCAGCCAUCAACAAGAUGCGGGAGGAGGCCGCAAUCAAGCAGGGCGCCGAUGCCUCGGACGUCGUCAAGCAGGGUGUGUGUUGGCUUUUGAACGUGCGUAUGCAGCUGUACAUGCGUGCCUACGCGAUUCUUGCUUCGGCCGGCUACUUGACGGAACUUGCGUCACUAGCGACACGAAUAAAACUGAUCGAUGGAUUUGAUGGCUAAAGGCCCGUGUCGAGCCUUUGCUUUGUAUUGCUUUUCGUUUUUCUGGUGUUACAAUCAACACCCCUAGGGUGUCUUUUAUACACGUCCACAAGGGACUAUGGAAAUAGACUAGGACUAGGAAUCCUAAUACUACUAGGACUCGGUUUGGCUUUCUUUCCUAAUCCUAAAGAAACAACAUGAUUAACUUCUACAUUCACCUCCUUAAUCUUGUUGCUUGACUUCACUUCUUGCACUCCGACUUUCCUCCUCAUCUCGAUGAACUUCUGUCGACCGAGGGACUUGGUGAAAAUAUCGACAAGUUGGUCUUUCGUGUUCACAUGUUGAACCUCGAUCAACCCUUCUUCAAUGCACUCCCGGAUAUGAUGGAACCGGGUAUCUAUGUGCUUGCUCCUUUCGUGAUGAACCGGAUUUCUGCACAACGAGAUUGCAGCUUGGUUAUCGAUCUUCAGUGACACCUUCUGCACCUCCCGCUUUGCAAGAAUAGCUAGGAGUCUUCUCAGCCACACUACUUGACAAGCCGUCGUGCUUGCCGCUAUGUAUUCUACCUCGCAUGAAGACAGUGCCACCACCUUUUGCUUCUGAUAAUUCCAGCUAAUCGGAUUCGGGCCAAGGUAGAAAACCAUGCCCGUUGUGCUCUUUCGGUCAUCAACAUCACCUGCCAUGUCACUAUCUGAAUAUCCACGAAGGAUCAAUCCUUCCUUUCCCUUUCUGUACGUGCAACCAAGAUUAAUGGUGCCUUUCACAUAGCGCAAGAUUUGAUUGACCGCGCUCAUGUGCUCGGUUGUCGGAUUCUCCAUGAAACGACUCACGAUCCCGACUGAAUAAGCCAAGUCAGGUCGGGUAUGCACCAAAUAUCUUAGGCUGCCCACAACGCUUCGAUACAUUGUGGUGUCCACCGGUGGAUUUGAGCUACGCUUGCUCAACUUGUGACGUUGGUCCAUUGGAACUUGUGUCGCGUAGCAAUCUGACAUGCCACACUUGUCCAAUAACUUGACCGCGUAAGCCGAUUGACAUAGAGAAAUCUCUCCAGAGCUUUGCUUCACUUCGAUGCCCAAGUAAUAGCUGAGUAAUCCCAGAUCACUCAUGCUAAACUUGUUCUUCAUUUGCGCCUUGAAACGUUCAAUUUCUUGUACGCUAUCUCCGGUGAUAAUCAGAUCGUCGACAUAAACUCCAACUAGCAGGUUUGAGCCUUUGGAGUUCUUUGUAUAGACUGCGUGCUCGAGGGGACAUCUCUUGAACCCGAGCGAGACCAGAUUUCGGUCUAACUUUGAGUUCCAAGCUCUUGGCGCUUGCUUCAACCCGUAAAGUGCCUUCUUGAGCUUGUAAACUUUCCCUUCUUCGCCUUUCUUCUCGUAGCCGAGGGGUUGUUCCACGUACACUUCUUCUGUGAGAUCGCCGUUGAGGAAAGCGGAUUUAACAUCCAUAUGAUGAGCCUUCCAAUCCUCUUGUGCUGCCAAAGCUAAGAGCACUCUCACUGUCUCGAUUCGAGCAACCGGUGCAAACACCUCAUCAUAGUCAUCUCCUUGACGUUGUACGUAGCCCUUUGCAACGAGUCUUGCCUUGUACUUCACAAUGGCACCCUCCGUGUCCUUCUUUAACUUGUAAACCCACUUCAAACCUAUCGUCUUUUGGUUUGGAGGUCGGGUUACCAAAGUCCACGUGCCAUUGCUCUCAAUUGCCUUCAUCUCCUCAUCCAUGGCGUGCGUCCAGCUAGGACUUUUGCUCGCCUCUACUAAGUUCGCCGGCUCCUCAACUCCGAACAAACAUAGUCCGGAGUACUCAAGUGUAACUGGCUUUGUGUACUUGUAGACUUUCUUGAGGGUCUUGUAGCGACGAGGCCCUGAGGAGUCUGUUGUGGCUUGCGAAGGAGGCGACACAAAUUGUGUCGGUGUUGAUGCACUUGAGGAAGAUGGCUGAGACCCUGGUGUGUCAUCGACAUCUGUGUCGUCGGCGUAGUCGUCGUGACCGUGACCAUCAUCUUGAUUGUCGUCGUCACUAUGCGCCUCGUUGUCGAUGUUGUGGUCGAGAUCUCCGCUUGUGUCGUGCGCGGCGUUGUCGCUAUCUCCUUGCGACCUAUGCGCGUCGUCGUCGGUGUCAGCACCAUGAUGAUCACUACCAUUGUGGUCACCUUGGUUGGGCGUCUUGCCAACCACCUGGACAUCCUCCCCUGCAUCAUCAUCAGUUGGAAAUUCAACUGCAAAUAUGUUACUGUUUGGAGCAUCGUCGGCUGCGGCGCUCCAAUUCCACGCUUGGUUUUCUUCAAACACGACGUCGCGUGAAAUCCGUAGACGCUUGGUUUGUGGAUCGUACAAACGGUAUGCCUUGGUGCCAGAACUGCUCUCGUAUCCGAUGAACACCAUCUUGGUGCUACGAUCGACAAGCUUUGAGAGGUGUGGCUCCGCCGUCUUCACAUGUGCCACGCACCCGAAUGUCCGUAGAUGAGACACAUUCGGCUUACGUCCGUAAAUUGCUUCAUACGGAGUCUUGCCGAUCACCGCCUUCGUUGGAGCCGGUUGAGAAGAUAGACCGCCGUCGAGACAGCUUCUCCCCAAAAAGUCCCCGACAGGUUCUUGCUCUUGAGUAAACUCCUUUCCAUGUCAACGACGGUUCGAUUGCGCCUUUCAACGACCCCAUUCUGCUGCGGCGUGUAAGGUGCCGUGAGGAACCUCUUUAUGCCAAUCUUCUCGCAGUAGUCGUUGAACUCAUUCGACAUAAACUCUCCGCCGCGGUCUGUCCGUAGAGCGCGAACCUUCAGCUUGUGUUCCAUCUCCGUUGCAGCCUUCAACUUCUUGAACGCUUCAAACACCUCAUCUUUAGACCGUAGGAGAACGACCCACAUAUAUCUCAAGUGGUCAUCUACCACAAGGAAGAAAUACUUCUUUCCAACGUGAGUUGCCGGGGUGAUAGGGCCACAUAGAUCACCAUGGAGCAACUCGAGUGCAUCACUUGCACGAUAGGUAGACUGAGCAGGGAAUGGCCUGCGGUGUUGUUUUCCAACCAAUCACCCGUCACAUACUCGAUCAACAUGGUCGAUAACUGGCAUCCCGGAUACCAUCUCCAUCUUUGACAUCUUCUUCAAGGCGUAGAAGUUAACGUGUCCAAAUCUAGCAUGCCAUAACCACGAAUCAUCAUCACUCUUGGGGAGCCAACACUCCGGUUGAGAUUGAUCAAGGUUGAGGAUAUAGAGCCUAUUCCGUGUGCGACUAACACGAGUUAGCACGUUCCGGAGGUUGUCGAAGAUCGUCAUCACUCCGUUCUCGAUAUCCACCUUACAUCCAUUCUCGUCAAGCUUCCCGAUAGAGAUGAUGUUGUUGCGAAGCCGUGGGAUGUAGUACACUCCGGUGAGUAUGCGAUCUUCGCCUGUGAGACCCUCGAAGAGGACAGAUCCUUGCCCACAAAUAUCCAUAUUUGAACCAUCACCAAACUUGACCGAGCCUUCAACAUCAUAUUCCAGCUCGAGAAAUUUCUCCUUGCAUCCCGUCAUGUGGUUACUGGCACCCAUGUCGAGAUACCACGACACGUUGUGAUCCCCGGAUAACUUAGGUGUCACAUUCUUCUCAUGAAGUAGCACCUUCCGGCUUGGUUUCACAACCACUGUUUCAGCGAGAUCACAAACUUCGGCCAUCAGAAGACCUGGACCUUCGCCUUUCUCCUUUGCCAAAUUUGCCUUGAUCUCCCGCUUGUCAGGCUCCGGACAAUUCUUUGCAAAGUGACCCAUCUCGUUGCAGUUAUAGCACUUGACCUCGGACAUAUCCAAGUUCCGUUGCUUCCGCCCUUUAGAUCGGUCUGCCUUACCACGACCUUGUGGUUUGACUUUUCCUUUGCCUUCUCUGGUUUGUCCGCCGCGCGUUGCGUUGCUUGAGCCUUCGUUGCCGUCACGCCUUCCUUUGCUACUUGGGGCCUCGCAAUCUGCAUGCGAGUACAUGAGUUGGUCACUACCUCCUCCUUUACCUUUCCGACAGCCACGAGCAUUCUCUUCCCAUGUCCGCAAUCGUCAGAUCGCCUCCGUUAUGGCCAUGUCGUCGAUGUCGUAAAGCUGCUCGAGUGUGCCGAUGAUGUACGUGAAUUUAUCAGUGACUGAACUGAAAAACUUUUCCACAAUCUCGGUCUCAUCGAGCUUUGCACCAAGCGAGCGGAUCUCUCCCACCAAAGUAGUAAGACGCAUGGCGUAGUCAUUCACCGAUUCAGUUUCCUCCAUCUGCAACUUGUGAAAUUGGCGCUUCAGCACUUGUGCCCGUGCCUUGGUGACGCGAUCUUCUCCGAUCCUCAUCUCCUUGAGUGCGUUCCACGCCUCUCUUGCCGUCUCGAACUCCGCCAAUGUCAUCAGCACGGAAUCCGGCACAGACUGGGCUAUGGCGGCCAUGGCACCUUCGUAGCGCUCCUCGUCGACGUCAUCGUCCGUGAUGGCCUCCCACACUCGAAGGGAUCGAAGAAUAAUCUUCAUCUUCACCGCCCACACGCCGUAGUUGGCGUCGGUGAGCAUCGGGUACUGGAUGGGGAUGUUGCGAUGCGCCUGGACGUUGGCGCCGCUCGUUCCUCCACCACUGGUUGCUGACUUGACGCCCUUUUUCACCUUGUCGCCGUUCUUGUUCGCCUUGGCACCGCCACUGCCGGACUCGACAGACUCAGCGUCGCUGUCCGUCAUCGUAGAUCGUAGAUCGUCGAGGCUCUAGAUACCAAUUGUUGGCUUUUGAACGUGCGUAUGCAGCUGUACAGGCGUGCCUACGCGAUUCUUGCUUCGGCCGGCUACUUGACGGAACUUGCGUAACUAGAGACACGAAUAAAACUGAUCGAUGGAUUUGAUGGCUAAAGACCCGUGUCGAGCCUUUGCUUUGUAUUGCUUUUCGUUUUUCUGGUGUUACAAUCAACACCCCUAGGGUGUCUUUUAUACACGUUCACAAAGGACUAUGAAAAUAGACUAGGACUAGGAAUCCUAAUACUAUUAGGACUCGGUUUGACUUUCUUUCCUAAUCCUAAAGAAAGAACAUGAUUAACUUCUACAGUGUGGAGUCCCCGGCGGCCCCGGCAGCAGCGGCAUGCGGAAGCAAAGGGAAGAUGUACCGGCUGAAGAAACGCGAGCUCAGGACCAUCUUUGCCCUCAGGCCGGAGCCGUUCCCUCCGGCAGACGACUAUCUCGAGCUGGCCCCGUUCUUCCCGCCACGGUGGCUCGAGCGGAAGAACCGGGAGGUGGAGGAGGAUGCGGCCCACUUUGCGAGGAUGGACGCGGAGUGGGAGGCUUUCAGGCAGGAGGUGAUUGAGGGGGUCAGGAAGAACGGCUACUUCGAGGUCGACGAGGACCCCUCGGAGGGCAGGGAGGAGGCUAAUGAAUACGCCAGGCAAGACUUGGCCGAGAUUGACUUCAGUAAACUCCGUCUCCUUGAUGCUGCUAGACCAAAUAUGCCACAGCCCAAAGUUAUUCCCUACGUUUACGUUCCCAACGAGGACGAUGCUCUUCUGGAUGAUAUUCCGAGUGAUGAUGAUUUCGUGUCUGGCUCAGCGUUUUGAUUUUCGGUUUGACAAUUUUUUCGCCCUUGGCCGAGAUGGACGAAUUUCGGCCAUUUUCAAAUUUUUCGGUCGAAAUUUGACCAAAAUUUGAUUGAAGUUUGACUAAAAUUUGACCAAAAUUCAUCAAAUUCGAUCAAUUUCGGCGGAAAGUUAGAUUUCACCCCAGGCCGAGAUGGCCGAAAUUCCGCCGAAAUCCAUUUUUUCGGCCAAAUUUCAAAACACAGGUCUGGCUAUAACGAAGAUGUUUCUUGGCUCAACGACAAAGAGGACCUUGACGGGGAAGGACCUGGACCAAUCGGUGUUAAUGUUUUUAAUUUGCGACCCUUCAUGGUUAGAUUAGUUUGUAGGGAUUUCAACCCCCGUGUGUGCCAGUGCAUGCAUUCUACUGCAAACUGAAACUAGUAGCAGAGAGUUUUGAUUUAACUUUGUUUUCAAAUCUCUUGAUGUACUGAUUUUUGAUUUUACUUAUAAUGUAUGGCUUUGAUUUUACUUAUUAGGGUAUAAUUCCACAAAUAUUUUGAACACCGUUUCGAAAAACUUACCAUGAUAUUUGUAUGUAACUUAUCAUGCCGUGAUGAGUAAAUAUCAUGCUAUUUAUACAUAAGUUUAAGGAGGAUAUAUGAAAAACUUUUUAAACCCCAAGGUCAAAAUUUAUCAUGUGCCGUGCCCGUUCGUCGAGGUAGGGCCCAUGGAUCAACAUGUGAUGCUAUAUUAUUUACAUACAAGAAAUUACCCGGUGUAUAUUUAUCAAACUUUUUUUUGGGUCGAACUUAUCACAGUAUUUACACCUAAUUUAUCAGGUCUAUGGUGCCUAAAUUAUCAUAUUUUUCUAUAUACAUAGCAGUAUAUAUAAAAGUUAUCAGCUGUGUGACGUGUAUAUUACCAUGAUAUUUACACAAGAAUUAUCACUGGCAUGUUUAAAAAAAAUAUCACCGGGCCAAUGUUACCAUGUUGUUUGUACUUAGUGGUGCGAUAAAUUAACAUCUAUUUACGCAGAAAUUACCAAGAUAGCACGAUAAAAUAGCAUGCGGGGAAUCCGGAUCUAACGGCAAUCAGAUCGUUCGGAUCUAUUGCUAAAACUUUGUGGUUCAGAAAUUAACAAAAUCAUUUAAAUAAACAGAUGUGAUUUAUAGGACAAAUGGAGUAAUACAUUGGAUUCUUACUUGAAUGAAGUUUCAGUGAUCUGCCGUUUCUACAUACAAGUAGUUUUUGAUUAUUUAAAAAUUGUAAAAAUUAACAACUAUAGUAUGAAGUAGUUUAUGAUUUUCUAUAUUUUUUGAAAUUUCCAGUUUUGUGUUUGCUUUAGCAUUAAACAUUUAUUGAUUUUCCGUCCAUUAAACUGGUAGUGAGAAUAAAGAAAAAGCUGGCCAAGAGGUAAUGCGGGAGCAUCAAGGAAGUUGCUAAUAGAGUUUGUGGAGUUAAACAAAUAAAUUUGAGCACGCAAAAUAGCAUGUAUACUUUAUUACCGGGAGGGAAACGCGCGUCGGACGCAGUCCCAACCCAAGCCCCAGCCACAGGUUGUAGCCCCAUGCGUUGACAUAGGCUCAUCGUCAGAGUAGUAUACCGCAGGAAAGUAGGCGUCCACUCACGAGUGGUGGGCUUCCCACUUCUGCAUCUCCACCACAUGCAGUGAGAGCGGCCUCGUCCUCGACGGAAGGAGAUAAGUAAACGCCAAUGGGUGCGGCCUUGUUGGUAACUUGGGCCUUGGGGACGUGCCCCGUACCACCACCUUCUCCUACAUCAUCGCCAUGUCCAGCACGAACCCGUCAUACUCGAACACCUGCUCCACGUCCUUUACUAUCCCGGCGUCCAUCUCGUACUCCUACUCCGUCAAUGAAGGAGCUUGAUGCCAAUCCACAACUUGUGCGAUACACUGUCGACUAUGGUGUGUGCCGGCGGGGUUGCAAAUUUGAGGGGAGAGGGGUAUAACAUAUGGAGGUGGAAAGGAGCUUCAUAUGGGCUUGUGGAGGGGGGGUGUGCGCGUCUGCCGGUGGCGGAGGCAUCAAUGGCACCCACGAAUGCUUGACCCUUUCUCCCUGCAUGGAACAAAUGUAGGUGGCAAAAGUGACGACUGGCCUGAAGCUGCUCGCAGCAUGUACAUUAGCACAUUUUACCAAAUAUCUGUGGUAGGCAACGAGAGCGCGGUUUUUCCCUUCACUGAAAUGUGGGCGAUUAUUGUUAAAUUUGACAUUUGAUUAAAAAUAAAUUAAAAUUAAGGUCAACCAAAUUGUUUUUUUUGUAGAUAAUAUGAGGCAAUUACAUAUGAUUCAGAAAGAUUGCUACACUGUGUAUAAGGUUUUUCCUAAGGUUGCGUAGUAGAAACUUCGAAGCAACGAACCCACAAAACUUGCAUGUAUUUUGUUGCCUCAAUGUCGGAAAGAAGCUAGGGCUCAAACAUAUUAGAGUGAAGUAGAUACAAUUACCUACAUAGAAAGGAUUCUAGGUUGCAAUCGUGUUGAUCCCGUGACUUAUAUAACUUAAUGUUCAAGUGUUUCCUUUCUCCGCGAUUAUUUCUUGUUUUUUCCUAUGAUUUUCUUCAUCUCUAAAUGAUGCUUCCGUUGUGCUCUUCUAUUACUGCAAAGACUGUUACAUACCACCUAGUCAAGGGAGGAUAGUUGGUUGGCGUGGGUGUUCUGUUGUUUUAGUCGUUUUGGUGUAAAUGACUGCUCAAAUUAGUAAUACACUCUCUCUAUUUCGAAUCACACAGUUCUCUAUUUGACCAUUUUUUGAACAGUCACCGGGGGGAGAGGAUCUCCACCUGAAUGUAUUACUCAAAAAGUUGUCAAAGCCAAGAGUCACCCCUUAAGCUUUGAUUAAUCCAGUUUAUAAGGAAAACCGAAUCAAAAAUCUAAACAAAUUGAUCCCUUUUAUGAGGCAAGCCCGGCCGAAAACUGUACAGGAACAAGGUUAUAGAAGAGAGAGAAAAAAUGCCACCCGGGAGAUGCAUGACUUAGCUAGCAGGUAGAAAGACCAACACCUUGAGAGACACAAGUAGAUGUGGUGUUCUGUCGAGGGACCACAAUACCAAGACUCUGCAAACAACCUAACGCACCGCACCGACGUGCGUCUCGAGCCCCAUGGCACAACAGAGGAUCAACCAUAAACAAGGAGUGCCAAAUGUUAACACGAACCUUGACUGGGAGAUCCCUCACUGGCAGUCUAGACGAUUAACAGGUUAGGGAGGCAUCAUUGCUUCGUCAUUGAGCAAAGGUAAAUCGAGACAACACCAAGAGCCCGAAGCUCGCCGCAGCACAACGGCAAUCAUGGGAGGGUCUUGAGCAUGAAUAGCAACAGAACAGAGACCAUGCGAAGGACAACUGAAGAGAAACAUAAGAAGAAGAACAAACCACAAAUGGUCCUGAGCAGGCCACACCACCACCACCAAACGAACCAUCCUCAAUCACACGCAGCAAACUGAAGUCGUCGUUUGGGUCUCCGAGAUGACGCGUCCAAAGAGGUAGUGUUUUCAAGGGCACAACACCAUCAUCCGAUCCGGCAAGCCUGAUCUUAGGUUUUCACCCAGAAACCGCAAAGCAAAGUAUUAUAGGUGAUGGAGCUCCACAACGACACCUUCUACGAGGAAAACAGCGUACAUAGACAACCACUACCAUCAAACCCUUCAAAUGACAAAGAAGCACAACAAGCCGCCAGAGCAAACCACACCCUAUGGAGACCACUGACGACCAAGCGUCCGCACUAGGAACGAGAUCUAUCAAUAGCCAGCCGAGCGCAGGCCACCGUACGCAACACGGUCCACCAUGCCCUACCAAGCACCAUGCCGGCAAGGAGGAGAGGAGCACUGCCAAGGCCAGGAACCACCAUGGUCCGGACUUCAGCCAUACAUGAGGCACGCCGGCACAACACAUGCGUGCCACCGCGCACCCGUCGGAGACCAGAACGAUGCCCCCACCGCGCGAACGAAAGGCAGUGAGACAAAAACCAGCUGCUGCAGCACCACCACUACUCCCACCACGUCCACCAGCACCAGUCAUCACCACCCUCCUCAUCCCCAAGCCACACGACCAGGAUCCUAUCGAACCGGAUGCAGCCAGGACAGUGAACCCGAUGCAACCAGGCCAGCGAAAUGGAUCAAGCCAGGCCAGUGAAACGCAUCACCAGCGAGCUUCCAAAUCCACCCCCGAAGCGAACCAUAGGAGGCGGGACGCCGCCAUGCAUGCCCAAGGAAGCACCGGAGAAGGAGCAGCCAACCCCAACCACAGCAGGCAGCGAGACCAGCACCUCCGCUCGAAACCGUCCUAGCGAGGAUCCAAGCGCGCUGGCCAGAUCCGUCGCCCAGGGGAGAGGUCGCACGCAUCGUGAACCAACGCCGGCGAUCAGGCAUAACGGCACCACGUCGCCUCCAAGCUCCCCGCGUACGAGCAACGCCCUCCCCUACCGAGCCCGACGGCUGCCACCACGUCGACAAACAUAUCUAGCCAGCCAUCGGCACGUCCACCGCGAGCUCUCCCUAGCCGCCUUCGGAGGCAGGGGCCGCCGCCCCCGCGGCCGGGCCAGCGGCAACGGCGGAGGAGAGAAGGCGGGAGGGGGUCUACUGGCGGCGGCGCGCUAGGUCAGCCCCGAGUCAUCCCAGGGAGACGACGCGGUUUAUACUUCAUCCGAUUCAUAUUAAUAGUGGCACUAAUGCUACAACCAUUAAUUUGAAUCACAUGGAGUAAUUUAUUUCUUUGUUGUGAUAUAAUUUUCUUUAUGGACUUCAAUGAUAGAAACAUUUGAUUUAUGUAGAUGGGUCGCGUUACUCGUCGUCCUAGGUGAGCAAUAAUUAUUCUUCACCCUCCUUUAUUUUAACAUCAAUGCAACGUAAUUUUGCGUUUCAUAAAUUUUCUCUUAUUUUAUGCGUAAAAAGAGACUGUAAUAAAUAAUAAUCAACGUAAAAAUAUUUUAUGUUACGUAAAAUUCCAAACAUAUAAAAAUAGUGCAAAAAUCCUAUAGAUUCAAUUUUUUCUGGUCUUGUGACCUAUAUUUCUGUUUUUCUAUAGUCAAAUUUUACGUGUCGAUUCAAUAUAAAUGUAACUAUUUGUAUUUUAAAUGCAAUUUAUUUGUAAAUUGAUCGUAAGGUUAUCUCAGAUAAAGAAUAUACUAUUCUGCAUCUUGCGUGAUGAAUAGAAUUUCUAUUAUGAAAAUUAAAUAUAUAGUAAUACUAUAUUUAUACCUAAAUAAUUGUAGUAGAGCAUAUUUGAUUUUAAAAGAAAGGAAACAUUUUUCACCGAAGGAAAGAAAAAUGAAGUGGGGGUGGGGGAAGAAGAGGAUACGGAGGGGCAGGGGCAGCAGGAGCUGGGCCCAGUCCGGCAUGCCGAGUCUGGGCAGUAAACGGUUUCCGAUACGUGCUGAGAGCAUCUCCAACAGCGGCGCAAAAAGGCACGCGCGCGCUAAACAUGCAUUUUACCGCGCGCGGGACAAAUUGGCGCGCUCCAGCGUCGGCGGAAAAACCACGCGCGCGGGAACCGCUUGCACGCGCGUGCGAAAAGGCGGCAACUCGCGCGUCAUUUUCGCGGCGCCGCGUCCCGCGCGCCCAUAAAAGGCAACGCGCUGCCAUUUCAUCGCGCCACCGCUCCGCGCGCUCUCUCUCCCUCUGCCUCUCGCGCCGCCGCCCCAGCGCGCUCUCUCUUCCUCUGCCUCUCGCGCCACCGCCGCCGCCGACGCGCCACCAUGCCAUCGCGUCGCCGUUCUGCAUCAGGCUACCGUGGCGUCCGCCAGCGCCCCAACGGCGGGUUCUACGCCGAGAUACGUUCCGGCGAUCUCCGGCUUAGCCUCGGAACCUACGACACGGCGCACGAGGCCGCCCGCGCGUUCAACGCGGCGGCGUGGCGCCUAGGCAGGCCGCGCCUCCAAAUGAACUUCCCGGACGUCCACACGCUCCAGCAGGCGUUGGACCUCGCCCCGCCGCCUCGUCUAAACUCUACACAAGACCGUGCGGAGCACACUGCGCUGCAGCGCCGCCUCCUCGUCGCCCAGGAGGACGAGCGGAUCAUGGCGGAGUGGCGCCGGCGCCACCCGGAGGACGUCGCCUACGAGCAGGAAUAUUGGGAACGGCGCCGCGAGGAGCGGUUGGACAGGCGUCGUCGGAAGGCUUUGGCGUGUGCGCAGGCCGACCUCGUCAAUGCAGGCGGGAGGUCCUUCUUCUCUGAAGAAGAUGAGCGUUGGUUUGACAUCUGGCUGUCAACCUCUGACGACACCAAAGACGAUGAUGAUGGUGCAGAUGACUGGAGCGACUAGAAUUAGUUUUUCUGUUUUCGAACUAUCUAGCACCGAACUAUCUAUCUAUGUUUUCGAACUACCUAUCUAGUUGCAAUCUAUGUAAAAUAACUUUGUAUCUUUUUUUAUUUAAUGCAAUCUAUUUAUUAAAAAAUGUUGUGCGCACGCUGCAUUUUUGGGCACUGCUGGAGCGGCGCGUGCGCUGCAUUAUAGCGCGGCUGUUGGAGCCAGCGCCUAUCCCCGCGCUAAACCAGCCGAAGCGCGCGCGGCAAACGCAUUUUUUGGACACAGCGGGUUGGGCGGCUGUUGGAGAUGCUACUCGAGAGGCAAACAAGGGCUCGCUCGGCCAGGGUUCCUCUUCCCCUUCUUUAUACAGAUUGCGAUUGCUCGGCCAGGGUUUAUCAAGGCCAUGGCAGUUCAGGAGCCGGAAAGUUGUUGAUUAGUUCGUGCACUGCUGCCAAGUCUAUGGAGGCCGGCAACCAUGCUUCGGUGAGGAUGGCAGCCGUUGGAUCCAGCUACAAGGAGGGUGAGCAGCUUCCCAAGGGAUGGAUCGAUCUUUCAACGUCGACGGGACAAGAGAAGACAGGAUCUUACGAUCCGCUCGGGACAGGAGUAGCGUUUGACAAGGAGGCGAAACUGUCCGCCGUCUUCCCCAUCGAGAGUGCCGAUGCAUCCAUUGACCCUGAGGGGACAGCAGAGGCAGCAUCAGCGUCAGAUGGCAACAAGGCCAUGUUUCGGGUGCCUGCGGAGCAUGUCAAGCUCAUCUUGUCCCUGAAGAGAGACGACCUUCCCAACAGCGACUACCUAGACGACCUAGCCGACCUAUACACCCCGGAGGAGAUGGCCGAAAGGAGGCGGCGGCACGAGAGCGAUUUGGAGCUGUUAAAGAGGAUUGACGACGACUUCGAGGUGUACCAGAAACAGGUCCGCGAUUCGAUUCAGAAUCAUGGCUACUUUGAGGUCGACUACGACUACCUUGAGGAGAGGAGAAAGGUCAAUGCAUGGACCAAGGCGCAGUGGACCAAGAUCAAAGAAGAUGUCAAGCUCACAUUUUGUGCCGCUGAUGCUGAUCAAGCCACACAGGGUUACAUCGAGUAUGUCGACUCCGACUAUGAUGAUGCUUCUGAUUCUGAGUAUGAUGAUGAUUCCUGGUCUGAAGUCGAAGACUGAUUUCCUCAACGAUGGAGAGAAAGCUAGGCAUGCAUGUAUAGCGCAGUAUUAGGGUUAUCUAUGUAUGUUAUAGACUCAUCCAUGUUACCGUCAUUGAGUAUUCGACUAUUCGUUGAUGAUAGCUAAUAAUCUAGCGUGACAGAUCGCCAGGGCUGCUAAGUGUGUGAAUGAUACUACAGCUGCAAGGGUAGUGGUUUUAGUUUCCCGUCAGUUUCAUCAGUUAGAGUUUUUUCCAUGUUUCCGUUAGACAGCGUCUGAGGACGCGGUAUGUGCGUUCCCGAGGCCUUAGAUCACGGCACGAGCUCGCUCUUGAUCGUGGGAUGGCACGAUCCGGUAGAGGGGGCAGCUCCUGAUCCGUUUUUCCCGUUCAGCAAGUGAAUAAGAAGGAAGAAACAGAAAAGCAGCAAGUGAUUGCGCUGCGAAAAACCCCGUCGUCUACCUCGAGCUCCAGCCGCCAUAGCAAGGUGUUUUCUUCGGCUCUAGGACGCGUUAGUGCUGACAAUUGACAUCAGAGCUAGGCGUCGAUCUUGGGAAUGGCAGGCCCAGACAAUUCAGGUAGCAAGUCGCCGGCCACUCCGCGGGCACGGGUCUCCGACGGCAACGAGCUUGCUGUGGCACAGAGGUCUACGACGCGGAUGGCUCGGGACACCCGCAGUGCGGCGUGGCCGCAGCUGACCCGGACCAACUACACCGACUGGGCCGUCGAUAUGCAAGUCAUGAUGGAGGGUCGACACCUAUGGGACGCUGUGCAAACAGGCACGGCGGAGCGGAGUGAUAAUCGGCUCGCGCUCGAGGCGAUCCUGCGCGGGGUGCCUCCGGAGAUGGCGCCCACUGUCGCCGGCAAGGCCACAACGAAGGAGGCAUGGGAUGCACUGAAGACGAUGCGUCUCGGCGUGGCGCGCGUCCGCGAGGCGAAGCUCGCGACCAUCACCAAGCAGUAGAACGACAUCUGUUUCGCCGACGGCGAGACCAUCGACGAUUUCGCCAUGCGGAUCUCGAACAUGGUGGCCCAGAUGGCGCAACUCGGGGAAACCGUCCAGGAGAAACGCAUCGUCCGCAAGUUCCUCUCCGUCGUCCCGAAGAGGUACUCGCAGAUCGCCCUAUCAAUUGAAACCCUCGUUGAUCUGGACACGCUUUCCGUGGAAGAGCUCAUCGGGCGACUGAGGGCUGCCGAGGAGAGGUACGACGUCGACCAGGUGGAGACAGGUGUUGGGCGUCUCCUGCUCACAGCGGAGGAGUGGAGCGCACGCCAGCACUAAAGCGAGAACAACGGAUCCGGGGGGAGCGGCUCCGGGUCAUGCCGCGGCGGUGGACGCCAUGGGCGAGGCCGCGGACGCGGCUCAAACAGCCGCGCAAAGCCCACAUACCAGUGCCGCCACUACAACAAGUACGGGCACUGGGCACGCGAGUGCAGGACGCGCCUUCGCGAGGAGCGCGCGCAGGCGAACCUCGUCGGACAAGGUGAGCAUGCCGGAGGCGGGCAUGACGACGUCCCAACGCUUGUGAUGGCGGUGAUCGCCAACCCCCCGACAAAGAUCACGGGGGAGCGCGUCAUGCUCAACGAAGAGCGUGCAGAGGCGAACCUGGGCGCCGAGGAGGCGCCGUGCGACGGUUGCUGGUUCUUGGACAUCGGGGCGUCCAACCACAUGACCGGCGAUCGGUCCGUGUUCGCGGGGCUGGACGAGGGCGUCACGGGCAGCGUCAGGUUUGGAGACGGCUCCAACAUGGCCAUUAGGGGCCGCGGCACGGUCACGUUCACCGUGCGCAGCGGCGACCACCGUGCCCUCACCGACGUCUACUACAUCCCGUGUCUCAAGACGAGCAUCAUCACCCUCGGACAACUGGACAAGCAUGGCUGCACCACCAAGAUCCACGACGGCGUCCUAACGCUCUACGAUCACCACCAGAAUGAGUUUGCUCAGGUAUGCCGAAAUGGCAGACGCUUGUAUGUUGUGCGCCUGGAUAUUGCACACCCCGUCUGUCUGGCAGCACAUGGCGGCGACGAGGCGUGGAAGUGGCAUGCCAGGUUUGGCCACCUCCAUUUUGACGCGCUCCGGUGCAUGGUGCAUGCUGACAUGGUGCGCGGGUUGCCGCUGGUGGAGCACGCAGAGCAGAUCUGCGAUGCGUGCCUGGUGGGGAAGCAACGGGGUGCUCCCUUCCCCUCUCAGGCGCGAUACCGAGCGACUAGGCCGCUCGAGUUGGUUCAUGCCGACUUGUGCGGGCCCAUCGCUCCGGCCACUCCCGGCGGCAAGCAGUACUUCAUGCUCAUCGUCGAUGAUCACAACCGAUAUAUGUGGGCUAUGAUGCUACCGGCAAAGGACGCCGCCGCGGCCAGCAUUAAACACUUCGUCGCCGCGGCUGAGGCAGAGCAAGGGGCAAGACUCCGCGCGUUCCGAACGGAUCGGGGCAGCGAGUUCACCUCCAGCGCGCUGGGAGAAUAUUUCGCAGACCAAGGCGUGGAGAGGCACCUAACGGCGCCUUAUUCGCCGCAGCAGAACGGCGUGGUGGAACGACGGAACCAGACCGUCGUGGGCAUGGUGAGAAGCAUGCUCAAGGCGAAGAAUAUGCCGAGCUACUUCUGGGGGGAGGCCGUGGCGACUGCGGUGUUCAUCCUGAACAGAUCGUACACCCGCAGCGUCGACGGCAAAACCCCGUACGAGGCUUGGUACGGCAAGAAACCUGCCGUGCACUUCCUGCGAGUGUUCGGCUGCAUAGCCUACAUCAAGAACACGCGGCCAGGGCUGAGAAAGCUCGACGAUCGCAGCAUGAAGAUGGUCUUCAUUGGCUAUGAGGCGGGCUCGAAGGCGUACAGGGUGUACGACCCGCUCACCAAGGGCGUGUACGCCUCGCGUGACAGGGUGUUCGACGAGGGCGCGAGCUGGGACUGGAGCGCCGCCGGGCACACGGAGGAGCCGCUCGUUGUCCACCACGAGCUCCUCGCCACCGCAGGAGGGCGGAGCAAGCACCAAGGACACGAUCACGUCUUCACCUGGCUCACCAGCCCCACCCGUGGUCGCUUCUCCCGCCACGCCCCAGAGCGUGGCCAUGAUCGGCACCCCAGCAACACCGCGGACCGGUGUUGGGUAACAUCGCAUGGGAAACAAAAAAAAAUCUACGCGCACGAAGACCUAUCAUGAUGAUAUCCAUCUACGAGGGGGAUUUCAGAUCUACGUAUCCUUGUAGAUCGCACAUCAGAAGCAUUAAUAAAUGCGGUUGAUGUAGUGGAACAUCCUCACGUCCCUCGAUCCGCCCCGCGAACCGUCCCACGAACCGUCCCGCGAUCCGUCCCAUGAUCCGCUUCGAUCUAGUGCCGAACGGACGGCACCUCCGCAUUCCGCACACGUACAGCUCGACGAUGAUCUCGGCCUUCUUGAUCCAGCAAGAGAGACGGAGAGGUAGAUAAGUUCUCCGACAGCGUGACGGAGCUCCGGAGGUUGGUGGUGAUCUAAUCUUAGCAGGGCUCCGCCCGAGCUCCGCAGAAACGCGAUCUAGAGGAAAAACCGUGGAGGUAUGUGGUCGGGUUGCCGUGGCAAAGUUGUCUCAAAUUAGCCCUAAAACCUCCGUAUAUAUAGGUGGGAGGGGAGGGGCCUUGCUUUGGGGCUCAAAGAGCCCCAAGGGGUUCGGCCGAAGGGGGGAAGCAGGAGUCCUCCUCCAAUCCUAGUCCAACUAGGAUUGGAAGGUGGAGUCCUUCCCUUCCUUCCCAUUUCCCCCUUUUUUUUCUUUCUCUUUGAUUUUCUUAUCUCCCUGCGCAGGGGCCUCCUUGGGCUUGCCACCAUCCCACUAAGAGCUAGUGCGGCACCCCUAAGGCCUAUGGGCUUCCCCGGGGUGGGCUGCCCCCCUGUGAACAUCCGGAACCCAUUCGUCAUUCCUGGUACAUUCCCGGUAAUUCCGAAAACCUUCCGGUAAUCAAAUAUGGUCAUCCUAUAUAUCAAUCUUCAUCUCCGGACCAUUCCGGAAACCCUCGUGACGUCGGUGAUAUCAUCCGGGACUCCGAACAACAUUCGGUAACCAACCAUAUAACUCAAAUUCGCAUAAAACAACAUCGAACCUUAAGUGUGCAGACCCUGCGGGUUCGAGAACUAUGUAGACAUGACCCGAGGGACUCCUCGGUUAAUAUCCAAUAGCGGGACCUGGAUGCCCAUAUUGGAUCCUACAUAUUCUACGAAGAUCUUAUCGUUUGAACCUCAGUGCCAAGGAUUCAUAUAAUCCCAUAUGUCAUUCCCUUUGUCCUUCGGUAUGUUACUUGCCCGAGAUUCGAUCGUCAGUAUCCGCAUACCUAUUUCAAUCUCGUUUACCGGCAAGUCUCUUUACUCGUUCCGUAAUACAAGAUCCCGCAACUUACACUAAGUCACAUUGCUUGCAAGGCUUGUGUGUGAUGUUGUAUUACCGAGUGGGCCCCGAGAUACCUCUCCGUCACACGGAGUGACAAAUCCCAGUCUUGAUCCAUACUAACUCAACGGACACCUUCGGAGAUACAUGUAGAGCAUCUUUAUAGCCACCCAGUUACGUUGUGACAUUUGAUACACACAAAUUAUUCCUCCGGUGUCAGUGAGUUAUAUGAUCUCAUGGUCAUAGGAAUAAAUACUUGACACGCAGAAAACAGUAGCAACAAAAUGACACGAUCAAUAUGCUACGUCUAUUAGUUUGGGUCUAGUCCAUCACAUGAUUCUCCCAAUGAUGUGAUCCAGUUAUCAAGCAACAACACCUUGUACAUAGCCAGAAGACCCUAACUAUCCUUGAUCAACUGGCUAGCCAACUAGAGGCUAGCUAGGGACAAUGUUUUGUCUAUGUAUCCACACAUGUAUCUAAGUCUUCAUUCAAUACAAUUAUAACAUGGAUAAUAAACGAUUAUCAUGAACAAGAAAUAUAAUAAUAACUAAUUUAUUAUUGCCUCUAGGGCAUAUUUCCAACAGUCUCCUACUUGCACUAGAGUCAAUAAUCUAGUUCACAUCACCAUGUGAUUCUAACGAAUCCAACACCCAUAUAGUUCUGGGGUCUAAUCACGUCUUGCUCGUGAGAGAGGUUUUAGUCAACGGUUCUGAAACUUUCAGAUGCGUGUGUUCUUUACAAAUCUUUAUGUCAUCUUAUAGAUGCUGCUACUACGUGCUAUUCGGAAAUACUCCAAAUAUCUACUCUACUAUACGAAUCCGUUUCACUACUCAUAGUUAUUCGGAUUAGUGUCAAAGCUUGCAUCAACGUAACCCUUUACGACGAACUCUUUAACCACAUCCGUAAUCGAGAAAAAUUCCUGAGUCCAUUAGUUACUAAGGAUAACUUUGACCGCUGCUAGUGAUUCAAUCAUGGAUCACUCUCUGUACCUGUCAACAGACUUGAGGCAAGGCACACAUCAAGUGCGGUACUCAGCAUGGCAUACUUUAGAGUCUACGGCUAAGGCAUAGAAGACGACCUUCGUCUGUUCUCCUUAUUCUGCCAUGGUCAGGUUUUGAGUCUUACUCAAAUUCACACCUUACAACACAGUCUAGAACUCCUUCUUUGUUGAUCUAUUUUGAACUCCUUCAAAAACUUGUCAAGGCAUGCAUCUUGUUGAAACUUCUAUUAAGCGUUUCGAUCUAUCUCCAUAGAUCUUGAUGCUCAACGUUCAAGUAGCUCAAUCCAGGUAUUCCUUUGAAAAAAUCCUUUCAAACAACUUUUUAUGCUUUACAGAAAUUCUAUAUUACUUCUGAUCCAUAAUAUAUCAGCCACAUAUACUUAUCAGAAAUUCUAUAGCGCUCCCACUCACUUCUUUGGAAAUACAAGUUUCACAUAAACCUUGUACAAACCCAAAAUCUUUGAUGAUCUCAUCAAAGUGUAUAUUCCAACUCCGAGAUGCUUGCACCAGUCCUUUGAAGGAUCGCUGGAGCUUGCAUACUUGUUAGUAUCUUUAGGAUCGACAAAACCUUCUGGUUGUAUCACAUACAAUCUUCCCUCAAGGAAACCGUCGAGGAAACAAUGUUUUGACAUCCUAUGUGCAAUAUUUCAUAAAUAAUGCAGCAACUACUAACAUAAUUCUAACAGAUUAUUAGCAUCGCUACAAGUGAGAAAGUCUCAUCAUAGUCAAGUAUUUGAUCUUGUCGGAAACAUCUCUGCGACAAGUCGAGCCUAUCUUAAUAGGGACUUAUCACCAUCACCAUUUGUCUUCCUUUUAAAGAUCCAUCUUUACUUAAUAGUCUUACUACCAUCAAGCAGUUCUUCCAAAGUCUACACUUUGUUUUAUACAUGGAUUCUCUCUCGGAUUUCAUGGCCUCCAGCCAUUUGUCGGAAUCUGGGCCCACCAUUGCUUCUCCAUAACUCGUAGGUUCAUUGUUGCUCAACAACAUGACCUCCAAGACAGGGUUACCAUACCACUCUGUAGCAGUACGCGACCUUUGUCGACCUACGAGGUUUGUAGUAACUUGAUCUGAAGUUCUAAUGAUCACUAUCAUCAGCUUCCACUUCAAUUGGUGUAGGCGCCACAGGAACAACUUCCUGCACCCUGCUACACACUGGUUGAAGUGAUGGUUCAAUAACCUCAUCAAGUUCCACCACUCUCCCACUCAACUCUUUCGAGAGAAACCUUUCCUCGAGAAAGGAUCCGUUUCUAGAAACAAACACUUUGCUUCCGGAUCUGAGAUAGGAGAUGUAUCCGACUGUUUUGGAUAUCCUAUGAAGAUGCUUUCAUCCGCUUUGGGUUCGAGCUUAUCAGACUGAAACCUUUUUCACAUAAGCAUCGCAGCCCCAAACUUUCAAGAAACGAUAGCUUAGAUUUCUCUAAACCUCAGUCUAUACUGUGUCAUCUCAACGGAAAUACGCGGUGCCCUAUUUAAAGUGAAUGCGGUUGUCUCUAAUGCAGAACCCAUAAUCGAUAGUGGUAAUUUGAUAAGAGAUAUCAUAGUAUGCACCAUAUCAAAUAGGGCGUGACUAUGACGUUCAGACACAUCAUCAGACUAUGGUGUUCCAUGUGGCAUGAACUGCGAACCAAUUUCCACAUCGUCUUAACUGCGUACAAAACUCGUAACUCAGAUAUUCAUUUCUAUGAUCAUAUCGUAGACAGUUUAUCCUCUUGUUACGACGAACUUCACUCUGAAGCAGAAUUGAACUUUGCAAUAUUUCAUACUUUGUGAUUCAUCAAGUAAAUACUUCUGUAUCUACUCAAAUCGUCAGUGAAGUAAGAACAUAACGAUAUCCACUGCGUACCUUAGCACUCAUUGGACUACACACAUCAAAAAAUGUAUUAUUCCCAACAAGUUACUCUCUUGUUUCAUGUGGCAUGUUUUGCAUGCCUCAAGUGAUUGAAAAUCAAGCGAGUUCAAAACGAUCCAUCUCUCAUGGAGUUUCUUCAUGCAUUUAUACCAACGGGUAUGGUUUGCAUGUCUCAAACGUUUCAAAAAUGAGUGAGUACAAAGAUCCAUCAGCAUGGAGCUUCUACAUGCAUUUUAUACCACCAUGACUCAAGUGGCAGUGCCACAACUAAGUGGUACUAUCAUUAUUACUUUGUAUCUUUGGCACUAAUAUUAUGAACAUGUGUAACACUACGAUCGAGAUUCAAUAAACCAUUGAGGGUAAUUAUUCAAGCAAAUAGAACAACUAUUAUUCUCUUUAAAUGAAUAAUCGUAUUGCAAUAAACAUGAUCCAAUAAUGUUCAUGCUCAACGCAAACACCAAAUAACAAUUAUUUAGGUUUUACCACCAAUCCCGAUGAUAGAGGGAGCGUGCGACGUUUGAUCACACCAACCUUGGAAACACUUCCAACACUUAUCGUCACCUCGCCUUUAGCUAGUCUCCGUUUAUACUGUAGCUUUCAUUUCGUGUUACUAAUCACUUAGCAACCGAACCGGUAUCCAAUACCCACGCGCUACUAGGAGUACUAGUAAAGUACACAUCAACAUCAUGUAUAUCAAAUAUACUUCUUUCGACUUUGCCAGCCUUCUUAUCUACCAAGUAUCUAGGAUAGCUUCGCCUCAGUGACCGUUUCCCUCAUAACAGAAGCACUUAGUCUCGGGUUUGGGUUUAAUCUUGGGUCUCUUCAUUAGUGCAGCAACUGUUUUGCCGUUUCACGAAGUAUCCCUUCUAGCCCUUGCCUUUUCUUGAAACUUAGUGGUUUUACUAACCAUCAACUAUUGAUGCUCCCUUUUGAUUUCUACUUUCGCAGUGUCAAACAUUGCGAAUCGCUCAAGGAUCAUUGUAUCUAUCCUUGAUACGUUAUAGUUCAUCACUAAGGUCUCAAAGCUUGGUGGCAGUGACUUUGGAGAACCAUCACUAUCUCAUCUGGAAGAUUAACUCCCACUUGAUGCAAGCGAUUGUCGUACUCAUACAAUCUGAGCACACGCUCAACGAUUGAGCUUUUCUCCUUUUACUUCAUGGACAAAGAAUCUUGUCGGAGGUCUCAUACCUCUUAACAAGGGCACAAGCAUGAAAUCACAAUUUCAUCUCUUUAGAACAUCUCUUAUGUUCCGUGACGUUUCAAAACGUCUUCGGCGCCUUGCUUCUAAGCCAUUAAGUAUUUUGCACUGAACUAUCGCGUAGUCAUCAGAAACGUGUAUGUCGGAUGUUCACAACAUCCCCAGACGGCGCUCGAGGUGCAGCACACCGAGUGGUGCACUAAGGACAUAAGCCUUCUGCGCAGCAACGAGGACAAUCCUCAGUUUUACAGAUUCAGUCCGCAAAGUUUGCUACUAUCAACUUUCAACUAAAUUUUCUCUAGGAACAUAUAAAAACAGUAGAGCUAUAGCGCAAGCUAAUCGUAAUUCGCAAAGACCAUUAGACUAUGUUCAUGACAAUUAGUUCAAUUAAUCAUAUUACUUAAGAACUCCCACUCAAAAUGUACACCUCUCUAGUCAUUUGAGUGGUACAUGAUCCAAAUCCACUAUCUCAAGUCCGAUCAUCACGUGAGUCGAGAAUAGUUUCAGUGGUAAGCAUCUCUAUGCUAAUCGUAUCUACUAUACGAUUCAUGCUCGACCUUUCGGUCUCAUGUGUUCCGAGGCCAUGUCUGGACAUGCUAGGCUCAUCAAGUUUAACCCGAGUGUUCCGCGUAUGCAACUGUUUUGCACCCGUUGUAUGUGAAUGUUGAGUCUAUCACACCCGAUCAUCACGUGGUGUCUCGAAACGACGAACUGUCGCAACGGUGCACAGUCAGGGAGAACACAAUUUGAGCUUGAAAUUUUUUAGUGAGAGAUCACCUCAUAAUGCUACCGUCAUUCUAAGCAUAAUAAGGUGCAUAAAGGAUUACCAUCACAUGCAAUUCAUAAGUGACAUGAUAUGGCCAUCAUCAUGUGCUUCUUGAUCUCCAUCACCAAAGCACUGGCACGAUCUUCUUGUCACCGGCGCCACACCAUGAUCUCCAUCAAUGUGUCGCCAUCGGGGUUGUCGUGCUACUCAUGCUAUUACUACUAAAGCUACGUCCUAGCAAUAUAGUAAACGCAUUUGCAAGCACAAACGUUAGUUUAAAGACAACCCUAUGGCUCCUCCCGGUUGCCGUACCAUCGACGUGCAAGUCAAUAUUAACUAUUACAACAUGAUCAUCUCAUACAUCCAAUAUAUCACAUCACAUCGUUGGCCAUAUCACAUCAUAAGCAUACCCUGCAAAAACAAGUUAGACAUCCUCUAAUUGUUGUUGCAUGUUUUACGUGGUGACCAUGGGUAUCUAGUAGGAUCGCAUCUUACUUACGCAAACACCACAACGGAGAUAUAUGAAUUGCUAUUUAACCUCAUACAAGGACCUCCUCGGUCAAAUCCGAUUCAACUAAAGUUGGAGAAACCGACACUCGCCAGUCAUCUUUGAGCAACGGAGUUGCUCGUAGUGAUGAAACCACUCUCUCAUAAGCGUACGAGUAAUGUCGGUCUGAGCCGCUUCGAUCCAACAAUACCGCGGAAUAAAGAAAACACUAAGGAGGGCAGCAAAUCGCACAUCACCUCCCACAAAAACUUUUGUGUCCACUCGAGAUAACAUCUACACAUGAACCUAGCUCAUGAUGCCACUGUUGUGUAACGUCGCAUGGGAAACAAAAAUUUUCCUACGCGCAUGAAGACCUAUCAUGGUGAUGUCCAUCUACGAGGGGGAUUUCAGAUCUACGUACCCUUGUAGAUCGCACAAUAGAAGCAUUAAUAAACGCGGUUGAUGUAGUGGAACUUCCUCACGUCCCUCGAUCCGCCCCGCGAACCGUUCCACGAACCAUCCCGCGAUCCGUCCCACGAUCCGCUUCGAUUUAGUGUCGAACGGACGGCACCUCCGCGUUCAACACACGUACAGCUCGAUGAUGAUCUCGGCCUUCAUGAUCCAGCAAGAGAGACGGAGAGGUAUAUGAGUUCUCCGGAAGCGUGACGUCGCUCCGGAGGUUGAUGGUGAUUUAAUCUCAGCAGGGCUCCGCCCGAGCUCCGCAGAAACGCGAUCUAGAGGAAAAACCGUGGAGGUAUGUGGUCGGGCUGCCGUGGCAAAGUUGUCUCAAAUCAGCCCUAAAACCUCCGUAUAUAUAGGUGGGAGGGGAGGAGCCUUGCCUUGGGGCUCAAGGAGCCCCAACGGGUUUGGCCGAAGGGGGGGAGCAGGAGUCCUCCUCCAAUCCUAGUCCAACUAGGAUUGGAAGGUGGAGUCCUUCCCUUCCUUCCCACUUCCCCCUUUUUUUUCUUUCUCUUUGAUUUUCUUAUCUCCCUGCGCAGGGGCCUCCUUGGGCUUUCCCACCAGCCCACUAAGGGCUGGUGNNNNNNNNNNNNNNNNNNNNNNNNNNNNNNNNNNNNNNNNNNNNNNNNNNNNNNNNNNNNNNNNNNNNNNNNNNNNNNNNNNNNNNNNNNNNNNNNNNNNGGGAGAGGAUCCACUCGGAGUACCAGGUCGCCUGCUUGGAACGUGCGACUCCUGACGUGCCGCGCGUGAAAUCGCCGUAGAUCUUGUUGAUAAAUUGUUGAGCGAGUCAGUGCCAUCUCGCGCUCUUCUUCUAGAAGAUCCACUCCGUCUUGCCUGGCUUGCUUUGCUUCGGCUUCGGAGAAGAGUUCGACUCAUGGAGAGUUGUGAAGCACGUCACUCGGAAGGACUGCCUCUGCUCCAUAAACGAGGAAGAACGGGGAUCGCCCUGUAGAUCUAUUCGGAGUUGUGCGGAGGCCCCACAACACCGAAGUCAACUCGGUGACCCAUGCGCCGGCGACAUGUCCAACUUCUCGCAGGAGUCGAGGCUUCAACCCUUGAAGAAUAAGUCCAUUCGCUUGCUCUGCUUGCCCGUUUGUUUGGGAGUGCGCCACGGAUGCAAAAUCCACUCGGAUACCUUGACCUGUGCAAAAACCUUUGAAUCUGUCCGAGUCAAAGUUUGUGCCAUUGUCGGUGAUUAUGUUGUGCGGAACUCCGAAUCUGGCGAUGAUGUCUGUGAUAAAUUUGAUGGCCGUAAGGGCGUCGAGCUUCUUGAUGGGCUUGGCUUCAAUCCACUUGGUAAACUUGUCGACUGCUACCAGCUGAUGAGUGAAUCCUCCUUGGCCUGUUCUGAAUGGUCUGACCGUAUCUAAUCCCCACACAGCGAAUGGCCAAACAAGAGGAAUUGUCUUCAGCGCAGACGUUGGCUUGUGGGACUUGUUGGAAUAGAACUGGCAACCUUCGCAACGGUCGACCAUAUCUUUCGCCAUUUCAUUCGCCUGCAACCAGAAGAAUCCAGCUCUGAAUGCUUUGGCGACGAUUGCCCUUGAGGAGGCAUGAUGACCGCAGGUUCCCGAGUGAAUUUCUUCCAAGAUUAACUGUCCCUCCUCACGGGAGAUACACCACUGAAGGACGCCCGAAACACUUUCCCUGUACAACUGGCCAUCAAUGACGGUGAAGGACUUCGACCUGCGGACGAUCUGCCUAGCUUGGACUUCGUCUUCUGGUAACUCUUGCCUCAUGAUGUACGCAAUGAACGACACAGUCCACUCGGGGAUGACAACAAGAAUCUCCAUGAUCAAAUCAACCACAACGGGGACCUCGACUUCAGUCAGAUCUGUUAAGCUCUUUGAUUGUACUGGCUCCUCUGUAAAGGGAUCUUCCUUCACCGAGGGGAGGUGUAGGUGCUCGAGGCAGACAUCACUCGGGACUGGUCUCCGAGUGGAUCCAAGUUUUGCCAAUUCAUCCGCUGCUUGGUUUUUCAGUCGGGGAACAUGGUGAAGUUCCAGACCUUCAAACUUCUUCUCGAGCUUCCUUACUGCGUUGCAGUAUGCAGUCAUGGUGGGGUUCCUUACAUCCCACUCCUUCAUUAUUUGGUUAACCACCAGAUCUGAGUCGCCAUAGAUCAUCGGGCGACGGACGCCGAGUGUGAUGGCCAUGCGCAACCCGUAAAGGAGAGCUUCAUACUCUGCUUCGUUGUUGGAGGAAUCGAAAUGUAUCUGCAACACAUACUUGAGUUUAUCACCCUUUGCGGAUAUGAUCACUACGCCAGCGCCGGAGCCAUUCAACAUCUUGGACCCAUCGAAGAACAUGGUCCAAUGAACCGAGUAGAUGUGAUUCGGUUGCUGUUGUUCUACCCAUUCUGCUAUGAAGUCAGCCAGAGCUUGAGACUUUAUAGCUUUCUUGGCUUUGAACUUGAUGUCGCAGUAUAGCAUCUCCAUUGCCCACUUUGCCACUCGGCCUGAUGCAUCCCGAUUGUGGAGAAUUUUUGAGAACGGAGCAUCAGAUAUGACAGACACCGAGUGGUCUUGGAAGUAAUGAGCCACCUUCUUUGCAGUCAUGUAGAUCCCAUAAAUAAGCUUCUGAUAAUGGGGAUACCUCUGCUUGGAAGGAGUCAGGACUUCGGAGAUAUAAUAUAUUGGCCGCUGAACCUUGUACGCUUUGCCUUCUUCUCCGCGUUCGACUGUCAGAACGGUGCUGAUGACUUGAUUUGUAGCCGCGAUGUACAGAAGAAGGGGUUCUUUACUGAGCGGGGCAGUAAGAACUGGCUGGGUGGAAAGCAGGGCCUUGAGGUCGUCGAAUGCAAUUUGGGCUUCGUCUGUCCACUCGAAGGUAUCUGAUUUCUUCAUGAGUCGAUACAGAGGUAACGCCUUCUCGCCGAGUCGAGCGAUAAACCUGCUCAAAGCCGCUAGGCAACCUGUGAGCCUUUGAACAUCAUGUAUUCUUACCGGCCGCUCCAUUCAGACGAUGGUCCCGAUCUUUUCGGGGUUGACAUCGAUCCCUCGUUCGGAAACGAAGAAACCGAGUAACUUCCCGCUGGGAACACCGAAUGAACACUUGGCUGGGUUGUGUCAGUCAGCAGGUCGGAACCUUUGCGUGACUUGACUACGAUAUCGUCCAUAUAUGCCUCCACAUUUCGACCGAUCUGGUCAAGGAGGCAUUUUUGGAUCAUGCGCAUAAAAGUUGCUCCUGCAUUCUUCAAACCGAAUGGCAUAGCGAUGUAGCAAAAACACCCGAAUGGGGGGAUGAAUGUUGUUUUUAAUUCAUCCGGACCAUACAGACGGAUCUGAUGAUAGCCCGAAUAGGCAUCAAGGAAGGAUAAACGCUCGCAACCCGCAGUCGAAUCGACAAUUUGAUCGAUGCGGGGGAGCGGGAAGUGAUCUUUCGGACAGACCUUAUUGAGAUGCUUGAAAUCGAUGCACAUACGGAGAGACUUGUCCUUCUUGGGCAUCAUGACCACAUUAGCGAGCCACUCGGAGUGGUGCACCUCGCGAAUGAAGUUGGCUGCCAAAAGUUUAGCCACCUUCUCUCCGAUUGCCUUCCUCUUGUGCGCGGCGGACCGACGUAGGCGUUCUCGGACGGGCCGAGCAGCAGGAUCCACAUGCAGUCGGUGCUCAGCCAACUCCCUGGGUACACCUGGCAUGUCAGCGGGCUUCCAUGCGAAAAUGUCCCAGUUCUCACGGAGGAAUUGGAUGAGCUCGGCUUCCUAUUUUGGAUCAAGGGUGGUGGAGAUGUUCGUCGGGGCGGCGGUGUCGUCUGUCGGGUGGAUGCUGACUUUCUUCGUGUCGCCCGCCGACUGGAACGCGGACUCGGAAGCUGGCUUCUUUGAACGCAUCAGGUCAGCGGGGUCGGCGGUCUUCUUGUACUCAUCCAGCUCGAGAAUAGCCAUCUUCUGAUCGGCAAUCCUCGACCCCUGCUGCAAACACUCCUCGGCUCGCUGCCGAUUGCCUGUAACCGUGAUCACACCUUUGGGGCAUGGCAUCUUCAGAUUCAAAUACACGUCACAUGGACAUGCCAUGAAACACGCAUACGCCGGACGGCCCAAAAUCGCAUGGUAUGCACCCUGGAAGUCCACCACCUUGAAUGUCAGCUUCUCCUUGCGAAAGUUCUUGUCAGAGCCGAAGACGACAUCCAACGCGAUCUGGCCGAGUGACUUGGCCUUUCGUCCUGGGACGACUCCGUGGAACUGCAUACUGCUCUCGCUAAGUUUGGACAUCGAAAUGCCCAUUCCCUUAAGAGUGUCGGCGUACAUGAUGUUCAAACCGCUGCCACCGUCCAUGAGGACUUUGCGCAGUCGGACUCCUUCCACCACCGGGUCGACGACCAGAGCUUGCCUCCCUUGGAUCCUGGCAAGAAGGCGUGUUCUUGCUUGGGUCGUCGUGCCCCCUCUUCUCCCGCGAUCUAUUUCCGUCAUUCUCCCCCAACCACAUCGCACAAACACAUGCAAGUUCUCCCCCCAAUCCCUGCCCCCAAAUACCGAUACACCUCCUGCGACGAGACACGCCAUUCCUCGCCUCCCCAUCCAGACCGGGUAUCCCACUGGAGGCCGCCGCUCCCAGCUCUCUCUCUCUCUCUCUCACACACACACACACACACACUCCAUCCGUUGCUCGCCGAUGGAAAAGAAGCACGCUCAGCUCGGCGGGUUGAGGGAGAAGGACAGGCGAAGGUCGUGUACUUCGGUGGAUGGGCGCGGACGGCCAUGGAUAGAAAGCUUGGUGAAGGUGUCGUACCGGAGUGCGCAGCCACGGACAGGGACACCAUGCAUCCGCCUGAGGUCGGGGUACAGCCGCACAUGAUCUGCUCCGUGCUCUCCUCUCUUGCAUUGUUAGUAGAUCUGAUGAUUACUACAGUUUUUAGCAAAAUAAAGAUUAACUUUCAUGUGGGGAUGUUUGUUUUACAACGAACACGAGCUGCUCCUCUGUAUUUAUGUUAUUGUUUUCUGCCCAUUUCCUCUUUACAGGAGCAGCGAGCAUAGCACAAAGAGGCUGCAAUCAUUUUAUCUGAUUUUUACUUGAAGAAUAAACUAUCAAUUUUAAAUGGUUUGCUCAGGAUGUGAAUUAUAUGUCAUGUAUAUUUGUUCACCGUCGGCAACAUGGUUGUUUUCUACCAAAAAUUACUAGGUUCCAAGGUAAUCUGACCACCUAAUAAAGAAAAGUGGUUCUUGAUCUGAUUUGUAGACCUAGGAGUUAAUGCAUCUGCAGUGCGGGUUGGGGACGGAGCGACGGAUUCCUGUCAAGGGGUUUGUCGGCUAGCGCAGAGGCAGGCUGCAUUAGAAUGCAAUAAUUAGAUUAAGCAAGGCAGCCAGGCAGACGUCUAGAAAACAUGCAUAGUGAUGGCUUGCUCAACUGCAAGUUCCACAAUAAAUGGUACAUGCAUGGAUCCCUUCUUUCUGUUGUAGCUUCGGUUCUGGUUCAUGAAAGCUUUAAUUAUUAAAGUUGGCUUGCUUUUACUGGUUAGUGCUUUUUUCAUCUUUCUUACUUAGACGAGCAUUGAUUUGUCCUUGCCAGCAACAAUCAUUUGUUUGAUUUUUGGAUUUCUGCAGUCAUGACUAUUGAGUUGCGUUGAUUUUUAUAUUUCUUAACAUUUGUGUAUCACUUUUACCUGCAUAUUCAAGAAUUUUUCUUUCUUGGUACUAGGAUGGAUAUUUUCUCCUAGAAUGCAGAUGGAUGUAUGAUUGAGGAGAUGAACCAAGCAUCCUGCUAUGAUAUGAUCGAGUUGUAUCUUGAGUACAUAGGAAAGUAGCUCAACAACUGACAUAAAUAGAGGUAUGAGUAUGACUUGAUGUUUAUUCGAUUGUUAACAAAGGACAUGUGGAGCAAUGUCACAACCCCUAUUAAUUAUGUUUAGUAUCAAUUGAUGUCAUGUGUUCCAUUCAAUUACUACAAUGCAGAUGCAUGCUAUGCAUUUUUUGGUGUAUGAGUUCUUUGUGACUUCCUCCCAUAUUCUUGAUCAAGACUUUCAUGCUACACACACAUACUACUAUAAACUUUAGUACUAUUAAUUGCUUGCUUUAUUUGGUCAUAUCUGAUUCUCUCUUGUUAUUCCGCUCCUACAUUGCCAAGCUCGGUUUCAUUAUCCAUAGAGUAUGUUUGUCUGACGAUAUUUCCAGAUAUUAAAAUAUAUGGCAAGCACAACCCCUGAUAUUAGCGCUUAUUCUUUUUUUAUUUUAGGUGGUUUAUUACUACUGUACUUGAGUCUUUUAUUGAUUUAUUUUUUACGCUGAAUUGUAGCAUGCAUGAGGAAGUUGAUGUAUGACUGUCUAGAACUUGUGACUGAUUUAGAUGACCAUCAUAUGGACCAAUACAAGCUCCAUCAGGAUGUAGAUAAUGGCCGUAAAUUCCUUCUAGACCAGUACAUCGAUAAAAAAAACAUGUCAAUGCACAACGCUCCAACAUUAAUCAUUCUGAACUAAGUCAUGUCUAGGUACCUCUAGAUUUUUUGCAGAUUCUGUGGACUCUUGUAUAAUCGAGACAAAGAUUGUUUCCUUCUCUUGAUACAUGAUGAGAUAUAGUACAAUCAAGAGAAAGAUACUUUCCUUUUUAAAAGGGUUAAAAAGAGAAUUUUGAGAAGAAAUGCACCUUACAUUAUAAAAUUUUAUCAAAAAAUAAAUACACUUUAUAUAAAGGAACAGAGGGGCAUAUUUUUUGAGUGAAAUUUCCAUAUACAGUACUUUGUCUUUGUCUGCGUUGUGCUACAGAUGAUAUCAAUAUUUUUAGCCCAACUCAUUAUUCAUGUUGUUCAUGUAAACUGGUGGAGAUAAAAUAAAUGUUUGCAUCAUCUAUGUGACUUCCAGCCUAUGAAAUUUAAUUCGACAUUUUUUAAAGCUGUCGUUAUUUUGUACUACUACUGGAUUAGUAUGGUUGCAUGAAAAACUGAAUUUUAUUUUCCGUAGAUACUUUUAUUCAUUUGAUACAAGGUCAUCAAAAUCACGACCAUAUAUAUGCAAUAGUCAGGAAUAUGGAUAUGUGAUUCUUACCAGUGUCAAUACUGUCCAUCUAGGUUCAUAACCAAGCAUGAAGGUCGAUCCAAAUAUGUGGAGCAUAAUACAAAUGCGGAAAUGCACAUUCACGUACAAUGACCAUAUAUAUAGAGAUAAUAUUACUGCAUGAAGGUUCGGAUUGUUCUUCACACCGAGUUAAAUUGAAGAGGCAAAAAUAUUGAAAGGUCUUCAUUUCAUAUUGUGAAUUUUCAUUUCUGGAUCAUGUCGCUUCAAUGAUGUGCCCAUGUACCAUAAUCUCACGUAAGAUGAUCAUACAGAGACAAUAUUGUGAAUUUUGAUAUCUGGAAUAUUUGUGAAAAUCGAACCAUGAAAUGAUGCCCACAAACAAAUGCAAGCCGUGCAUUUUUUUAAUCUAAUAAAUCAGAUUAUCCUAUUCUUCAAAGUAAGCACAUCAAACAUUGAGAAGUAACCAUAUGACUAAUAAAUAAAAUCAUUAUUUUUUAAUUCGGUCGCAACGCACUGACACUCAGCUAUAAACAUUCUAAAAAUGAUAGGGUAGUAUAUGAUAGGGUAGCUAUAAACACUGAUAUAUACUACCACAACGUAGUAUAUGAGACGUGGGGUGUAACUAUAUAUAUAUUNNNNNNNNNNNNNNNNNNNNNNNNNNNNNNNNNNNNNNNNNNNNNNNNNNNNNNNNNNNNNNNNNNNNNNNNNNNNNNNNNNNNNNNNNNNNNNNNNNNNNNNNNNNNNNNNNNNNNNNNNNNNNNNNUAUAUAUAUAUAUGGUCGUACGAGAAAUUAUAUUUCAUAUGCAUCAACGCGUACAAUAUGUAUUAACGUAAAAUAGGUUUGAAAUGAAAAACAAUUAAUGGAAAACACAAUAUGAAAAGGAAAAAUAAACUAUAACCCAUAAACCCUAAAACCCUAAACCCCCCAAAAAAAAACACAAAAUCUUUAGUCCCGGUUGNNNNNNNNNNNNNNNNNNNNNNNNNNNNNNNNNNNNNNNNNNNNNNNNNNNNNNNNNNNNNNNNNNNNNNNNNNNNNNNNNNNNNNNNNNNNNNNNNNNNNNNNNNNNNNNNNNNNNNNNNNNNNNNNNNNNNNNNNNNNNNNNNNNNNNNNNNNNNNNNNNNNNNNNNNNNNNNNNNNNNNNNNNNNNNNNNNNNNNNNNNNNNNNNNNNNNNNNNNNNNNNNNNNNNNNNNNNNNNCCUUUAGUCCCGGUUGGCGACACGGGACUAAAGACCUUCUCCAACCGGGACUAAAUUCUUGUUCUCCACUAGUGAUGUGGCGCACCUAGCAAGUGGUAUGGUGGACACACGAGACAUACUGGCAACACAAUAGAAGCACAACCACUGGGAUAUACAAAUUGAAACAUGAGCACAACCUAGAGACUAUUGCUUUCCUUUAACAGGUUUAGAUUACACAAAAGGAUUAUAAUAUGAGAUGAAUUAGAAUUAGGUUGGAUUAGGAAGUUUGGGGGCGAAUUCAUGCAGCCAGCCCGUGUGUCAUUGCGUGUCAUCGUUGAUCCCAACGAGGUCAUGCUUUGAGGAAAGAGNNNNNNNNNNNNNNNNNNNNNNNNNNNNNNNNNNNNNNNNNNNNNNNNNNNNNNNNNNNNNNNNNNNNNNNNNNNNNNNNNNNNNNNNNNNNNNNNNNNNNNNNNNNNNNNNNNNNNNNNNNNNNNNNAAAGAGUGGGAAAGAUAAUCUUGUCAACCUUGGUGUGGGAAUCCUAUUUGUGCCCAUGUAAAACAAAUGGGUGUGACCCACAAGCACAUUUAUUUGCUUGAGUGCUAACUGCAAACAGCAAACCUGUAUGAGCUGAGUUGUGCAGGUUUGAGUUUAAACCAGAAACAAAACAACCAUGAAGAAAAAUAAUGGGGAAGAUAAGCAACGAACAUAAAUAUGACCAACAUAUUUUGUACAUUUUCAAUCAUCCAUGCAUCUAUUAUAAAUCUCUAACCAUGUCAAUGUUUCAUCCAUAUNNNNNNNNNNNNNNNNNNNNNNNNNNNNNNNNNNNNNNNNNNNNNNNNNNNNNNNNNNNNNNNNNNNNNNNNNNNNNNNNNNNNNNNNNNNNNNNNNNNNNNNNNNNNNNNNNNNNNNNNNNNNNNNNNNNNNNNNNNNNNNNUAAGCUGCAAAGGAGAUGAUGACCUCAUGUAAUCUGCCUAACUACCCUCUCGCCUUUAGAUCAAGUACAACCACACUAAUGUCAUCCUGGCUAUGCUUGCAGAUUGCCAUGUUCAUGAGGAGGGUUGCAGCAUGGAUGCAGCCAACCUCUUCCUCUUGGCCUAGUAGUGCACCCCCUCUAGGAGCGCCUUGGUUGUUUUUUUGUUCGAAUUCUAGGCAAUUCCUCACGACAUUGCAGGCCAUCUGGUUCUCGAUAACAUCCCACAAGCCAUCACUCGCGAGGAUCAGACAAUCGUCAUCCUCCGAUCUAGUCGUCAUGGUUAUAUCUGGCUGACAUAUCACUGCGGGCUUAAGGAGCUUGUGCCCUGCAAGCAUAGUUCAACGUCAUGAGAUCGAAUACUAGAAGCAUAAAUUCAAAUAUGUACUAAAAAAAAAGUAAACUUCUAUGAACUUGUGAAAAAAUUAAAAAAACGGAAUAACUCUUUAGAAACUAGUAAGGGAAACAACUCUCAUAUAUUGAUGAAAACCAAGAAUAGAAACGUGAUCAUAAAAUAUUUCGUAAAAAGCAACAAUGUUCUAUGCAUAUCGAUGAACAUUCAUUUUAGUUUUAUAAGGAAUAUGAAUGCAACAAUACAUGAUAACAUCCUUUCUAAAGUUAACCGUGUUAAAAUGAUAUAAAUUCAUGAUUGUCCAAAUGAAAUAUUUUUUUACAAAUGAUAUCAUCCAUAAGGUAACAAUUGGUUUCAGCUAUGCAUGCAUCCAAAACAAAAUUAAGAUUGUUCACACAACUCAGGCUCCCGAAAAAAGGAUUUGACCCUCCCAUGUCAUUCCCAUGGGCGAAAGGGAGAGGGCUCCCACCACACCAGCCACCACCCUCCUCUCUCUCCUUCCUCCCUCAAUGCCGCCAGAGGACGUGGUCGGGAAAAGCCUGGCUGGGGUCGGCGGCGUCGGGAUGUUUUGUCUUCUCGCACAUGGACUCCGCCAUGGGGUGGAGCGGGUGGUCCAGGACAACACGAUGGCGAGGGUCGUGGUGGUGCGACGGCGGAUCCCCAUGAAGGCGGUGCUCUAGACCAGCAGCGCACGAAAAGAUUCAAGGUGGCGGGUCAUGCAUGUGAGGGGGUUGCGGUGGAUCAAGAUCUACCCCGGUCUGGGGUCUGUCUUCAGCCGACAACAUGGGCCAUGGGUAGUGGGGGCCGUUGUCCUCUGCCGUGGCGCCAAUGGAAUCGAAAUGAUGGAGGAAGCAAUGUGGUGGCGGUCCUAGUGCUCUUCUCGCGUCGCGGCAAUGAUCUGCAUGAUCGGUCCUCCCCGAUCUAGUCGUCGAUGUUUUUUGGAACUGCCGUCGGAGAUCUUGCCCAAGGAUACUUGGAUUAGAUAAAAUCCGGUCGUGCAUGACCAUAUCAGCGUGCGCGGCUUCGUAAGGGUGUGUCACGAAGCUCUGAUGUUUGUUGAUGCCAUGGGACAUAUGGGUAUCUCGAUUUACAUGGCAUAUAAAUUGGUAGAGAAAGUCAUGGUGGCUGAGAUUAAAUGAUCAGUAAGGCAGAGGGAGCCUCGGAGGCGAUGCAGUCAGCCAGGUGUUUCAAAACUUUCAGAAACAUCGAUCGAUGACAAGUGGGUCGAUAGCACCGGAGGAUUUCAUUUUUGGUGGUGCUCCUCAAGUGUGGAGUCAUCACUUCCAGAGUGAAAAUUAAGGUUUGACCUUCAUUGUUUGUGCCUACAAUUGUAUUGCUGAAGGUAUUGUUAGGGUUGGGACUUUCUCCAGGGUGAAAACCUAAGAUNNNNNNNNNNNNNNNNNNNNNNNNNNNNNNNNNNNNNNNNNNNNNNNNNNNNNNNNNNNNNNNNNNNNNNNNNNNNNNNNNNNNNNNNNNNNNNNNNNNNNNNNNNNNNNNNNNNNNNNNNNNNNNNNNNNNNNNNNNNNNNNNNNNNNNCGGAAGAUGAUGACUCUUGUGCGUUGUUUUCUUCUUGAAGGCAUCAUUUUUGGAGACCUUUUAUGUUCUGCGCGUGUUGUCUUUGGUGGUGAUUUGUGUUGUGAGGAGUUGCUUACUUUGACAGGCCUUUGUUUUGUAUCUUUUCGGGCUAUGUUCAUACUUAAUCUCUUUGAGAAAUCUUGUUGAUUCAGAAACUAGGUAUAAUUCAUAUCUUCGCGAUAUUAAUAUAUUGUUCUUAAGAAAAACAUGAAUCACUUUCUUAUAUUGAUGCAAAUAAACGUUUCAAAGUAAUCGUGCCCCCCGGGCCGAGUGCAUCAUCCAAUUGGUGCACACCGCUUCAGAGACGGCUACACAUCGUAGCUCAAUGUGUGGGUCAGCAGGCCCUAUAAUAUCCCAUGAUGCAUUUAAUUCGGCCGAAAAGUGUUUUUUGUCUAAAAUAUUUGUUAAUUUCCCACAUAUCUUGAAAUUUGAAGGAAAACAUAAUUUUUGAAAGUACAAAAUAAGGAGAAGUCCCUGCACCACUAUAAAAUGAAGGAAAUAUUUCAGGUUUUUCCAAGUAUAUUUGGAAAAAUGAUAGCACAUGUCAUAAACUUCUAGAAAAAUGUAUAAUCAAGGGGAGUCUUAGAAAAGUUCCUAGAAGUUGAGAAAAAUAAGAGCACCAUUCCAGGGACUCUUUUCACGUUAUUUGACUUAUUUUCUUCCUCACUCUCCACGAGAUAUAUGGAGGCCAAAGGAAGACUGAGAAAAAUAGGGAUACUUAUCCCACAAAAUAAAAGGAGUCAUCCUAGUCAAUCGCAACUCAUCCCUCUCUAUUUUUAGCUACAUUUGGAAUCAACCUUCCCCACCUCAAGAAAAUAGUUAUCUCCCUCACUAUCCCUUAUCUCUCUAUCGAUCUAUCUCUAUCUCUCUCUUCACUGAUGACACUCUCUUUUUUCAUGAAACAAACUAUUUUUGAGUGUGUCUUUAAUGAAGGGAUUUUACCAGUGAAAUACUUACACCCUUCAUUCAUUCGUUUUCUUUCUAGGUCCACUCCCUCUAUAGCUGGUGGUUGACAUAGAUGAGUAUGGGAAGACAAUGGUAGUUUCAUUCUAGUUCCCACUAAUUGUUGAGUAGUUGGUUUGAGUAUUUUUUUUGGAUCCAUGCUACAUUUCCAGUUGAAUUCAUAAGGUACCAUCCUAUUCCAGCUAGGAAGACAAUUCUAUCUCACGGGUUAUGAAGUCCUAGGGAUCGGGAAUUUCUCCACAAAGGACAAUGCGGAAAGUUGCCUCGAGGUCACGAGGACUUGAAAAUUCCAAGGUUUCAGAGUCCUCUUCUCCAGGUUUCACUUUCUUCAUCGAUGAUGGGUGUUUUUUUCCUUCCAGCAGUGGUGGACUCAGACAACAACUUAUAUCCUCGUCUCCGCUCAGGUGGUUUUGAUUUCGGUGAAGGACUAGGGAAAAAUCCCCUCAUGGUUGGCCUAUGCUAGCAACAACGAUGUCUGUAGGCGCCAUGUCUUCCUUCUGCUAUGGCCUUUGACCAUGUCUCCCCUAGAGUGUCAGGGGAAACCUUUAUUUUGGUUCGCUAGACCAGGCACUGGCACCAUCACGAAGUUGUGUCCUUCAUGAGGGCACUGCAUUGCUAUACGUAGAGUCCUUGGAGUUGGAGCUUGAGGUUUCUCAUUUUGCGGUAUGGGUUGCCUCUGAGGGCAUGGACCUCCAGGCUGCAAUGUAUGCCAUAACCAACCCCUCCAAUGUGUCUUCUUCCUCUGGUUUGGCUAGGUCUCGACACCCACUAGCCAACUUCUCUAGGAGAUAUGGGUGGGGCAGUACGUUUGCCCAGCCAAUCCUAUGGUUGUUGUCGUGUCUUGGUUAUCUAUUGCAUUGGUAGGAGCGGGUGUGGUGGCUUGGUGCCCCCUCUCUUCACCAUCUUGGAUGAAGAUUGGCCAAGGCGAUUUCUCUUGCUCUCAAUUCUUGUAGGCGCGGUUCUAAUGACAGGUAUUAGUGUGGAGUUGCUUGCUUUUUCGACAUUGUAUAUGUUGGUGGUAUUGUACUAAUCACUUGGCCCUUCUUCUAAGAAAUGAUGGUACACACUUCCAUGGUGUAGAAUAGAAACAAAUCCUUUUGAUAUAUGUACGUGUAUGGUCGCCAUCUCUCAUGCUAAACUUGGUGCCAUUACCUUGAUCACCUUUUUGGUAUUUUUUGUUGUUGGACAAAAGCCUUAUUGAUCUUGUGCCUUCUUGGACGCCCAAGAUUGUGUUCAUGUUUUAUCUUUUUGCAAUGCCUGGCUAGAUGAGUUAACACCGUUUGAAACAACCGAUGUAUCAAAAAGCAUCAUGAGAAGAUGAGUUUUAAAACUAUUUCAAUUGGCCACGGUACCUCAAACUAAGAGAUAGAGACAAGACAAGAACAACAAGAUAUUCGUAGUGAGAGAUUUGUCAGCGUAUUACGCCAGCAGAAACUUGUAAACAGCUGAGGCAGAUCUCGCCCGAUCUAGUGCUAGGCGGGGGCCAUGGAGGCAGUUAUUCGCGAGAACAGCGCUUUGUAACAUCAAGUACAUAUCUCCUACAUAUGGUAUGUAUCGGAAUAUGAUUGCUUCAACAUCAUCAGUUAGCCCAACCUUAUGAAAUUGAUGACGAAAUUGGUAAUGUACUAUGCAUCAAAACAAGAUAUUUGAGGAACAUGGCUAAGGGACAACCAGUACCUCCUUCAUGCACAUGAGAGAGAGAGAGAGAGAGAGAGAGAGAGAAAGAGAGAGAGAGAACCCAUUAUGGGAAAUUAUCCCCAUAUUGUUAUGAUUACCAUUACACCACAAUAUGUACCCAAAAAAGCAAUGUUAAGUGUUGCGUGUUAGAAAAUUUUCUCGUGCCCAACUACAAAUUUAAUGGACCUUGAUAUAUGUGGAUGUGUCUCAUAUGUCGCCUCGCUGGUUACACACCCACAAUUCAUAUCAAUCCGACGGCCCAUAUCGUUUUGUCCUACCUCUUAGUCGUAUCAUGUCACUCCCUUUUGUUGGUCAUGCAUGUCGAGUCACUGAGAUCCUUUCAUAUCCGUAGAUGUAUAGUCACCAUAUCUCAUACUAAAUUUGGUUGCAUUACCUUGAUCACAUUUUAGGUAUUGUUGUGUCGUGGGACAAGAGCCUUCUUGACCUAUUGCCUUGUUUCCUGCCCAAGAUGUUCUUCAUGGUUUAUCUUAUUGCAAUGCCUGGUAGGAUGAAUAAACAAUGGUGCAAUUAACCGAUGUAUCAAAAAGCAUCAUGAGAAGAUGACUUGUAAAGCCAUUUUGAGCGGCCAUGGUACAUGAUAGAGUCGAGACAAGAACACCAAGAUACCCUAGUGAGAGCUUUGCCAGGCUAUUGCGUCGAGAAAAACAUUGUAAAUAAUUGAGGCGGAUCUUGCCUGGUCAUGUGCCAAGUGGGGGCAAUGGGUAUGUGAUUAUUUUUCGAGUCCGAUGCUUGGUAAAAACAUCAGUUAGCCCAACCUCGUGAAAUUAAUGAAGAAUUGGUAAUGUACUUGAUGUUAUAGUGCAUUAAAACAAUAGGUUUGAAUAAUAUGGCUAAGGGACAACCGACAUUUCCUUGAUGCACAUACACAGAGAGAGAGAGAGAGAGGCGGCGGAGGCGGUGGAGACAGUUAUUUGUCGAAUCAGGUGCUUGGUAACAUCAAAUACAUAUCUCCGACAUAUGGUAUAUAUGGCAAUCUCAUUGCUCCAGCAACAUCAGUUAGCCCAACCUGAUGAAACAAAUGAACAAAUUGCUAAUGUACUUGAUGUCACUGUGCAUCCAAACAAGAGAUUCGAGGAACAUGGUUUAGGGACAACCAAUACUUCAUGCAAGCCAUAGAGGAGAGAGAGAUAGUAGACACUUCAAGGAGGUAUGGCACUUAGACAUCUAAAUAUAGCUUUUCUUCUCAUGGGCCUCACGCUAGUACUAGAGAUCGCAAAAAUGUGAUAGAGCCGUAGGUGGAGGACCAAUUGGCUAGAAAACCCUGUGAACCAUAAAGUCGCCGGCUAGAAAAAUUGGCUAGAAAAUAAGCCAUUAAGACAUCAAUGUUGCCACUGACAACAUUUUCAAGAACUCAAGUUGGGUAGACUCGAGGAAACUUUAUUUGACACACUAGCGCCACCGCCAUCGCCAUCGUUGUGCCAGCAAAGAUGCCUUUUGUUGUGUAGCUAGAGUCACCAUAGUGUGAAGGGUCAAAGCUAUGGACAACCGACAUUUACAGGAAAUCUCCAAGAAGGGGAAAGAUAUAACUCCACUUGGUAGAUCGGGGACUCUCCCUCCCCCACUCCCGCAACAUAUAUCAGAGAUGGAUGUGACGGAGGUGGGACGACGAUCUACCAACAGAGGAUAGAUGGUGGGGUAGUGCGCGAGGGUUGGACAGGAACACUUUUAGGAAAAAAGCUAGCAUAUUAUUUUUAUCUAGUCAUGAAUAAAAAUUAAUACGACCUUACAUAUAUCUAUGGAAACUUGAUUCAUUAUUGGGCAUGCAUAUUACCAUUGAUUUUAAAGCUUAACAUGACCAUUCUUACUAUCUAUGCUUGUUAAUUAGUACUCUUUGUGUUGGGGUUCAUAAGACACUCACAUAUCUUAAGAAUAACUUUGACCAUUUAAUCACCACAAUCAAAAUUAAUAUCAAUGGUUUAAAUUAUUAGUUUCUUUGAAUGUAAAUCUAAUGAUAUACGUUCUUAAUUUUGAGAUAGUUCUUAAUUCUGAACGAGACGAUAAUAAUAACAGUGCAACAUUUUAUUUUCAUUUUUUCACUAGAAGGCAACAAGUUGAUGCAUAGAAAGUGUCCUCCUUUAUUGGUAUAUAGAAGUACUUUUGUUUCCUUGUGUGUGUGAGGUCAUCUCCAACAGCAACCCACAAAUUUCCUUUCACGUCCUUCUACUAAUAGAGGAUCAAUCCAUGGACAUGGAUGCGGGAGGCCGCCAUCCAACCCUAUCAUGUAUACGUCCAACAGUAAAUAAAUAUUCAAAUGUACUUUGAUCCACAAUGCUUGCCGGAUCGCAUAACCGAUCAUAACCAAAAAAAAUAAGAAACUAUGAUUAGUUUUUACAUGCACAAAUCCAAAAGAAUAUCCGGCCGACAGUCCAUGUAUUUGCGCUCCGCCGGACCAGCAAUCUGAGUCAUUUGCUCCCCAAUCAAGGAGGUGUCGUAGCCACUGCGUAGGCAGCCUCCGCCUCCGAGUCCGCAUCAACCCCUGUCGUGCCCUCAUAGUCCGUCGCCACCAACACAUCUUCCUGCCGCUGCAACAUCUGGUAGCACAUGGAUUGGACAAUCAUUCUUGCAUCGUCAUCCAAAGAGUCGACAUUCAAGGUCAACAUUUCGCAUUAUCGGUGACCUUCACCAUCUUUUCCUCGAGCGCGGUCUUCCUCUCUUAGAUCAUGGCCCUCCUCUCUUCGAGUUUCAGCUUCUAGUCCAUCGCUUCCAUCAACAAUUUGAAUCAUCUCCCCUUCUUCUCCUCCUUGAUGUCCGAGCACCUCACACAUGCCUAGUCCUUCUUCGCCAAGAUGUCUUCGUACCUCUCCGUCAGCUUGACCGCCGUACCUUAUUGCUUUGCCCUCUCCUCCUCCCACUUGUUUGCUUGAAAAUUUAUAAUUUUUUUGACGGUUCUUGGGUUGGGUCGGUAGGGUCACCUGUUUCUUCCUCAUUGACCUGGACGGCGGUCUUGGCAAUGAAAAGGUUCCACUUUCGUCGGCCAUUCAACUUCAACCCACAAUGCAUGAUGGUGAAGGACUUAUUCUCCAACUUCUUGUACACCAGAUAAGCACGAGUAGGCUAUAAAUUGUAACAAAUUUCAACAAUGCAUAUCGAUCUAGUGAGCAAAAAAUCAUGUUCGUCUAGGGAUCAACAAAACUAAAGCAUAUCCGGCUAGCAAUCAACAUACUUGCUCAGUGAUUUGUGCACCACUAGGCCACCAUGUGAUGAUAUGCUUCAAGUGCCCUCAAUACUUGGGCAUGGCCUCUUGGAUGUAAUACCAUCAAUAAUUGAGGGACUUCCAUUCACGGUUGUGGAUGAGCGCAUCAGAGUAGGGCGUGAAAUGCUUGUGUUCAUGGAAUAAUAUGUGAAUAUUGCUCCAAAAGGUUCCUUAUUCUCCAUGCCAUAGAAUAGAUCAAUGCUAGUGGCCAACCAUGCAUCACACAACAGCUCGUCACCCCGUAUGUUGAAGAUUUCUCCUCCAUCCUUCGACUUUGGAUCGCCGGGUGUAUCAUCCGAAUCAUCGUCAUUGCUGUCCUCCUCCUCCCCCCUUCGGCUAUUGCUCUCCAGCAGCAAUACUGAUGUUGCCAUGUGCCAUCAUCUGUUUGGGUGUAGGAUUGCUGCAUGGCCGUCUGGGUGUAGGACUAUUGCUGCUGGUAGUUGCCGCCGGGUGGGAUCCGAGUCUUCCGCAUGCUUGUCCUCGUAGCCCCCUCCUGCUCCCUUGCCUGCAUCGUGGAUGAUGUCGAGCAUCUCCUUGUCCUGUUGUAUGCCAGCUCCCCCGCUCUAGGUAUUGUAGUGACCAUCAUGCAGAUACCCAUAUGCUCCCCAGCAGUCGUCCGGCCCGGACAAGCUGCGGCGACAAAUACUCGAAGAAGAGCGGGGCCACGUUAACGUUGAUGAUGUAAUUAAGGCACCAUAUCGGUGGGGGUUCUAAGCUGCUUCGCAUCGUAGUAGUACGGAGGCUUGUAAGGCUCUAGCCACGGCACCACCGUCUGUACUGUAGGCGCACCCGUCCGGCGGCGUCCUCCAUGGCAGCGUCGUUUGCCACAACCUCCACGCCCAUCGCCAUCACCAGGCCCACCGACGUCCAACCAUUGCGGGCUUUGCUUUGAUGCACCUUCGGGGGCUCCAUCUCCGACGGUUUCAUACGUCGGCGGCGGAAGGAAGGAGAGGGUGAGGGAAAAGUGAGGGAAUUGGAUAGGGACCAAUGGAAAAUGAAAGGAGUCGAUGAUUUUGGCGUGGAUAUAGAUAUAGUGGAUAGCAGCCUGUUGAUAUAGUUGUAUUUACUUUUGUUUCCUCUCAGAUAUAUAGAUAUACCAAGCCAAUAUUGAUGCACGGGUUUGAAACGUCUUUUUUUUCUUUUCUUUUUUUGCAUGGAAGAAAAUGUCAUGUGCAUAAAAAAGCAAACAACAACUAGGGCGUACCUAAUGCGCGAGACAUGGCAAGCACCCCCUGUACGCGCAGCUGCCCGUCCUCGGUGCGCCGCACUUUGCCGCCCGCCGCGUCCGCCCGCGCCCUCUCGUCGGCCCGCUCCAGCUGCAUCCACGCACCCAUCAUCAAGCUCAAAUUUGUCCGGCCAGAUGAGACCAUACCAUUCAUGCAUGACGCAGCUAAUCUCACCUUGUGGUCCUCGGAGAGGGGGGCGGCGUUACCGGCGCGGCAGAGCACGGCGCGGGAGUCGCCGCAGUUGGCGACGACGAUGCUAUCCCGGACCACGAGCGCCACCACGGCAGUGGACCCUACGAUGGGCCAUCCCGAUUCCGACAGCCCCAUCCCCAGUGCGUCCGCCCGCUCGAAGCUCCGCUUCAGCGCCGCCUCCCACGCGCGACGCUCCGCCUCUUCGUCCUUCUUCUCCGGGUGCUCCUUCCGGUAGGCCGUCGCCGCGCCGGCCAGCUCCUCGGCCAGUAUGACGUGCAUCUGGUCCCUGCACAGGGCCGAUACCUGCACGCCAAGACGAAGCAAACACACGUGUAGGCUAGGGCAUGGACGUGUCGACCACUAGACCUGGAGGAGGAGAGGGAAGAGGAGGUUACGUACCUGGGGGCCGCCGUGGCCGUCGAAGACGGCAAAGAAGUGCAUGGGGGAGCCGUCGGCCCAGGCGCAGAAGAACGGGCGCAGCGACACGGCGUCCUCCAUCCUCUUCCCGUGAUCCUGUCCCCGCUCCGACGCGGACCCGAACGCGAGGGACCACACUGCCGCCGCCGCCGCCGCUGCUUCAGCUGGCAGCAGGGGCGCCGGCACCGCACCGGAUCCCUCCCCUUCCUGGCCGCUGGUCAGGUACUCCUCCGAACCCUCUGAGGAUGCGUUGUACCCGGACGACGGCGGUGGGGACUCCACCUCGCCUUCCACGGAGGCCAAGGCGGGGUCAUCGGCUCCCAACUCCACGGCGGCGGGCACGUUGUUGACACCGGCGUUGGCCAUGACUACAGAUUGACGUUCAGGGGAAGGAGCAGAUUGAUUAGCUAGAGCAGCAGAGAAUUCGGUACGAAGCAAACCUGCGGGGAAGAAACGCACGCGCAAGAGGAUGAAAAAGCUGGAGGACGAAGAAGAACUAAAAUCCGGUCUUUGGGAGCGAAGUAGUUUUGUGUGACGUUUGUAUGGAAUUUGGGCUACGUGGCAGACGAGGCACAAGUGUUUCUUAUCCAUUUAUUGCUCGUAAUUAAUUUUCUCUCUUUUUAGAUAUGUCCUCAUCAUUAUCUCCUAUCUUUCAUUUAUUAUCUUCUAUUCUUUUGGGGGGAAAUUUAAUAUUGCUCAUUAAUCAAAGAUUACAAUCAUGGUUACAAAGAAGCUCUAUGUCAACUGGUUCUAAACCAACCACACAGCACUAAGUACAUGUACUCUGGCAAACCAUACAAGGUAAUCACUAACUGCUUUCUGGCUACGUCUAAUAUGAACUGUUAGAGAAGUGGAAUCUCUUGAUCCAUUGAUGUGCAGGAACAUGCACUUUAUACAAAGAGGGGGCACGCGAUGAUCCGAGGGGAUGCGUCGGUUCCAGUGAGAUGCGACGGUUGCGAGGGACAAGUUGUCCGUGCGUGUACAAGGAGAGAUUCCACUUAAUUACAUAUUGUAAUUUAAUCUUAAAGUGAACAAUCUAACUUAAUGGACUUUUUCCCCAGAAAAAACUUAAAUGGACUUUCAUGAUGUCAUUUUUUUGGCAAAGUGACUUCCAUCAUCACAUGAAUUUCAUCAAUCGCAAAGGAUUAUUUUGAACGAUCUCUAGUUUGAUUGGUUACCAUCGUAACACUGGACUAACCUGCCUAGAAAGAGAGAGGGGAAUAAGAAACGGACACGCGUAUGAAGGGGAAGACCGGAGGAUUGUGAACAAAAAACUUCGUAGUAGGAUUAUUUUCAGACAAAGCAAUUUUGCAUAGUAAAGUUUGUAUGGAAAUGAGGCGAGGCGCUGAUCUGUGUCCGCACGUUUCUUAUCUAUUUAUCACCGGUAUUAAUUUUCUCCUCUUAACCACUUAUUGUGCUUAUUAACUUUCUCGUAUUUUAUUAUUUCAUAUUUAAUGUCACUUAUUUUAUUAUUUUAUUUUGCAUUUUAUAUUUCUUAUCUAUUUUAAUGUUUUCAUAUAAAUCCAUAAUAUCUUCCAUUUAUUAACAUGAAUUUACGUUUUAUUAUUCUAAGUACUAAAAUAUACUGAUGUUUUCUUUGCCCAAGUAGUACACAUCUGUUUCCCGGAAAUUGCUUUUGGAGGCCGAGCUUCAUGGAGGCUUCCAAAUGCAAAAUUAAAAUUUCAUGAAAAUUCAUAUUCUUACCGUCUAAAAAAUUCUGAAAAAAAAUGUAGAUAGAUGAAGGUACAAUGCACAAGUGUGUAAAUUUUUAAGACUAAAUACGUUAAAAUUAGGCUGUGCAAAAAGAUAAAUCUGAGACUUUUUAACACAUGAUACUAUUCAUCUUUUCACACCAUGAAUUUAUCUUUUUUCUAUAGAUCGCGUUUCAAACUAUUUCAGCAUGAAAUUUCACACACAUACGGCUCACAUCCUUGUUUAGUUGCACAAUGUUUUUCGGAUUUUUUUGACACCAAAAUUUUCGAAUUUUGAAUUUUUCAAAAUUUUAGUCUUCAUGGAGGUCGAGAGCCAAAACGUCAUUCUCUCUGUUUCCCCUUUAGAUUAAUUAUUUCAUUGUUUUUUCUGUAUUUGCUAUCUGAAGCCACUAUCAGCACAAGCUCUUGCAGAGCUGUUCUAAGAAAAUUACUACAGAAAAGACAACUACCCAAUGCACCAUAUGUUGCAUAUAAUUUAUGUUGCUAUUAGAGUGAAGUCUGGGUACGUCAUUUAGGUCUCCACCCCCACAACUUUGUACUACAAAACAAUAAGGAAAUAAUAUGUAAUUAAUGCAUCAAGAUAAAUAAGAAAAUAAACAGUAAUUAAUAAUAUUGAUUAUAUGGUAGUCCCUUUAUUUCGGUUAAUAAGUUAUGUGUCUAUCUCAAGAUCGUCAAUUUGACCAGUGAAAUAUGAGUUAUAAGCCAUAAAAUGUAUAUCAUUUAAUUCGGAUUUGAAAUAAGUUUCUAAUUCUUCAUUAUUUGAAGAUUUUAUUAUGGUUAUUUUAUGAUACAUAAAUCACAUUACAUUGAUCAAAUUGAUGACUAGGGAUAUGUGCAUGCCUUAAAACUGAAAAUUAAGAAGUAUGCCUUCCUCUCCCAAACCUCAUACAAAUAUCGAAGAAAAGAGCAAACAAUUCAUAAAUGCUGAUAGUUCAUGACAAUGCUUAUAUGACAUGUGUUUCUAUCCACUGGUUCUUAUGGUGCUCUCUUAGGAUGGUAGAUUUUAAAAGACAACUACUCAUUGCAUCGUAAGUCACAUAUGAUUUAUAUAUGUUUACUAUUAACAUGUAUUUUAUGAUGGUCGUCCUGUCUCCUCUCCACAACUUUCUACAAAAAAUAUGAAAUAAUACAUCAUUAAUGCAUGAUAAUAACCAUAGAAAAAUAAAUAGUAAGUAAUGAUAUGGAUUGUAUGGCACUCCCUCUCUUUAUUUGGAUAUGACAUGUAUACAUCUCUAUAUCAUCAAUUUGAUCAAUGAACUAUGAGUAUAUUGGAAAAUGUUUCCAAUGGUAUAUUUUGUACAUAACUAUUAUUACGUUGGUCAAAUUGUGGUCUAAGCUUAAAAGAUGGGAAGUGUGUCUUCUUGUAUUCGCAACUGCCCUAAAUAAGGAUGUAAGUCAUACACAAUUAAUACAUGAUGAAAAUUAGUACUCCCUCCGUUCCUAAAUAUAAGUCUUUGAAGAGAUUAUACUACAAACAUCAUACGUAUGUAUAUGGACAUAUUUUAGAAUUUAGAUUCAUUUAUUUUCCUCCAUAUGUAGUUCAUAGUGGAAUCUCUAAAAAUACUUAUAUUUAAGAACGGAGGGAGUAAUGUUAAUUAUAUUCUACGUAUGUCUCUGUUCACAACAACGUACUGAUAGGACACUAAAUAAUACUUAAUCAGACAGAUGAUCAGCAAGAAAAUAACCAGUGUAAUAUUUAUACAUUUUUUGCGGAAAAAUAUCCGAUCUCGUCACUCAAGCACGGUAAUACAAUAAACAUAAAAAAUAAUAAUAAUUACAUCCGGAUUUAUAGACCACCUAAUGACGACUGCAAGCACUGAAUCGAGAGGAAGAGUGCCGCCGUCAUUGCCUCUCCCUCAUCGGAGCCGGACAAAACGUUUUAUAGUAGACAACCGUCUCCGAUGAAGCGUAACGUAGAUCAAAAGGAUGCAACGUGAAAUCACACAAAAAUAGGCGAACGACAAACAGAUCCUAACAAAUCCACAAAAGGCAUAUCCAGCGGAGACAGACCUUCACACGCCCACCAACGAUGCUAGAUGCCAAUGAGUUGUGGUCUUCCUCUCAGUGAUUCCGCUGAUUUGCUCAUGGCCAGUGAGGCUUCGUGAGAGUGUAGCGCAAAGCUUCACUUUAUUGACACGGCUAUGGGAUAUGUCCUAAUAUAGAUUUCCAUGGCAUUGCGAUAGGUGGAGAAAGUCAUAGUGGCUAAGAUAGGAGGUUUUUAAUGGUGUAGAGUGUUGGGGAACGUCGCAUGGGAAACAAAAAAUUUCCUACGCUCACCAAGAUCAAUCUAUGGAGAUUAACAUCUACAAGGGGGGGAGCGCAUGUACAUACCCUUGUAGAUCGCUAAGCGGAAGCGUAUAUAACGCGGGUGAUGCAGUUGAAGAUCAUUGCGAUCCAUUGAAGAUCCGUCCCGCGAUCCCAUCACGAUCCGUCCCGAUCUAGUGCCGAAUGGACGGCACCUCCGUGUUCAUCACACGUAUAGCUCGAUGAUGAUCUCCACCUCCUUGAUCUAGCAAGCGAGGGUGGAGAGGUAGAUGAGUUCUCCCAUAGCACGAUGGCAUGGCGGCGGUGUUGGUGGAUCUGAUCCGGCAGGGCUGUGACGUGCGCUACCGAAUCGAUCUAGAGCUGGAACAAGCUAGAGGAGGGAGAGAAAGUUGCGCCAUGACCUAAUUAGGUGCGGCUGCGCGCCAUAACCGUUUCGGAUGCGGCUGCCGUCUCUCCUCUCCAAUAUAUAUAGGAGGGAGGGGAUGGGGUGGAGCCAUCGCCUUAUUGGGUGCGGAGGCGCUAGGAGGAGUCCUGGUCCUAUUCGGACUCCUCUCCACCUCAUCACUUUGUGCGCAUAGGACCAUAGGUGUUGGCCGCCCAGCCCACCAGGGGCUGGUGCGCCACCUCUUAGGCCUAUCUGCCCCCUGGAGUGGGUGGCCCCUCCGGUGAACCACGAAACCCGUUCGUCACACCCGAUACAUUACUGGUAAUGUUCGAAACCUUUACGGAACCCGUAUACCUCCUUGCAAUAUAAAUCUUCAUUUCUGGACCAUUCUGGAACUCCUCUUGACGUCCGAGAUCACAUCUGGGACUACGAACAACCUUCGGUUACCAACAUACAUAACUCAACUAUACCGAAUUGUCAUCGAACCUUAAGUGUGCAAGCCAUGCGGGUUCAGGAACUAUAUAGACAUGACCGAGACACUCUCCGGUCAAUAACCAAUAGCGGUACCUGGAUGCGCAUAUUGACUCCUACAUAUUCUACGAAGUUCUUUAUCAGUCGAACCACGAUGCCAAGGAUUCAAUCAAUCACGUAUACUGUUCCCUUUGUUCAUUGGUAUGUUACUUGCCCGAGAUUCGAUGGUCGGUAUCUCUAUAACUAGUUCAAUCUUGUUACCGGCAAGUCUCUUUACUCGUUCUGUAGUACAAGAUCCCGUGACUAACUCCUUAGUCACAUUGCUUGCAAGCUCAUUAUGAUGUUGUAUUACCGAGUGGACCCUAGAGAUACCUCUCCGUCUUACGGAGUGACAAAUCCCAGUCUCGAUUCACGCCAAUCCAACAGACACCUUCGGAGAUACCUAUAGAGCUCCUUUACAGUCACUCAAUUAUGUUGUCAUGUUUGAUACACACAAGACAUUCCUCUGGUGCCCGUGAUUUGCAUGAUCUCUUGGUCAUAGAAACAGAUACUUGACAUGCAGAAAACGGUAGAAAUAAACUGACACGAUCACAUGCUACGUUAAUAGUUCGGGUCUUGUCCAUCACAUCAUUCUCCUAAUGAUGUGACCCCGUUAUCAAAUUACAACUCAUGUCUAUGGUUAGGAAACCUUGACCAUCUUUGAUCAGCGAGCUAGUCCUUAGAGGCUCACUAGGGACAUUGUGCUGUCUAUGUAUCCACACAUGUAUUUGAGUUUCCAAUUAAUACAAUUCUAGCAUGGAUAAUAAACGAUUAUCAUGAACAAGGAAAUAUAAUAAUAACUAAUUUAUUAUUGCCUCCAGGGCAUAUUUUCAACAUAGAGGAGUAUUGGAAGCGAUGAUGAAUGACGACACAUGUUCCUCCGGUGUGUCGGAUGUUGGUGACUUGCAGCAGCGACCUUGGCUAGAGGGUGCGACAAGAUAGGUGAACUGCAUUUUUUGUGGUGCUCCUCGAGCACCUAGUCAUGAUUUCCAUGGUAAAUGCCCAAGGUCUAGCCUUCAUUGGUUGUGUCUGGCAAUGGCCUUGCAGAAGGCAUCGUUUGUGAAAUCAGAUUUUCUCUAGGGGGAAAACUCAAGUUCUUCGAUCGAACGAUGACAAUGUUGGUGCGUUGUUUCCUUCUUGAAGCAUUGUUUUUGGAGAAUCCCUCUUUGUGGUCCAGGUGUUAUCUUUGGUGGUGGUUAGAGUGUUAUUGUUGUGAGUGUUUAUCACCGCGACGGUUUCUUUGUUUUAUAUUUCAUUUUUUUUUCAUGAUGAUGUGCAUCCUUCAUGUUUUACAUUUUCUUUGGUGUGGGUACUGCUAAUCAUUUGUUUGUGCGGUCUCCUAUUGGUUCUAUAAACCUUAUUUCUUAACUGAGGGAUAUACCAUUCGCUACUUUACUACAUCACUCUUACUCUUCAGGAAAUUCCCAACGCCAUCACAAGUAAUAAUGAUCACCGCAAGGUUAAUCCUACUACGAAGCACCUCACUGACUUGCGGCGGGACUACAAGGACCCUUUAUAGUCCCAGGACACACACUGCACGAAGGGAUCCCCACGCCAGCGCCGCCACCUCCUACGGCGUCGACCAACGAACCAAAAUCGGUCACCAAAGACAUAAUAUGGAAGGGAGCAACCAUCCCCAUCUUCCUUCAGCACGCCACAAAGAGCAAACGGGUGACCACCCCAGUGACACCCCUGCUACCGGAUAAUGGAGGGGGAGGUAGCCGCAGUUCCCUAUCUACGGCCGUGACCUCCCAAGUAGAUGCACCCCCACAUGGCAGGGAGUCCAUCCGGCGCACCACCGAGCCCCAUGAGCCUUCCCCCUCACCCCCUGGCUCCUGGGAUAGCCGGAUCUGGAGUCCAACCAUUCGGAAUCACAUAGGAAAGCCAAGGGAGGAAGAGAGGUACGCUGGGGGAGAAGGAGAACCUCACCACUGGCACGCAGUCACCCCAGAUCCGUCGCCCAAUCCUGCGUGAGACGCGAGCGUCGCCACCUUGCCUUGCGCUAGAACGAGGCGUCCCCGUAGAGGUGCCACUCCCGCGUUGCAGCAUAUCAAACAAGGAGGAAGGAGAUCCUCGCCACCGUCGACGUCAUCUAGGCUUAGCCCGACGGCACGGGGAAGAGGGCGAAGCGAGCGGGCGGGGGAGCCAGCGUGUAGGUUUUUUUUUUCUGUUUCUCGAGGGUGAGGGGGGAGCAAAAUUAGCCAGACUCUCAAAUAUGGUCCUCUCAAAUAUGGUCCUAUUUCACUGAAGUCUUAAUAGUACUCCCUCCUUCCAAAAUUAAUUGUCCCACAAAUUUAUAAAGUUGGAUGUAUGUAAAACCAAGAUACAUCUAGAUGCAUUCAUUUCCGUGAUAAGUAUUUUCGGACGGAAUGAGUAUAUAAUAGUAGUAAUGUUAUCAAUGAUCAAUCCAGGAAGACAAGUUCAACUGUCAGCACUAACGCUUCCUAGAGCCGAAGAAAACAGCUGGCUAUGGCGGCUGGAGCUCGAGGUAGACGACGGGGUUUUUCGCAGCGGAAUCACUUGUUGCUUUUCUGUUUCUUCCUUCUUAUUCACUUGCUGAACGGGAAAAACGGAUCAGGAGCUGCCCCCUCUACAGGAUCAUGCCAUCCCACGAUCAAGAGCGAGAUCGUGCCGUGAUCUAAGGCAUCGGGAGCGCACAUACCACGUCCUCAGGCGCUGUCUAACGGAAACGAGGAAAAAACUCUAACUGACAAAACUGACGGGAAACUAAAACCACUACACCUGCAGCUGUAGUAUCAUUCAGACACUUAGUAGCCCUGGCGAUCUGUCAUGCUAGAUUAUUAGCUAUCGAUCUCCCCCUAAGCUAGUUGUGACGAACUAACUAAACCUCAACCAUACCAAUGUGUGAGCGCAGCUCUAGAAACCACGUGCGCCCGAGUGACUUUGUGAAGAUGUCUGCGAGCUGAUCGCCGGUAGAAGUGUGUUCGACUUUGAUUCUUCCCUCCUCCACGCACCUUCGGAUGAAGUGGUAUCGCACAUCAAUGUGCUUGCUCUGGUCGUGGAAGACAUGAUUCUUGCACAGCUAGAUGGCCGACUUGUUGUCGAUGAAGAUGGUGAUGGCGCCGGUCUCCUCUGCUAGCAGAUCUCCUAAGAGCCUGCUCAGCCAAAUCCCCUGGCAUGCCGCAGUCGUUGCGGCCACGUACUCGGCUUCGCACGAGGACAGUGCAACGAUCUUUUUCUUCUGUGACUGCCAGGUGAUCGGAGCUCCCCCGAGGAACAAGACGUUACCGGAUGUGCUCUUGCGGUCAUCAAUGUCGCCGGCCAUGUCCGAGUCACUGUAGCCAACCAAGCCUCCACUUCCUCCCUUGAUGUACUUACACCCGUACCUGCGAGUGCCGGCGAUGUAGCGAAGAAGGUGCUUGACGGCGCCCAGAUGCGCCGUGUUUGGCGCCUCCAUGAACCGACUCAGAUAACCUACCGCGAAGGCAAUAUCUGGCCACGUGUGGGUGAGGUAGCGAAGACCACCGAUGAUGCUUCUGUAAUCCGUAGCAUCCACACGUGGUUCUGGCCCCUCCUUGCUUAGUUUAAGACGCGGCUCCAUGGGCACGUUCGUCGGGUUGCAAUCCGCCAUGCCCGCUCACUCCAGCAGCUCUCCAGCGUACGCCGCCUGCGACAAGGUGAUGUCUCCAGCUCCCUGCUUCACUUCUAGGCCGAGAUAAAAGCUAAGUAAGCCGAGAUCACUCAUGCGGAACCUGGCCAUCAUCUCCUUCUUGAAGCUUUGGAUCUCCUGGGAGUCGGCUCCGGUGACGACGAGAUCGUCGACGUAGACGCCAACCAGCAGCCACGCUUGCCGCUGUCCGUGCGCGUACAUGGCGUGCUCUGAUGGACAGCUUGCGAACCCAAGUUGUUGCAUGGUGCAAUCAAGCUUGGCGUUCCAAGCUCGUGGCGCAUGCCGCAGUCCAUACAACGCCUUGUGAAGACAGAAUACCUUGCGCUCCUCGCCUCUCCGCGCGAAGCCUGGUGGCUGGGUGACGUACACUUCUUCCUUGAGCUCCCCGUUGAGAAACGCUGACUUGACGUCGAGGUGGUGCAGCUCCCAGCCGCGUUCCGCAGCCGUGCCCACCAUGACGCGCACCGAGUUCAGCCUCGCCAUGGGUGCGAACGCGUCGUCGUAGUCCACGCCUUCCUUCUGUACGAAUCCCCUUGCGACAAGUCUUACUUUGUGCUUGACGAUGGUGCCAGAAGAGUCCUUUUUCAGCUUAAACACCCAUUUGAAGCCGAUGACUGUGUGACCUGCAGGCACAUCGGUUAGCGUCCAGGUGCCGUUCUCUUCGAUGGAUGCCAGCUCCUCCAGCAUCGCGCUUCGCCAGCUCUCCUGGGACGCGGCUUCGGCAAAGGUAGCCGGCUCCUCUUCGGCCAGUAGGAGAUGCUCCGUCGGCAUAGUUGACUUGGCCGGGCCGGCGUACACGUCCGCAAGGCGGCGGAAGGGAUGCCCCGUGAACGGAUCGUCAUCCGCGUCGAAUGAAUCAUGCCGUCUCGCAGGUGGUGUGACGAAUUCCACCGCCUUUGGAGCCACCUCCGGGGGCGUCCUCCUGCCCGGUCACUCCAUGGACACGCCGGUUGUUGGAAAUAUGCCCUAGAGGCAAUAAUAAAUUAGUUAUUAUUAUAUUUCUUUGUUCGUGAUAAUCAUUUAUUAUCCAUGCUAUAAUUGUAUUGAAUGAAGACUUAGAUACAUGUGUGGAUACAUAGACAAAACACUGUCCCUAGCAAGCCUCUAGUUGGCUAGCCAGUUGAUCAAGGAUAGUCAGGGUCAUCUGACUAUGUAUAAAGUGUUGUUGCUUGAUAACUGGAUCACAUCAUUGGGAGAAUCAUGUGAUGGACUAGACCCAAACUAAUAGACGUAGCAUAUUGAUCGUGUCAUUUUGUUGCUACUGUUUUCUGCGUGUCAAGUAUCUAUACCUAUGACCAUGAGAUCAUAUAACUCACUGACACCGGAGGAAUACUUUGUGUGUAUCAAACGUCACAACGUAACUGGGUGGCUAUAAAGAUUCUCUACAGGUAUCUCCGAAGGUGUCCGUUGAGUUAGUAUGGAUCAAGACUGGGAUUUGUCACUCCGUGUGACGGAGAGGUAUCUCGGGGCCCACUCGGUAAUACAACAUCACACACAAGCCUUGCAAGCAAUGUGACUUAGUGUAAGUUGCGGGAUCUUGUAUUACGGAACGAGUAAAGAGACUUGCCGGUAAACGAGAUUGAAAUAGGUAUNNNNNNNNNNNNNNNNNNNNNNNNNNNNNNNNNNNNNNNNNNNNNNNNNNNNNNNNNNNNNNNNNNNNNNNNNNNNNNNNNNNNNNNNNNNNNNNNNNNNUGGUUGGUUUAGAACCAGUUGACAUAGAGCUUCUUUGUAACCAUGAUUGUAAUCUUUGAUUAAUGAGCAAUAUUAAAUCCCCCCCCCCCCCCAAAAGAAUAGAAGAUAAUAAAUGAAAGAUAUGAGAUAAUGAUGAGGACAUAUCUAAAAAGAGAGAAAAUUAACUACGAGCAAUAAAUGGAUAAGAAACACUUGAGGGGUGGAGACCUAAAUGACGUACCCAGACUUCAGCUUACUAGCAAAAUAAAUUAUAUGCAACAUAUGGUGCAUUGGGUAGUUGUCUUUUCUGUAGUAAUUUUCUUAGGACAGCUCUGCAAGAGCUUGUGCUGAUAGUGGCUUCAGAUAGCCAAUACAGUAAAAGCAACGAAAUAAAUAAUCUAAAGGGGAACAGAGAGAAUGUCGUUUUGGUUCUCGGCCUCCACGAAGACUAAAAUUUUGAAAUAUUCAAAAUUCAUAAAAAUUGGUGUCAAAAUAAUCAGAAAAACAUUGUGCAACUAAACAAGGAUGCGAGCCGUAUGUGUGUGAAAUUUCGUGUUGAAAUAGCUUGAAACACGAUCUGUAGAAAAAAGAUAAAUUCAUGGUUUGAAAAGAUGAAUAGUAUCAUGUGUUAAAAAGUCUCAGAUUUGUCUUUUUGCACAGUCUAAUUUCAACGUAUUUAGUCUUGAAAAUUUACAAACUUGUGCAUUAUACCUUCAUCUAUCUAUAUAUUUUUUCAGAAUUUUUUAGAAUGUAAAAAAUAUGAAUUUUUUUCAUGAAAUUUAAAUUUUGCAUUUGAAAGCCUCCAUGAAGCUCGGCCUCCAAAAACAAUUUCCGGGAAACAGAUGUGUACUACUUGGACAAAAAAAUCAGUAUCUUUUAGUACUUACAGUAAUAAAAAGUAAAUUCAUGUCAAUAAAUGGAAGAUAUUAUGGAUUUAUAUGGAAACAUUAAAAUAGAUAAGAAAUAUAAAAAUAAAAUAAUAAAAUAAGUGACAUUAAAUAUGAAGUAAUAAAAAUACGCGAAAGUUAAUAAGCACAAUAAGUGGUUAAGAGGAGAAAAUUAAUACCGGUAAUAAAUGGAUAAGAAACGUGCGGACACAUAUCAAUGCCUCGCCUCAUUUUCAUACAAAGAUGGGAAAAUCUAAAAAGAAGCGUGCGUACAUGAGCCCUACCGUGUGGCGGGAUCAUGCUGCAUUCCUUCCCUAUGACCAGAAUUUAAAAACUUUUAUCUCUUAAACCGUUAAUUCGACCGAUGAUCCGCUUUCGCAGUUGACUUAGUUUCGGUGAAAUCUUCAAAACUAGAUCCCAUGUCGACAUGUUUUAACAAUUGUUUUUGACCAUACUCACCACAUUUGUUGCACUUACUUAUCAUAUUAGUAUGUACUUACUUGUCUGAUAAAAACUAACUUAAUCGUCAUAUUUUUGGAAAUUGCGUAUAAAUAUGACAUCUCAACAUAAUCAAACCGACAAGUACAAACAACUUAUUUUAGGCGAUUACGCGCAAAAAUAUGACAACUCAACAUAUUUAAAAUAGGUGACCAUAAGAAAUCUUUUUUGGUCAUCGUUUGUAAAUAUGACAACUCGGGAUAGUUAAACUAACAAGCACACAAAAUAGUUUUCUGGCAAAGUUGUAUGUAAGUAUGACAAGUUGGCAUAUUUUUAAAUUGGCAAACACAACCUAUGACAUGCUUUUAUAUCAUGUAUAAUGAAAACUGCUACAAGGCUUUGUACGAAACAACAUUAAAAAGUGUUAAUCAAGUUAUUUUUUUGGGCAAGUAAGUGGUUAAUAAUAUGGCAACUUGGUCUAAAAAAUGUGGCAAGUAUAAACCGAAAAAAUAGUUGAUGGAACAUGUUGUUAUGGGAUCUAGUUUUGAAGAACUCGUAGCGAGAAAGUCAAUGAUGAAAACGGAUCAUUGAUUGAAUUAUCGGUUUUAUAGAUAAUUUUUUUAAAAUUUCAAACAUCAAAGGGAAUCUUGCACGUGGCAUUGUACUCGUGCGAGAGCUCAAACCUAAAAAGGAGUACAUCGGACCCAACUGGCCAACGGAUCUACAGAUUGCAUGCACUAAUCGACGCUCCAGCGGCCACCGCAUGGUAACACAAAUAUGGGGCGCUGCUGCCUAGUUUGGUCCUACAAACUUUACUAUGCNNNNNNNNNNNNNNNNNNNNNNNNNNNNNNNNNNNNNNNNNNNNNNNNNNNNNNNNNNNNNNNNNNNNNNNNNNNNNNNNNNNNNNNNNNNNNNNNNNNNUACCAUAUAAUUUUGGAGCGUACGCUAAGAGCCAAUGUAUCUUUCUAGUACUACUUGCGAUAAUAUGAAGAAGAAAUUAAUUACGGGCAAUAAAUACGGAGUAGAAGAUAAGGCCAUUUUCCAUCAAUGAACAAAUAUAUACAGGUGAAAAUGAGGAAGCAGUAAUGCAGCAAGCCUUAUUAGUUUAGCAGCCCGCGCCCUUAAUAUGCAUCCAAAAAACGCGACGCGAGCACAAAAAAGUACUACAAGUAACCCCAUCUUGUGCGCCUCCAUCGAUCGUCCGUUUCUGUGGAGCUUCCUCGCUCAGUACUGUCUCGUGUUUCUUCUGGCCAAAUUGGUUGAUAGCCAAAAUGAAGAUGUUCUCCUGCUUCGGGAUCCGCACCCGUCCCGCUCAACCUGCUCUUGCCAAGGAUCAAUCCGUCGUCGGCAUCAACAACGUGCCCGCGGCCGGCGAUGGAUGCCACCUGCGGUCACCCGUCGGCAAGGAAGCGGAGGGCUCCGGUGCGCUAGUGCGGGCGGCGUGGCGCGGGGCAUACGGUGCGGCGGGGAAGUCGCGGGAGCACGGGGUGGCCAUGCAGGACACCGUGUCGAUGCGGCCGUCCUUCUGCACCUGGGUUGACGGCUCGCGCAUGCACUUCUUCGCCGUCUUCGACGGCCACGGCGGCCCCGUGGUAACCCCUCUACGAACGUGGCCAGGCUCUAGUAGCUCAACACCAACUUGUUUGUAGACUCUGUACAAACUAAUUUCCAUGGCGGUGCAGGUGUCGGCGCUGUUGAGGGACCACAUGCACGCGAUCCUGGCGGAAGAGCUGACCGGCGCGGCCGCAGCCCACCGAAAGAAGCAGCAUCAAGACGAAGGGGCGGAAGUGUGCGCGUGGAAGGGCGCGCUGAGGCAGAGCUUCGCGCGGGCGGACGAGCUGGCGGCGUCGGCGGUGCCAAGGGGCACCAUCAUGGGGUCGACGGCCGUGGUGGCGCUGGUGGUCGGCGGCCGCAUCCUCGUCGCCAACUGCGGCGACUCCCGCGCCGUGCUCUGCCGCGCUGGCCGCGCCGUGCCGCUCUCCCAGGACCACAAGCAGGUGAGCAAGCUGCUGCUGGUGUCAUGUUUGUUGUGUUUCUCUUCUUAUCGAAUAAUCACUGGGGAUUAAUGUGAGCUUCAUGCGUGGAUGCAGCCGGCACGGCCGGACGAGAUGGCGGCCGGCGGCGUGAUGCACCACAACGACGGGCCGACGGGGUCGCGAGCUUUAGGUAUGGACAACGACAAGUAGCGUUAACCUUCUUCUAAAAUGGUUAAAGUCAAGAAACUAAACAAAAACAAAAACGGCUAUCGUUCAUGCAUCAAAAUGUGUUCCCACCUCUGCAUGCGUCGUGUUAUGUUAAAAGCAAACAAGCCUCCUUCCUGGCGUUGUCAGCUACUGGNNNNNNNNNNNNNNNNNNNNNNNNNNNNNNNNNNNNNNNNNNNNNNNNNNNNNNNNNNNNNNNNNNNNNNNNNNNNNNNNNNNNNNNNNNNNNNNNNNNNGUUAGCGUUGCUAGUUGCAGGUGCAGUUGCUUCCAUGUGAUAACAUGGGUUCCUUGUUAUAUCAUCACAUUAAAUGCUAUUUAAUUCAAUGCACCUAUAUACUUGGUAAAAGGUGGAAGGCUCGGCCUUUCUGGCCUGGUAUUUUGUUCCACCUUUGCCCCCUUAGUUUUCGGCUACCGGUGUUAUGUUCCAUAAUUGAGCGCUCCUAACACGAUCGGGGUUGUUAUGGGGACCCCCUUGAUAAUUCGUUUUAGAUUAAAGCUGGUCUGGCAAGGCCCAACUUUGGUACUACAUUUGCCUAAUAACCUAAUAAUAAUGCAUAGGGACCCGCCGGCACCCGCGGACUAAUUUAAUCAACCAUCGGGCCAGUGCUCCUCAUGAGUGUUGGUCCAAAACAGAGCAGCUUAUUAUCGCUACCCGGGGCAACUCGGCGUUUGGUGAGGUAACCAUCGCUCAUCCGUCGUGUCCUGAGAACGAGGUACGCGACUCCUAUCGGGAUCGUCGACACGUCGGGCGGCCUUGCUGGAUUAGUUUUACCUUUGACGAGAUAUCUUGUGCAUCGGGAUUCCGGUGAUGCUUUGGGUAAUCUCAGAGUUGAGGUUUUCCACUAGGGAAUCCGACGAGAUCGCGAGCUUCGUGAUUGAGGAUUUCUAUGCGGCUUGUGGUAAUUUGUGAUGGACUAGUUGGAGCACCCAUGCAGGGUUAAAUCUUUUUGGAAAGCCGUGCCCACGGUUAUNNNNNNNNNNNNNNNNNNNNNNNNNNNNNNNNNNNNNNNNNNNNNNNNNNNNNNNNNNNNNNNNNNNNNNNNNNNNNNNNNNNNNNNNNNNNNNNNNNNNCAGGAAGGAGGCUUGUUUGCUUUUAACAUAACACGACGCAUGCAGAGGUGGGAACACAUUUUGAUGCAUGAACGAUAGCCGUUUUUGUUUUUGUUUAGUUUCUUGACUUUAACCAUUUUAGAAGAAGGUUAACGCUACUUGUCGUUGUCCAUACCUAAAGCUCGCGACCCCGUCGGCCCGUCGUUGUGGUGCAUCACGCCGCCGGCCGCCAUCUCGUCCGGCCGUGCCGGCUNNNNNNNNNNNNNNNNNNNNNNNNNNNNNNNNNNNNNNNNNNNNNNNNNNNNNNNNNNNNNNNNNNNNNNNNNNNNNNNNNNNNNNNNNNNNNNNNNNNNNNNNNNNNNNNAGCUCACAUUAAUCCCCAGUGAUUAUUCGAUAAGAAGAGAAACACAACAAACAUGACACCAGCAGCAGCUUGCUCACCUGCUUGUGGUCCUGGGAGAGCGGCACGGCGCGGCCAGCGCGGCAGAGCACGGCGCGGGAGUCGCCGCAGUUGGCGACGAGGAUGCGGCCGCCGACCACNNNNNNNNNNNNNNNNNNNNNNNNNNNNNNNNNNNNNNNNNNNNNNNNNNNNNNNNNNNNNNNNNNNNNNNNNNNNNNNNNNNNNNNNNNNNNNNNNNNNNNNNNNNNNNNNNNNNNNNNNNNNNNNNNNNNNNNNNNNNNGCACCGCCGACGCCGCCAGCUCGUCCGCCCGCGCGAAGCUCUGCCUCAGCGCGCCCUUCCACGCGCACACUUCCGCCCCUUCGUCUUGAUGCUGCUUCUUUCGGUGGGCUGCGGCCGCGCCGGUCAGCUCUUCCGCCAGGAUCGCGUGCAUGUGGUCCCUCAACAGCGCCGACACCUGCACCGCCAUGGAAAUUAGUUUGUACAGAGUCUACAAACAAGUUGGUGUUGAGCUACUAGAGCCUGGCCACGUUCGUAGAGGGGUUACCACGGGGCCGCCGUGGCCGUCGAAGACGGCGAAGAAGUGCAUGCGCGAGCCGUCAACCCAGGUGCAGAAGGACGNNNNNNNNNNNNNNNNNNNNNNNNNNNNNNNNNNNNNNNNNNNNNNNNNNNNNNNNNNNNNNNNNNNNNNNNNNNNNNNNNNNNNNNNNNNNNNNNNNNNCAUUAUUUUACAAAUAAUAUCUUCAGUGAUACUAAUUAACUUCAUGACACACAACAGGUGAAAACUGAUUUCAUCUAUAUAUGCCAGCAUUCAAAUAAUUAUCAAAGUUUUAAAAGUGUAAUGAGCAACACAAAUCAUUGUGUUAUCUUCAUGCAAAUAAAUUUCUAUAUAGGUAAGCUACUCUUGUAAGCUAGUUACACAGAAAACUUGUAAUAUGUAGAGUUCUCGUUCAAUCAUGGCGACAUUGGUCCACCCGAACUAUCCAAUCGGUGCAUAGCAGUUUGGUGCCAGAUGGUCAACCUAGCUCACUUUCUGGGUCUAGAGGCCUGGUAAAAACUAAUGAUACAAUGAAUCCCGCCCAAAAAGGUUUUUUGUCGAUUUAUUUUUUAUUUGUAAUAGCACUUGAAAUAUAAAAAUAAAACUGGUUUUUGGAGAAACUAUAGAGCAAUCCAUACACCACUGUAAAAUUACCAAAAUUCUUUGGGGUAUUUUUCCAGUAUUCUUCGGAAUCAUCUAGAAACUAAAAAAACACAGAAAUGUUGAUUGGGAAAUUUGGGCACCCUUCUAAAUUAUAUUUUCUCCCUAUUCGACAACCCUUAUUUUAUCCAUCACUCUCCAUGAAAUCUACGAAAACUUGGGAAGACUUAGAAAAAUAGCGAAGCUUAUCCCAAAAAUUAAAACACGCAUCUAAGUCCUAACAACUCAUGCCUCUCCAUUUUUAAGUAUGUUUGACCUAGACCUUCCCCACCUCGAGAAAAUAGCCUCUCCCUCCCUCCCUCCCUCUCUCUCUCUCUCUCUCUCUCUCUCUCUCUCUCUCUCUCUCUCUCUNNNNNNNNNNNNNNNNNNNNNNNNNNNNNNNNNNNNNNNNNNNNNNNNNNNNNNNNNNNNNNNNNNNNNNNNNNNNNNNNNNNNNNNNNNNNNNNNNNNNCGUUGCCGGCGGCGAUGCGCUGCGCGAGGCCCUCAACAAUGGCCGUCUUGCCGACCCCCGCGGCGCCGACGAGCGCGGCGCAAUUCUUGGUGCGCCGGCAGAGGAUGCAGACGACGCGGUCGAUCUCGUCUUGGCGGCCAAUGACGGGAUCAGUCGUGGCGGCGUCCAAGGUCCUGAGGCUGCCGGUGGCGUCCAAGGGCUUGAUGCCCGCGCGUUCGUUGUAGUUGGUGCCCCAAUGGCGUUUGUCGUACGUGAACUCGUCGAGCAACGUCCACGUUGCCCAGCCUAGAGCAGCAGUAGCAACGGCCGAUGCUCCGACCAAGAGCAUGCUAUCCGGGGAACACCACGACAUAGCUAGCUAGCUAUNNNNNNNNNNNNNNNNNNNNNNNNNNNNNNNNNNNNNNNNNNNNNNNNNNNNNNNNNNNNNNNNNNNNNNNNNNNNNNNNNNNNNNNNNNNNNNNNNNNNNNNNNNNNNNNNNNNAUAGCUAGCUAGCUAUAUGACCUCUCCAACUCCAAGUGAGGAAGAAGAAUAUAAUGAAGGCGCCGAGAAAAGCGUUGGAUUUGUUUCGAUAUGCGAUAUUCCACGUGCAGGUGCAGCACCAAGAUCGUCAAUCGCCGUGUGUCUCUCUAGCUAUAUCUUCUGCCUGUAAUUGUCGAUGUGCCGCACAAGAUGUAUUUAAGACAGAUCUCUUCCAAUCCGACUCGGUGUGUAAAACGACAACCUCUUGCAAAUUUUAAUUUUAAUUGGAAUUGGAAUUGGAGAAAGUAUGCAAUNNNNNNNNNNNNNNNNNNNNNNNNNNNNNNNNNNNNNNNNNNNNNNNNNNNNNNNNNNNNNNNNNNNNNNNNNNNNNNNNNNNNNNNNNNNNNNNNNNNNUGGGUACUGCCCUUACUUGGACAAGCAUCCCACUUAUGAUUAACCUCUCUCGCAAGCAUCCGNNNNNNNNNNNNNNNNNNNNNNNNNNNNNNNNNNNNNNNNNNNNNNNNNNNNNNNNNNNNNNNNNNNNNNNNNNNNNNNNNNNNNNNNNNNNNNNNNNNNNNNNNNNNNNNNNNNNNNNNNNNNNNNNNNNNNNNNNNNNNNNNNNNNNNNNNNNNNNNNNNNNNNNNNNNNNNNNNNNNNNNNNNNNAUCCAAAUCAGCCCCUCACGAAGCAACGCAUAGACUGGGGUUUAAGCUUCUGUCACUCCAGCAACCCAUCAUCUACUUACUACUUCCCAAUGCCUUCCUCUAGGCCCAAAUAUGGUGAAGUGUUAUGUAGUCGACGUUCACAUAACACCACUAGAGGAAAAACAACAUACAUCAUAUCAAAAUACCGAACGAAUAUCAAAUUCACAUGACUAUUAUCAGUAUGACUUAUCCCAUGUCCUCAGAAACAAAAGUAACUACUCACAAGACAUAAUAAUAAUCAUGACCAGAGGUGUAAUGAAUAGCAUCAAGGAUCUGAACAUAAACUCUUCCACCAAGUAAUCCAACUAGCAUGAACUACAAAUAGUAAUCAACACUACUAGCAACCUUACAAGUACCAAUCGGAGUCGCGAGACGAAGAUUGGUUACAAGAGAUGAACUAGGGAUUGGAGAGGAGAUGGUGCUAAUGAAGAUGUUGAUGAAGAUGCCUCCCCUCCGACGAGAGGAGUGUUGGUGAUGACGAUGGCGACGAUUUCCCCCUCCAGGAGGGAAGUUUCCCCGACAGGAUCGUCCUGCCGUAGCACUAGAUUAGAUCUGCUCAAGUUCCGCCUCGUGGCGGCGACGAAACCACGAAAAAGCUCCCGAUUGAUUUUUUCUGGAACGAAACCCUUCAUAUAGCAAAAGAGGGGGGCAGUGGGCCGUCAGGGAGCCCACAAGCUUGCUAGCCAGGCUUGUGGCGCCCUCGUAGCUCCCCUCUCGUACUUCUUCAGCACAGUAUUUUUUAUAUAAUCCCAAAAAAUUCCAUGUAAAUUUUCAGGGCAUUUGGAGAUGUGCAGAAUAGUGGACUAAGAUUUGCUCCUUUUCCAGUCCAGAAUUCCAGCUGCCUGAAUUCUCCCNCGGCGGGUGGUACUGCUGGUUAUGAACUUGGUAUUGACGAGCGUUGUGCUGCGACCCGCCCUGUGGUCCUUGGUUAGGGAAACCCCCGAAUGUGACCUGUCGCGACCCAGACGGGCCGGGUUGCUCCUGCCGCUGGCCCCGCUCGCCGCCUUGGCUCCUUUUGAGCGCNNNNNNNNNNNNNNNNNNNNNNNNNNNNNNNNNNNNNNNNNNNNNNNNNNNNNNNNNNNNNNNNNNNNNNNNNNNNNNNNNNNNNNNNNNNNNNNNNNNNNNNNNNNNNNNNNNNNNNNNNNNNNNNNNNNNNNNNNNNNNNNNNNNNNNNNNNNNNNNNNNNNNNNNNNNNNNNNNNNNNNNNNNNNNNNNNNNNNNNNNNNNNNNNNNNNNNNNNNNNNNNNNNNNNNNNNNNNNNNNNNNNNNNNNNNNNNNNNNNNNNNNNNNNNNUCGUACAGCAGAAGCGAUUAGAGAUCGCGGUUGAUGUAGUGGAACGUCCUCACGUCCCUCGAUCCGCCCCGCGAACAAUCCCGCGAUCAGUCCCACGAUCUAGUACCGAACGGACGGCACCUCCGCGUUCAGCACACGUACAGCUCGACGAUGAUCUCGGCCUUCUUGAUCCAGCAAGAGAGACGGAGAGGUAGAAGAGUUCUCCGGCAGCGUGACGGCGCUCCGGAGGUUGGUGAUGACCUUGUCUCAGCAGGGCUCCGCCCGAGCUCCGCAGAAACACGAUCUAGAGGGAAAACUAUGGAGGUAUGUGGUCGGGCAGCCGUGAGAAAGUCGUCUCAAAUCUGCCCUAAAAGCCCCAUAUAUAUAGGAGGAGGGAGGGGGACCUUGCCUUGGGGUCCAAGGGACCCCAAGGGGGUCGGCCGAGCCAGGGGGGAGGACUCUCCCCCCCCAAACCGAGUCCUACUUGGUUUGGUGGGAGGGAGUCCUUCCCCCUUCCCACCUCUCCCUUUUUUUUUCUUUCCUUUGAUAUUUUCUCUUCCUUGGCGCAUAGGAUUUGGUGGGCUGUCCCACCAGCCCACUAAGGGCUGGUGUGACCCCCCCAAAUACCUAUGGGCUUCCCCGGGGUGGGUUGCCCCCCCCCCCGGUGAACUCCCGGAACCCAUUCGUCAUUCCCGGUACAUUCCCGGUAACUCCGAAAACCUUCCGGUAAUCAAAUGAGGUCAUCCUAUAUAUCAAUCUUNNNNNNNNNNNNNNNNNNNNNNNNNNNNNNNNNNNNNNNNNNNNNNNNNNNNNNNNNNNNNNNNNNNNNNNNNNNNNNNNNNNNNNNNNNNNNNNNNNNNGGCCCGAGUGCCAUGAAUUUUAUUAUGUUGUCACCAAUAUAUGUGUGUUUUAGAUCCGAUCUUGCAAGUUGUAGUUACCUACUAUGUGUUAUGAUCCGGCAACCCCGGAGUGACAAUAACCGGAACCACUCCCGGUGAUGACCAUAGUUUGAGGAGUUCAUGUGUUCACCAAGUGCUAAUGCGUUGGUCCGAUUCUUUACUAAAAGGAGAACCUUAAUAUCCCGUGAUUUCCUUUUGGACCCCGCUGCCACGGGAGGGAUGGACAAUAGAUGUCAUGCAAGUUCUUUUCCCUAAAGCACGUAUGACUACACACGAAAUGCAUGCCUACAUCACAUUGAGAACGGGAGCUAGUCACAUAUCUCUCCGUGUUAUAACUGUUGCAUGAUGAAUGUCAUCCGACAAAUCACCAAUCCAUUGCCUACGAGUUUGUCCCACUGCUGUUGUUACUUGCUUUGCUCUGCUGUUGUUACUACUGUUGCUGCUAUUGUUACUUGCUGCUACUGUUACNNNNNNNNNNNNNNNNNNNNNNNNNNNNNNNNNNNNNNNNNNNNNNNNNNNNNNNNNNNNNNNNNNNNNNNNNNNNNNNNNNNNNNNNNNNNNNNNNNNNGGAAGACGCGCGGGCGCGGGAGGCCGCCGCCGUAGAACCUGCCGGGACCGAGCGCGACCACCAUGGUGACUGAGAUCCGGCCGGCUGAAGUCUUCUUCGUCGGCCUGUUGCUCCGGCGAUCUCCCUCGCUCGCUCUCGCUCUGUGGAUCUGGGUGAAGGUGAAUGAGGGAGGAUUGCGGCGGCGGUGAUGGGGAUGGAUGAGAGAGAGGGGGGGCGGUGAGGGCGUUUAUAGGUGGAAGAGAGGCGCGCGUGGCGCCAAGAAAGUUG
Molecule: long non-coding RNA, 135763 nt
Filed under: Hordeum vulgare
Lineage: Eukaryota; Viridiplantae; Streptophyta; Magnoliopsida; Poales; Poaceae
Description: long non-coding RNA (HVUL_LNC017366)
Rfam family: MIR1120/MIR1122 microRNA precursor family (bases 42709-42832)
Source: RNAcentral